UCAGGCCAGACACAACAACAUGGAUAGUUAAGGUGGAGAUGAAUGAAGGUGAAGUGAUUGAACUAGACACCAAAUACAAUGAUAGAAAAAAUCUGCCAUGGAAAUUGUUUCGUUUUUGGAAGGAUGCUAGUCUUAGCAAAGACAUGGCUGAGAAGUGCAAGCAAGUUCUUAGUCUUUGGGAAGAGGGAAAACGUAAAAGAGGAGUGUUGGAUGCGGAGCUGCCAAAGCAUGUCUUGGGAAUACGUCCAGCCAAAAUAGAAUAUGAAUCACCUCUGCACAAACAUGUAAAAGCAGCAGUGGGUUUUCUAGAGGAUCUGGAAAUAAAAAGAAUAGGAAUCUGGGGAAUGGUGGGAACCGGGAAGACCACAAUAAUUGAAAACUUGAACACUCGUGACAAUAUUAACAAAAUGUUUGAUAUUGUCAUUCGGGUAACUAUCCCAAAGGAGUGGAGCGAGGUAGGGUUGCAAUAGAAAAUCAUGCGUAGGCUAAAUUUGAAUCUGCCCUACUGACAUUGAGGAAAAUACACAGAUAAUAUUCGAAGAGUUGAAGAAAAAGAAGUGUUUGAUUCUUUUAGAUGAAGUUUGUCAUCCACCCUACCUCGCUCCACUCCUUUGGGACAGUUACCUGAAUGACAAUAUCAAACAUUUUGUUAAUAUUGUCACGAGUGUUCAAGAUUUCAAUUACUGUGGUCUUCCCGGUUCCCACCAUUCCCCAGAUUCCUAUUCUUUUUAUUUCCGAAUCCUCUAGAAAAAGCACAAGAAUAUAUUUUUAUUUCAAUUAUUGUUGACUUAUUCUUAUCUGUUUAUCAUAAGUUCUAUAUAUAUACUAAGAAUUGCAAAGUCUUAAGAAUAUCUUAUUUCUCAACUCGGUACUAGAGCAGCUCAGUCACGACAAUGGCUACCUCUUUUCAAAGUAAUCAACAAGCUAGUCUCUACUCUCUCUCAACUUCUGCUAUUUCAAAACCUUGCUCCACUAACGCUGAAACUAGAUAGAAACAACUACACCUUCUAGCACUCACAAGUGUUGCCUGUAGCCGCGCUCAUGAAUUGGAAGGAUAUUUGUUUGGGACCAAAGUUUGCCCAUCUCAAUACGAAGACCACAACUUGCGAGGAGAGGAUCCUGGUGAGGUACGUCAAGUCAAUCCUAGUUUUGUCGUCUGGAAGAAAACUGACCAGUCCUUAAUGAGUUGGCUAUUAAAUUCAAUCUCCGAGGCCAUGUUUGGCCAUGUUGUGGUCUCCCAUGAAGUCAGGAGUACCUUCGAAAAGCUAUUUACAACAGAGUCAAAAGCAUGUACAUUGCAGCUCCGUUUUUAGCUUCAGUCAAUUAAGAAGGGAUCCGUGAGUGUAAAUAAUUAUAUCCUAAAGAUGAGGCUAUGUUUGGUUCCCGGAAAGUACAAAAGAAAGAAAAAAAAUGCUAAGAAAAAUGAUUUUAUCAUGUUUGUCCUAUGAAAAAUAUAAAAAAAAAUCAAAUAUAAUUAAAAUUAAUUAAAAACUUAUGUAUUUUUAAAUUAUUUAAUCUUUAUAUUGAUGAGUUAAAAUAAAUAAAAUGAGUUUGAAGUAACAAAAAAAAUAAUUUAUCAACUUUUAAUUUAUUUUUUUAUUUUCCUUCACUUUUUCUUUCCUUCUACUUUUCCUUUGUAUUUUCUUUCCCUCGCAUUUUCCCUCAAAUUUUCCGGGAACCAAACAUAGCCGAAAGCUAUUGCCGAGAAUUUGUCUACUGCAGGACAAUUAGUUUCUGAUGAGGAACUAAUUUUGUACAUUCUUGGAGGAGUGGGUCAGGAGUAUGAUCCUGUGGUUAUCAGUCUCACCUCUCCAUGUGAUGAGGUAACUUUGCAACAAGUCCAAUUUAGGCUGCAAAGCCAGGAUAUGAGAUUAGAACAAAUUAACUCAGUUGCUGCAGCUCGAAGGAAGGAUACACAAAACACAUUCACUACAGAAAAACCACACUUUUAGUUGUGAUUCCAUGUUUUCAAUAAUGCAAAAUGUUAUAGCUACAACAAUUUGUCAUCAUAACAAAUAUGCAUUUACUAAAAAUAUUUCCACAAUAAAUUUAUUAUUUUAGUUAUAAUAAUGCUAUAAUUAAAUAUUUAUUUUUAAUUACAAUUAUAUAUCAACAUUUAUAUAUAUUUAUAUAAUCAAACCAAAAUUUAACUAUGAUUACAUAUCACCAUUGAAAAUUUUCUCGAAGAAGUGCAUUCUGUUGGUGGUAAAUGAUUAUCCCCAAAAAGUAUGGAAGUGUAAUUUUAUUCAUUUAAGUAUUACACAUUAUAAUAAAUAAAUAAAUAAAAAUAAUGAUUGAUGGACUUUUUCCUCGGUGUUUGUAACCAAGUUUGGCACAACUUGUAAGAAAAAAAAAUGAAAUAAUAAUUAAAUUAUCAUUGCUAUAAAAAAAAAAAAACACACACACAUACAUUUACACACCCAUAGAAAUAAAUAAUAUUAAAAUUUAAGACAAAAGAAAUUAUAACAUAUAUUUAAGAUUAACUUUUAUUCAUUCAUAUAUAUUUAAUAGUAUAAAAAAUUUAAAAGAAAAAUGAAGAGUAUCAUUUAAAAAAAAUAAGAAAUAUUAAAUAAAAAUUUUGCAUAAAAAAGAAAUCCAAGUAAAGGAAAAAUUUAAAUACCGAUUCAUUUUUCAACUGUGGACGGUAAUAGAAAUAAACCCGGAAUCUAAACAUGGCCCAAAACUAUCAAAAAUUUAAAAACCACCUCCGAAAUGGUAAAUACCUUACUUUCCACUCCCUCUUCCGAUCAUCUCCUUGUACCUUAUGGUCGAAUCCAGCCUCUGCAACUUCAAUUGCUGCUUGAACUUGUUGAUGAAGUCGUCGGCCUUCGCGUCCACCUCCUCAUCGUCGUCAUCACCCUUCGCCACCGUCGCUUUAGCAUUCCCUUCCCUCAUAUUCGCCGGUCUACAAAAGCAAUUCUCGUAUUGUUGGUAUAUGUUGAUGAUGUCCUGAUAACUCGGAAUGAUCAAUGAAGAUGAAAUUGCCUUGAAGAAUUUGGGAUCAUUGAGCUAUGUCCUAGGUUUUAAAGCACAUCGAACAAAGUAUGUAAUCUAUCUCUGAAGAAAUAUAUGAUUGAUCCAUUGUACAAGGCUAACACGUUGAAUGUUAAAUGCAACCCAACACCUAUGCGCCAAGGAACAAAAAUUCACCUUGCUGAUAGUGAUUUAUUUGAACAGCCAACUCUAUAUUAGAGCAUCAUUGGAGCUUUGCAAUACCUAACUCUAACCAGGCUAGACAUAUCAUUUGUUGUAAACAAACUUAGUCAAUAUUUGCAGGCACCAACAGUUAAUCACUGGAAAGCUUGCAAAUGCAUCCUUAGAUACUUAAAUGACCCUCUUAACUAUGGGCCUCUCUUCUCGCCAACAACAUAAGUGACACUAGAAGGGUAUGUUGAUGCAAAUUGGGCUAGUUCCUUGGAUGAUAGAAAAUCUACAAUAGGUUAUUCUAUUUAUCUUGGUGGAAACUUAGUUGCAUGGAACUCCAGAAAAUAAAAGGCAGUAUCUCGCUCAAGCACUGAAUCACAAUAUUGUGCCCUUACUUAAGCUAUAACUGAACUUGUUUGGUUGCAAUCUCUAUUUUUUAAAUUAGGAAUUGAGAUAAAUAGGUGCCCUACACUCUGGUGUAACAAUACUGGAGUUAAACAACUUACUUCUAACCCAAUCUUCUACUCAAGAACAUAACACAUUGAGAUUGAUGUUCAUUUUAUCGAGAAGAUAAGGUAAUUGCAAAAGAACUGGGGAUAAAAUAUGUGCCAACAGAAGAUCAAACUGCUGAUAUCUUUACAAAGUCAUUAUCCAUAUCUCAAUUCCACUUUCGUAAAGGCAAGCUUGCUGUUGUUCAAUCCCCACGGUCUCGCUUGAGGGAGCAUGUUGAAGACUUUUUUGUAUGUGGAAAAUGACCUAUCUUAUCAAAAUUAGUUACAGAGAGUCCCUCUAAACUCAAACUCUAUCAGAGCUCUCUCGGACUCUUUCUCUCUCUGAGAAGCUCCAUCCUCAUCCUUAUCUAUUGGUUAUGAUAGGCUUUCCCUUAUUCUUAUCUGUUAUCAUAAGUUUUAUAUUCUAUAAAACCACUCAAGUAAAGUUAAAAUAGACUAAGAAUUGCAAAGUCUUUCAAUGCUCCAGAAUCUCCUAUUUCUCAACUAUAUAAUAUCCAGAAACCUUUUUAAUGUAGCAGUAGAACGAACUAGAUAUAAAUUCAAUUAUUAUAAAGUCAAACAAAUAAAAUAAAACUAGAAGAUAAGACUUGAUUGAGUCUUAUUAUUCUGGGUUGUUUAGUUUGGAAAAGUCCUAGAUUUUGAGGAGUUUGAAUUUAAAAUAACAUCAGAAGAUAAGGCUUGACUGAGUUCUAUUAUUCUAGGUUGUUUAUUUUGGAUGAGUCUUAGUGUAUUUAAAUUUGAUUUUAUUUCUAAUUUGAAUUAGAGAGAAUAUUCGAGUACGAUUGGUUAGUUGCUAAAUUCAGGGAUUGCUUUGUUUAUUUAAGUUCUUGAUGUAAACCAAAUUUUUUAAUAAAGUAUUAUCUAGUUUCUCUUCCAAAUUCAAUAUGGUAUUAGAUCUUUAGUGACUUUGCCUAUAGAGAGCAGGUUACACGUAGGCUUGGGAACAUGAAGAAUAAAAAGCAAUCUAAAGCUAUUCGGGAACAUGAAGAAUAAAGAGCAAUCUAAAGCUAUUCGGAAGAAUGACACUCCCUUUACCGGCCACUGGUGAGAAAAAACCAUCAGCAAUUUUAAUUUUAUAACUCUCAAAACAAGGUUGAUAAGAGUGAAAGAGAGUUAUAUCAAAGGUCAUGUGAGAUCGGAUACACCGAAGUCGAUAAUCCAUGGGUUUGACUUUGAGAAAGCAUUCAAGGCUCUAGAACAUAUACCUUUCUAGGCCAUGGAACCUGAUCCUAUAGUGGAGGUACUUGAAGGAUCACAUGUGAGGAGUUUCUAAAGUAGCUCCAUCUGUUCUUGGUUGAAAGGAGUUUUGUUGGCUAAGUUAUUGGAUUGUGGUGGUUCAUCAUUGGUAGCACGAUAACCUCGAGGUCCAUUUUCAUAUGUUUUGUUACUUUUCCAAUUGGGCGGCUUCCCAUGAAUUUUCCAACAAGUUUCUCAAGUGUUACCAACUGAAUGACAAUGAUCACAUCAUGACCUAUUGGAUCUUCUUCAUGAAUCAAAGUGUUGAGAAUUUGGUCCCUUGGUGGCUAGGCUGAUCCGUCCUUGCUUAGAAAGGACAAUGACGAGGUGUGAUCCGUUAUCAUGACAUUCUUUCGUCUCUCUUCUUACCAAACUUCAAAACACACUUCUUCGAGUAAUGGGUGUGGUUAGGUGUUAAGAACCCUUUCUCGGACUUCAUUGAGAUUCUUGUUGAGUCCAACCACCAAGAAUGUGAAGAUCCUUUAUUUUGCCACAAUUUUCUAAUAAUUGAGGCUAUCACUAGUGCAAUCUCAUUCCAAUUAUUUGAACACGUUCAGUUUUUGCCAAUAUUGGAAGAGAAUGCUAGAGUAUUAGGUCACACUAAAGUUCCUUUUCCAUAACUCUAGAAGUUGGCGUUUGAUUUUGAACAUCUUUGCUGCAUUUUUGCUAUUCGAAAAAAUCUCCUUGGUUGCAUCCUAGAUUUCUUUUGCUAUCUUAUAGAAUAGGAAUGUCUGGCCUACUUUCGUCUCCAUGGAAUUAGUAAGUCAAGACAAAAUCAUAUUGUUCUUAAAAAACCAAGUUUUAUAAGAUGCAUCGUUCUUUGUCAGGGUUGUCUUCAAGCCUGUGAUGUAAUCAUCUUUGCCUCUCCCACAUAUAUACAUUAUUACUAAUUGAGACCAUUGGAGAUAAUUUUUUCCAUUUAAUUUGUGGUGAACAAAAUUCUCAAAACCACCAUUACUACCGAAAUUGACAAGAGCAGAAUCGGAGAUCACCUCCAAAGAUCUUGUUGGAUGUUCGCCAACCAUUGCAGUUUUCACCAUAUUUAAGUUUAGAUCUUAGGCUUUGAUACCAAAAUUUAGGUAACACACUAAUUGAUACUAAUCUGACUAUAUUAAAUGAUUUGGAUGUUCCUAUUGCAUUUUGGAAAGGGGUUAGAUUGUGUACCACACAUCCCACUGCUGAUUUUGUUUCCUCUGAAAGAUUAUCUCCACAAUUUCGAGCAUUUACUACUAAUCUUUCUAAAAGUGAUAUACCCAAGGAUGUUCAUGAGGCAUUACAAGAACUAAAUUGGAAGACAGCAUCACACGAUGAGAUUAAAGCUCUUAGGAAAAAUGGAACCUAGGAAUAGACCGAAUUGCCUUUGGGAAAAUCUACUGUAGGAUGCAAGUGGAUUUUCAAUGUGAAAUAUAAAGUUGAUGGGAAUAUUGACAGAUACAAGGCAAGAUUGGUGGCUUUCAAUGUGAAAUAUAUGUCAAGGCAAGAUUGGUGGCUAAGGGGUUUGCGUGGGAUUUACGCAAACGUAUGGAAUAGAUUAUUAGGAAACAUUUGCUCCAAUUGUGAAACUUAACAUUGUCCAAGUUCUACUCUCCAUUGCAAUCAACAAUGAUUGACCUCUUCAUCAAUUAGAUAUAAAAAAUGCAUUUCUUAAUGGUGAUCUCAAUGAAGAAGUUUACAUGGAUAUUCCACCAGGAUUCAAAGACGCUCAAAAAAGAAUCAAGUGUGCAAGUUAAAGAAAUCUCUAUAUGGCCUAAAACAAUCACCUAGGGUCUGGUUUGAAUGUUUUAAUGCAAUUGUUAAGAAAGUUAGGUACAGUUAGGAACAAUCGGACCAGAUGAUGUUUUUUAAACAUUCAUCAGAUAGGAAGAUCAUCAUUCUUAUCAUCUAUGUUGAUAACAUAAUUCUUACAAUUGAUGAUGAAACAGAAGUGAUAGAUUUGAAAAACGCCUUCCCUCGAGAAUUUGAAAUCAAGGACUUGGGAGCUCUUAGGUACUUCCUUGGCAGUGAGGUGGCUCGAAUUUCAAAGUGGAAUAUUAGUCUCUCAAUGGAAACAUGUCCUUGAUCUUCUGAAGGAAACUAGUAUGGUUGGAUGUAGACUAGUGGACACACCUAUGGAGGAGAAUGGCAAGCUUAAUGAUGAAGAAGAAAGCCCUUUUAUUGACAAAGGUCAAUACUAGAGACUUGUUGGGAAGUUGAUUUAUUUAUCCCAUAAUAGGCCAGACAUAGACUUUCCUAUUCGUGUGGUUAUUCAGUUCAUGCACAAUCCCAUUGAAGAACAUCUUAGUGUAGUUCACAUAAUUCUUCAAUACUUGAAAAUGACACUUGGAAAGGGGUUUUUUUUUUUGGCUAAAGUACUAGAAAAGGAAUCGAAGUAUAUUCUGACAUAAAUUGAGUAGAUUCCGUGAAUGAUAGAAGUUCCACCUCAAACUACUAUACCUACGUAUGGGAAUUUGGUCACUUAGAGAAGUAAAAAGCAAUCCAUAGUAGCUCGAAGUAGUGGAGAAGCUAAGUUUCAGGCUAUUGCACUUGGUGUAUGUGAAGGACUAUGGCUAAAAUGUGUGAUGAAGGAGUUGAAGAUUUCAAAUGAGUUUUCGAUGAAAUUGUUUUGUGAUAAUCAAAUAGCCAUCCAUAAUUCGGUUCAUCAUGACAAAACCAAGCAUGUGGAAAUAAACCAACAUUCCAUUAAGGAGAAAGUUGACAAUGGAGAGUUUUUACUGUAGUACAUGCUUACCACUGCAAACAUUCUUACAAGAGCUCUACCAAGAUAACAUUUCAAUUUUCUUAUAAGCAAACUAGAAAUGAUCAAUAUUAAUUCCUUAGUUUGAGGAAUGUUGAAACCCUAAGUUUUUUAGGAGUAUGAAUUUAAAACAAAACCAGAAGAUAAGGUUUGAUUGAGUCCUAUUAUUCUGGGUUGUCUAGUUUAGAUAAGUCUUAAUGUGUUUAAAUUUGAUUUUAUUUCUGGUUUGAAUUAGAGAGAUUAUCGGAUGAUAUUUUGUAGGUUGGUUAGUUGAUAAAUUUAGGGAUUGCUUCAUUUAUUUAAGCUCUGGAUGUAAACUCAAUUUUUUAAUAAAGUAUUAUCCAGUUUCUCUUCCAAAUUCACCUAUUGCAAGUGGAGACACCUACUCUAUUGGAUGUUGAUUUUCUGCUGAUUUUUUAUUUCAGAAUACUAAUUUUCCAUAGAUUGUUUGUUGUGAGGGAACCCAAUAUAUAGGCUUGGAUUAAUCUAUCAACAUUUGUUAAAUAUUACCUACUUGUUUUCUUAUUAUUAGAUUCAUAUAAUUUGUUACUGCUUUUAUAAUGAUGAUAGUCACACAAACAUAUUUUUAGAUAUAUAGUUAAUAUGAUUCCACAUAAAUUAUGAUUCCACAUCCAUUUAUGAUAUAUUUGUUGACUGUUUUAUGUUUACCUAUUAUUUUAAUUUUUUUAGAUGAAGAUGUUGGAUUAAAAGACCUUAAAUGGAGAGGUUUUGUAGUCAACUUAAAAAGACAAUAAGCAUGUCAGUUCAAGGCUCUGGCUAAUCAAUGUGUCAACUACUGCUAGAACAAAUUUUUUUUUUCUAGUCCAUCUUUUGCUUAGUAUUUUCUACUAUUUACAAUUGAUAUAGUGGCUUCAGUUGUAUUUAAGGGUGUUUUUUUUUUUUAAGUUAUGUUUGAUUUCUAGAAAGCAUUGAGAAAAGGAAAAGAAAUAUUGAAAAAAAAUUAUCCUUUUUAUGUUUGGAUUCUAUAAAAAGGUUGCAAAUUGACCAAAUCGGGUGAAUUGGUAAGAACAAAAAGCCUAUAAUGGAAUCUGCAAGUAAUGUUUGAUUCCCAGAAUGUUUGAGGGAAAGAAGAUAGAGAACAAAAUAUAAUGAAAGAGUUAAGGAAAAUUUAUAAUAAUUUUUUUUUCUCGUUUGAUUGUUCUAGCUUUGGUUAGAUGUAAAAUAUAUCGAAUAUCAGUAAAUGAGAACACUUACAGUUUCAUUUUCUUUGAGGCAGUUGUGGCCUCAAAUGCAGGGGCCUUUAUGAAACCACCAGAACCUGUCACUCAUAGACAAACAGCCAACAAAACAAACCAAAUAUUAGACGGUGAAUUUGGAAGGCCACAUGGAGUUGGAAAUUAGUAUUCCCCCACCCUGUUUUUAAGCAUGCAAAUGAAUAAGAAUACCCAUUUUAAGUGUUAGAAAUUGGGAUCUAAUGUCCAUAUGGGAAUACCUAAUCCAAACCUUGGGGAAGUUGGAUAAAUGAGUUACACAUUCAGUGAUAUAUACAGAUACACAAACAUCCCAAUAGAUGGCAGUAUAGCAUCGCUAGUGCAAGCGUGCAUAUACCUUUUCCAGCAAAAGAGUCUAAGUGAUCUUUUAACGAAAACCAGCAACACGUGCACAUGCUUUUUUUGAUUCAAACUGAAAAUCUGUGUAUCCUACUGCAUCAUUUACGUCAAAGAAUAGGUCCAAAAAUGCAAUGAAUUGGGCAAUGUACAUACCAGUUAUAAAUAAAAUGAAUAAAAUGGAGAUCACCUCUAUCUAUGGAAAGGGAAAAAAGACAUGAAAAAUAACCUAACCUGACUGUUGAGAAGGCUUUCUUUCUUGCCUCUUAACUUCACCUGACUGUUGAGAAGGCUUUCUUUCUUUCCUCUCAGUUUCACCUGACUGUUGAGAAGGCUUUCUUUCUUGCCUCUCAGCUUCACCUGACUGUUGAGAAGGCUUCCUUUCUUUCCUCUCAGCUUCACCUGACUGUUGAGAAGGCUUUCUUUCUUGCCUCUGAGCAAGAAGCUGAUUCUCAAUUUCUUCUAGCUGAGUCGUCAAAUCUUCAUCCCUUUUAAUGGGGACAAAUACAUUAUGCUGAUGAGCAAAUCCAAAAAAUGAACUCCACUCCAAUGACCUCCACCAGUCUGCCUCUCCUAUGAUCACAUUUAUACUAAUACUACAGAAUUCCUUGUCAGACAGAGUUCCAAGGCACGGGCAGUUAUAGAAGCUCAUCCAUUCUAAUUUUGGUGCAAUGGGUAAACCACUAGAAAUGUUGACCAAUUUAGGCAUGAAAUGAAGUGAUAUCUUCCUCAAAUUAGGGAGAUAUGUUCUCAAGGGGAAUGGUUUAUGUUCAGCAGGAUCUUCAAGGGUCACUAUGCUGUUGAUUUCAGGGCACCAUUCAGCCACAAGCUCCUCUAAGCUGUUGAGAUUUUCAAGCAAACCCAAAGUAAAAAUGGUAGUCAGCUGUGGGCAUUCAUGUAAUGUCAAGGACUUUAGACUAGAUAGACAACCCCUCCAAACUGGUCCCUUCCAGAUGCUCACUAAAUUCUUCAUAUAAUGAAGCCUUAAGAAUUGUAGAGACCCAAGUAUAUUUUCUCCAUAAAAAUCUCCAUCAUCUUCUCGUUGUUUACAAUUUUCUGCUCCAUCCACAAUGGUUUCAAUCUUGUAACAUUCCCCCAAUACACAAAAUUCCAGCUUCUUCAUAUUUCCAAUCCCAAAUUCAGAUAGCUUGGUGAGAGUUAAAUGGCGAUCCAGGAACAAAGCAGUGCAAUGCUGGAGUACCUCCUUGAUUUGACUUGGAAUGCCUUCACCAUUCACAUACUUCAGGCUCCUUGCCUGGAGUUCAAAUUUAAUAGCAAGUUCAUUGGGUAGUCGAGAUAUAAUGCGGCUGUGAUGACUGCCAACAACAAAUCUAAAGUGGACUAAUGAUGUGUAUACCGACGAAGUUCCAUUCCUCAUAAAGUGAUCAAGCGGUGCAACUUGUGGCAAAUAAAUUUUUAGAGCCUCCAACUGUUUUAAGCUGCACACUUCCUUUACAAUAUCUUCCAUGGUCGCAUUCCAUUGUUCAUCAUCAGGGUUCACAUCUAUCCUUAACUCUUGCAAUUGAAACAAUUGUUGUAUCACAUUCCGAGGAAUCAGUGUGGAUGACUGAUUUUUUCUGUAUCCAUGAAAUGACACGUUCAAGCAUUUCAACUUUGUCAGUCGUUCAACAUCUAUGGGUAGGUUUAUAAUUUUAGUGCCUUCAAGAUUGAGCACCUCAAGAUUCCCUAGUUUUCCAACUUCAGGUGGCAGCUCCAUUAAAAGUUCACAGCCUCUUAAAAAGAAAAUUCGAAGUUCGAAUAACUUAAAGAGAGAUUGUGGUAAAGAUCUGAUUCUAGUGUAGGACAAGUCUAGAAUUUGGAGGACAGGCAAGCAUUCAAAGAACAUCGGAGGAAUAGCUCUCAAAUGGUGAUUGGACUGCAAAAACAACACUUUGAGUUGUGAUCCAUGAGGACUCGUUGGUAGCUCCAAAAGUUUAUUAUUCAUCAAAUGCAUCUCAUUGGCUUUUUCCCAUGCCUCAUCUUUUGGUGGUUCAAUUAGUCCCCAUCCACCCAGCCUAAGAAAGGGUGAACAUGAUUCAAAUCUUAAGAAGUUUAAUAACUCCUCAUGAAUUUCCCUUCGCAUUCUGACAAAAUCAGAAUCUCCAUACUGAAAACUCUCUAACAAGAAGGCAUUGACAAGAUCCCCCACAAUCUGUUCACCUUCAUCAAAUGUCCCUACCAAGCUGCUUGUGAUCCACUCUUCAAUCAAAUGCACUUUCUCCAUCUGUCCCCAAUUCUCCAUGUCUACACAGUAUUGUAAAUACUUGUUUGUCGAACCUGAACGGCCCCACAUGAAUGCCAAUGCAUUAAAUAAGACUCUAUCUUUUGUCUGAGAUCUGUGUUGUAAUCCUAGUGUAUAAGAUGCAUAUUCCCAGAUCAAAACAUCAUUCACGUCUUUCAAAGCUCUUGCCAUUAUAACAACAGCAAGUAAAUGGCCACAACACUUUUCAACCACAUUUAUGGCGAGGCGUUGGAUCCCUGAAGAGUGCAUAACUUCCCCAACAUUCACACAGAACAAUUGCCAUGAUAACAGAUGAUUCUCCAUCCUGAUCUCUACACCCACUGCUGUUACGUCAUCAACAUUCUGAGAAUUAGUUGUAUAAACUAUUUUUUGAAUUUUCUUUGAGUUCCACCAGUUGGUCCCCAUGUCAUAAAGAUUUACCCUUUCACCAACCUCAUGAAGAAGGAUGAAGAAGUUUGUGCCUUUCAGUGUUUCAUCUAAUUUCCGUUCUCCUGAUGUGGAGGGAAACAAGUCCCGUUCAAUUGAAAAUCUAAUCUCUUCAAUGGUGGAACAUCUUGAGACCUCAACAUCAAUGACAUGAUCAAAUAUACAACAUUCCUGUAGUUCGCCCCACAAUUCUGAAAUAACUGUUUCUCCAUGGCUUCCUGAAAUCCCAAUCUUCCGAAUUUUAGGGUAUUCUAUAUGCUGUAAAAUUUCACGAAUAGCAAAGUCCACUGCCAAAUCAUAUAUUCUUUUUGGCGUAGGCAUUAUUUGGCCAUGCCUUUGUACAUCAAUCCUGCUAAAGCUCUUCGUAAUCAAAACUUGGGAAAAUAAAGGUUCAAUUUCAACCAUGUAUCGAGUCAUCAUUGUACUGAUUCGAUUCUCUAACUUAAAAGCAUCGAUCUCUUUCUUCUUUGAAGGUGCUUCCAUUUCUCUCACCACAUCAUUGAUCUUCAAAGUGUCCCGAACCCACUUAUAUUGAUUCUGCUUGUGGCUCUCUCCAUUCAGCAAGCUCAUAAGAGGAUAAGAUAUAAUAAGGCACACAAUAUCCUUCGUCCUGUUCAAUAUCUCAGCACUCUGCUUGAUUCUUUUGUGGACACUCCUGUCAUCUUCUAACUGUGUGGAAGGCCCAGCUAUAUUGGUUUUGCUUCUGCAGAAAUGAAGGAAAAAACAUUAGAGAGAGUUCAACUAGAAAGCAAUUUCAGAGAACUAUUUGUAGUUAACCUCUUAUGAGUUGUGACAAGUGUGCACAGUAAGUACAAAUACAAGAUUGUUUGAGAAAAAUCUCGAGCAAAACAUGGUGGUAAAAGAAAUAUAGAAGCCAUUUGCAGAUAAAAUGAUAACUUUAAGUGAUUUUUAGAAGAAUUGCUUUCAAAAAUUUACUUUCUCAUACGACUCCAAGAUGAAUUCUUAAUCCAAUGUUUGCUUAGUGUAGGGUGCCUUGGUGAGAGGGACCUCAAAUACUAGAGUAUACUAAAAAGAUGUGGGGCCAUUUAUUUUUGAACAGAAAAUUUCUUUAUAUUUUUGUUUCCAAAAGUUUGCUUUUGAGAACAGAAAGUCUGGUUUAUUUUGAGUGUUGAAUCAUUAUAAAUAUUAGGAAGUGGUGGUUGAUUAUAUUUUUUCUUGAGUUUCGAAAAAGAAUUAAGUGUUUAGGAAGCCUCACAGUUCAUUGGUUUUCUCACAGGUUACAAGUUGUUCGGUCACUCAAAAAAUCUAUGAAAAUUGUUGUGUUACUGGAAACUUUAAUGCAAAUAAUAUUAGUUCAAGAACACAAAAGAUAAAAAUAAUUGACAUAAAGAAACACAAGGUUUUAACAUUGUUCGAACAAUCAUGCCUAUAUCCACGGAUGAGAGAGAAUUAUUCUACUAUACUAUAUACAAAGGAUAGAACCAAAUACAAAUAUUGUGUUCCCAAAACAUCUCAUAUUUCCUCACUCCUUUGUAGCAAUACCCUAAAUCACAAGUCCCUCACUCCAUUGGGUGUCAUCUAUUCUUCUUCACAUCUCUAUCCACCCACCCUCUAUAAUUUUUACAAGGUCAUCUCUAUCUCAUGAUUUUUCUCCUCAUGACCUGAAAUAUUUAUAGAAAUAUUCCUAACAACUUUCCUUAUUGUAUAAGAAAAUCUAAUAUUUAAAUAAGAGGAAAAGUAGAUUUUGACUCACUAAUUUGAAAAAAAUAUAAAAAAAAAACCCCUCAAAUUUGUAAAUAGGUUUUAUAUUCAUUUAUUUAAAAAUAUUUUAAAAUGCAUGUACUUUUUCAUAACUUAAUAAUUAUUUCCUGAAAUGACUUUAUUACUUAUGAUGUUAAUAACACCAAUUAACAAUUUUUUUAAUCGUAAGACUCGAUUUGACAUUAAUAAAAUAAGAAAUUUUAAAAAUUAAAAACACAAUUAAAACUAAAAAAAAAAACUUUAAAGUUAAAAAUAUAAAAAUAAAAUAUUAUGCAUCUUUAAAAUUUUUUGGUUUUUAAUUUUAUUUAAUCAUUAUGUACUUUAGUUUUAAUUCUAUUUUAAAUUUUUAAAAUUUCUUACUUUAUUGUUGAUGUCAACUAAAAUUUUUAUUCAAUUUUAUUAAAAAAUAUAUAUAUGAGAAGAUGAGAGGCUUUAUAUAAUAUAGGACAUAAAAUCAUUAUUAACUAAGAGAUAAGAAGGAUUAGAAAGAUUUUAUUUAUCACUUGAGGUUGUUGGAGAAUUUUCAUAAUGAUUUGUAUCUCAUAUUAUAUAAUAAAAAAUUUAUAAUACGUUUCAUUGUAAAACAUUUUUAUCAAAUUAAAAUGAUAAAUGAAUUUUGGAUAAUUUUAUUUAAUAUUAUCAAGUAAAAAGGUAUUUCAGGAAAUAAUUAUUUAACUUAUGAAAAAGUACAUGCAUUUUAAAAUAUUUUUAAAUAGAUGAAAAUAAAAUUGAUUUAUAAAAGUUGAGGUUUUUUUUUCUGUAUUUUUUUUUUUAAAUCAGUGAGUCAAAACCUAUUUUUCCCUUAAUAAUAUAUCAACUUAGAAAAUAUACUAUAUAAUAUUUUUUACGAAAAUGAAUCUAUAAUAAUUAGGAAUUUUGGGCACUUUUUAACCAUCUACAUAUCUUGGAUCAAUUUCUGUUAAGUUAAUCUAUCAUCCUUUUAUGAUAGACACUUUUUUGUUUAUAUCACAUCCUGAUAUCCUGAUAAGAGAAUAAUCGACUCUACCUUCAACUAAAAUUCUUUUUGCCAUCAUCUAUUGUACUUUAUUCUCUUUGCCUUCUCCAUAAAUCUUCAACCCAAAACUCUUAUACCAAUUUAUUAUGUCAGCAAAAGUUUUAAUACAAAUAAUGUUAGUUCAAGAACACAAAGAUAAAAACAUCCCACACAAAGGAACAUGAGGUUUGAACGUAGUUCGACUAACCAAACCUACAUUCACGGAUAAGGAAGAAUCAUUCUACUACACCAUAGAAAAUAUUACAAAGGAUAUAACCAUUCUACUAUACCAUAUAAAACAUUACAAAAGACAGAAUCAAAUACAAGUAUUACGUUCUGAAAUAUCUCAUGUUUCCUCACUUCUUGUAUCAAUACCUUGAACCAUAAGUCUCUCAUUUCAUUGGAUGUCUCUUAUUAUUUUUCACAUCUCUAUCCACCUCUCUCACUCCAUUGAGUGUUUCUUAUUCUUCCUCAUAUUUCUAUUCACCUCAUGUGGCCUUUACAAGUCUAUCUCCAUCUCAUAAUUUUUUCCCUCAUAAACUAGAAUAUUUAUAGAGACAUUCCUAACAACUUUCUUUAUUUUGUAAGGAAAUUUAAUAUUAUGAUAAUAUAUCAAUUUAAAAAAUAUUCUAUAUAAUAUCUUUUUACAAAAAGGAAUCAAUAUUAAUUAGGAAUUUGAGACAUUUUUUUAACAAAAAUCAAUGUAAUGGAGUAAGUAUUUAUCCAAAGAAGCUAGUGGUAUUUUUACAACACAUGGGAUAGAAUGGUGACUAAGUGUGUUUGGGAGUGUGUCUAUUUGAACUCUUUUUAGUUAAAAUACUUAAAAAAACAUUUUUAAGAUAAUUACUUAUCAAGUACUUCUUUAAAAAGCACUAUAAGUGAUUUUUCAACUUUUAAAAUUUUUCCAAACAAUAGCUUUUUUUUUUUUUUUCCAAAAGUACUUUUUAUGCUAGAAGGAUUCUAAAAAAAAAAGACAAGGAAUAAAAUAUUAAUGAAAAGCAUAGGAAAAUAUUAAAAUAUUUCAGUUUCCGUGUAUGUAUAUUUUUUAACAAUUUAAUUUUCUUUUCCUUAUAUUUCUUCAAAUUGAUAAAUGGUAGUUUUUUUCAUUCAUACUUUCAUUCGUUCAUGUACAUAGUAUAUAUAGAGGGUAAUCACCAUUCUAAGAAUAGGAAAGAAUGAUAUAAGGAAAUAACAACUAAUAUCCUAAAAUCUCAACUUUCCUAAUAUCUCAAUAUUCCUAAUAUCUCAAUAUUCCUAGUAUCUCAAUAUUCAUAAUAUCUCAAUAUUCAUAAUAUCUCAACUUUCCUAAUAUCUAAACACUAAAUGAUAUAAGGAAAGCAUUUCCAAUAUCUCAACAUUCCCCCUCAAGUUGGUGCAUAGAUGUCACACAUGCCCAACUUGUCUAAAAAUUUUGAGAACACUUGACUUGAGACAGCUUUGGUAAGGAUAUCAGCCAAUUGAUCUUCUGAUCGAAUCUUAGGCAAUUCCACAAUCUUAUCAUCCAACUUUUCCUUAAUGAAGAAUCUAUCCACCUCGACAUGCUUUGUACGAUUAUGUUGUACUGGAUUAUGAGCAAUGUCACAUGCGGCUUUAUUGUCACAAAACAAUCGGAUUAGUUGCCUAGAUAGGUAACCUAAAUCCUGUAAGAGGAGUCUUAGCCAUAAUGCCUCACAAAGUCCUAGAGACAUACCUCUAAAUUCCGCUUCUGCACUUGAACGAGCGACGACAUUCUGCUUCUUACUUUUCCAUGUCACAAGAUUACCACCUACAAAGGUAAAGUAACCAGAUGUAGAUCGCCUAUCAUCCACUGCACCGGCCCAAUCAGCAUCAGUAUAUACUUCUAUACUCUGAUGAUCAACAUUUUUAGCGAACAAAAUUCCCUUCCCAGAAGCAUUCUUCAAAUACCUCAAAAUACGCAUGACUGCAUUCAUAUGUUGCUCUCCAGGAUUAUGCAUGUAUUGACUCACUACACUCAAUGCAUAAGCAAGAUCUNNNNNNNNNNNNNNNNNNNNNNNNNNNNNNNNNNNNNNNNNNNNNNNNNNNNNNNNNNNNNNNNNNNNNNNNNNNNNNNNNNNNNNNNNNNNNNNNNNNNAUGCUCUCGGGGAUUGCUUCAACCCAUACAAUGACUUCUUCAAUUUGCACACCUUCUGACAUUGCUUUUCUGACACCAUGCAUCCUGGUGGAAGAUCCAUAUAUACUUCUUCAGAUAACUCGCCAUGCAGAAAGGCAUUUUUCACAUCGAAUUAUUGUAAUGGUCAAUCUAGGUUUGCAGCUAAAGACAAUAAUACUCGAAUUGUGUUGGUCUUAGCUACAGGUGCAAAUGUCUAUGUGUAGUCAAUUCCAUAAGUUUGAGUGUACCCUUUUACUACCAGUCUUGCUUUAAAUCGUUCAAUACUAUCAUCUGCCUUGUACUUCACAGUAUAGAUCCAACGACACCCAACUGACUUCUUUCCUGGUGGACAUUCUACGAGUUCCCAUGUUUCAUUUUUCUGCAAUGAUUUCAUCUCUUCAUUCAUGGCUGCUUUCCACCUUGGAUCAGCUAAGGCUUCCUGCACACUGUUAGGAAUAGAUACAGUAGAUAAUUGAUUUACAAAUGACUUAUUUGAUUCAGACAAACGAUGGGUAAACACAUAGUUGCUCAUGGGAUAUUUGACUUUAGUAGACAAUUCAGGUUCAUAUGUGGGUUUAGGAAUACCUCUAUUAUGACGAUGUGGUAACCGUUUCAUGAAUGGAUCAGGUUCCAAAUUAAGAACACCCUCAACAGACGACGAUUGGUUUGGUAUUUCAGUGAAGACAUCUUCGGACCCAAAUUGUUGACCACUCAUAUCCAACUCACCAACUUCCUGGUUCACUAGUUCAGAUUGUCUAGAUUCAUCUUCCUCAGAGAUAUGAUAAUUAUAAUCGAGAGUCUGAAUUUCUUUAUGAUACUCCCCCUGAAGUUCAGACUCAGAUGAAAAAUACAUUGAAUCUUCAUGAAACACCACAUCCAUUGUAAUAUACAUUUGUCGAGUUGGAGGAUGGUAACAUCGAUAUCCCUUUUUGUGCAAUGCAUAUCCAACAAACACACAUUGCAAUGCAUGGGAAGUUAACUUGGUGCGUUGGUGCUUGUGUAGAUGCACAAAUGCCACGCAACCAAAAACACGAGGAGGUAGAUUUGGGACGGUUGGGGCAACUACGGCAUUAGUAAGAACUUGGAGAGGUGUUUGAAAGUUAAUUGAGCUAGAAGGUACUCGAUUAAUCAAGUAUGCGGCAGAUGUGAUUGCUUCUCCCCAAUAAGAUAUCAGUGUUUUUUAUGCUAUCAAGGAAGCACGAACAACCUCUAACAAAUGUCGAUUUUUUCAUUCAACGACUCCAUUUUGCUGGGGUGUAUUGGAACAAGUAGUCUGAUGAAUGAUGUCAUGUCCUUCCAAAUACUUUUGAAGAUCAGAACUUUGAUAUUCUCCACCAUUAUCACUAUGCAGAACCCGAACCUUUGCAUUGUACUGAGUUUCAAUUAUUUUAUGAAAUUUUUGAAACAACAAGUUCACUUCAUCUUUGGUCUUCAUCAAGCAUAACCAUGUCAUUCUGGUACAAUCAUCAAUAAAAGUAACAAACCAACGUGAGCCACUCAAAGUUGGGACUUUGGAUGGGCCCCAAACAUUAGAAUGUAUAACCAUAAAAGGAAACAAACUUUUAUUCAAAAUUAACGGAAACGAAGCACGAUGGCUUUUAGCCAAUUCACAAAUAUCACAACGGAAACCAGAAAUAUCACUCUUUGCAAACAAACUAGGAAACAAUUUUUUUAAAUAACCAAAGGAAGCAUGUCCCAAACGUCGAUGCCACAACCAAAUUUCAGAUUUUUUCUUCUCCCCCUCAAAUCCAUUUGCCAUCAAGGCUUGUUGCAACUUAUUUGAAUCCUUUGAUUACAAGUCCAAGUAAUAGAGUUUUCCCCAUUUAAUACUACAACCAAUCGUCUGUGUUGUUUGGAUGUCCUUAAUCAUACAAAAUUCAGGCUAAAAAAUGACAAUACAAGAUAAGGUUGUAGUGAUUUGAGAAACUGACAAAAGAUUGUAAUCUAAAGAUGAAACAACUAAAACAGAAUCCAAAUUCAAAGUAUCAGUAAGAGUUAAGGAUCCUUCCCCAAUGACUGGGGUUGUGUUACCAUUGGCUGUGGAAAUAAUUUUUUGUCAGGAAGGUCUAAGGGGUGAAACCUGUUUAGAAUCAAAAGUCAUAUGAUCUGUAGCACCAGAAUCAAUUAUCCAUGCACUAUUAAUAACAGGUGUAAAAGUAUUUAAAAACUUACCACCAUGAUCAGUAGCGGCUACCAAUGCAGAGGCUUUCUCAGCAACAUUAGCCUCUGUUUUUAUUUCGGCAACAGUUGCAGUCGAGGUUUUCUUGGGAUCCUUCUUCCGUUGACCACGAUUAUUAUAAUUAAUAACAAAGUGUUGAUAGCCAAAACAUGAUCUAAAGGUCCAUGGUUCAAACCCUCGGUUCCUUAUUGUUUUCCUGGUCAUACCAAGAGUCGUUGCUUUGAAAUUGUGGGAUAUCCAGACUGGUGGGACCAGUCUUAUUGAAGUGAGUGCAUUUGAAGGUUGACUUAUCAAUAUUAGGGUUUGUCUUAGGAUGGUUGAUCGCUGUCGGACUACCAUAGCGACAAAAUAUCCAGGAUUUCAGUUCCAUGGCUCUGAUACCAUCUUCAAAUUGAUAAAUGGUAGUUUUUUUCAUUCAUACUUUCAUUCGUUCAUGUACAAAGUAUAUAUAGAGGGUAAUCAUCAUUCUAAUAAUGGGAAAGAAUGAUACAAGGAAAGAAUGAUAUAAGGAAAUAACAACUAAUAUCCUAAUAUCUCAACUUUCCUAAUAUAUCAAUAUUCUUAAUAUCUCAAUAUUCCUAGUAUCUCAAUAUUCAUAAUAUCUCAAUAUUCAUAAUAUCUCAAUAUUCAUAAUAUCUCAACUUUCCUAAUAUCUAAAUGCUAAAUAAUAUAAGGAAAGCAUUUCUAAUAUCUCAACAAUAUUUUCUAUGGACAACCAAAGGGUAUUUGAUUAAAAGGGAACAAAUCAUCCCCAUUUUGUAAAACUAACCCUUCAGCUUUUUUUUCAACUUAAAAAAUACUCAUUUUGGAUAAAAACACUCAUUUUUUUCUUGCAAAAAUAACCCUUUUAUAAAACACAAAUGUAAAUAAUAGAAGUGUUGAAGGGCACUUAUAUCAAAAUUGGGUUACAAUUCAAGUUUUAAAAAAAAUGGGAGAAGUUAGUUUUAUAAAUUAGGGAUCUUUUCAUCCCUUUAAAUCAAUUAAUCCAAUAAAAAAAAUUAUCAUUUUUCUUUCUUUCCUUUUUUUCUCCCUAUUUUCUUUCAAUCUUUUUCCAACCAUCAAACAUAGCCCAAUGAUUUUAUAUUUUGUCAAUACUCUUAUUCACGUUUUCUUAAUAGUUUUGUUAUUACUAAAUACCACCUUGCUUCAAAAUUUAUGGUUUUAUACAUGUUUACGUCUAUAUGAGUUCCCUUUUAAAGAAAAGAAACUCUUAUUGUUAAUCCAUGCCAAUUUUACCUUCAUCCAAUGCACCAAUUUAUUAUUCUAUCUUUACAUGUUUCAUAUCAUUAAUUAAUAAAGAUAAAAAAGAAAAUAUAAAAAUUAUGAAAAAAAAAAAUUUAAAUAAACAAAGGAAAAUAAUCAUAUUGAAUGGAAAAAAAAAUCCAAGAAUAAAAACAAGUUGAUUUAAUAAAAAAAAAAUAUAACAAUUAAAAAGGUUUUUUUUUUUACUUCAAUUUCCUCAAACAUGUCCUAAAAAUGAAGGUAAAAAAAUUGGGAAAAAUGAGUUUUGACUCACCAAUUUGAAAAAAUAUAGAAAAUGAAGCCCAAUUUUUAUAAUCAAAUUUAUCUUCAUCUAUUUAAAAUUAUUUUAAAAUACAUGCACUUUUUAAAAAAUCACAUAAUUAUUUCCUAAAAUAAUGUUUUACUUAUUAGGUUAAUAAAUCCAAUUGACAAUUUUUUUUUUACCAUGAAAAUUGAUUUGAGGUUAAUAAAAUAAGAAAUUUUAAAAAUUAAAAAUACAAUUUAAACUAAAAAAAACUUUAAAGCUAAAAAUAUAAAAAUAAAAUAUUAACUUUCACUUCAUUUAAUCCCAUUAGUAAAAAAAUAUAGAUUUCACAUAGAGUUGGGAAUAUUUUAUUGUUGAUGUUAACUUUUAGUAAGAGAAUUAAAAAUAUUUUAUUUAUCAUUUUAUGAUUCUAGAGAAUUUUUUCAAAAUGACUUGUAUUUCAUAUUAUAUAAUAAAAAGUUUAUAAUCUAUUUAUUUGUAAGAUGUUUUGAUCACAUUAAAAUAAUCAAUUAUUUAUUUGAUAAUUUUGUAAUAUUAUCACGUAAAAUGAUAUUUCAGAAAAUAAUUAUAUGACUUAUAAAAAAGUGCAUGUAUUUUAAAAUAUUUUUAAAUUAAUAAAGAUAAAACUAAUUUAUAAAAGUUAAGGUUACUUUUUCUAUAUUUUUUUAAAUUAUUCCCUAAAUAUUUGUUGAUAAUAAAAAUAAUCUUUAAAAAAAUAAUAAAAAAUUAAAAUAAUAGAAAUCUUUCAAAGGUAAAGAAAUCUUGGAAAGAGAAAAAAAAGGCACUUCAAGUAAUUUAAAUGAUGCUUUAAAAAAAUAAAAGAAAGAAGAAAAAGAAAUCAAAUUUACUUUAAAGUUUAAACAUACUUCUUAUUGAUGGAUGAUGAUAGUAGAUGAAAUUUUUUGAUUAUUCUACCCAAACACAACAAAAAAUAAAAUAUGAUAAAAAUAUUCAAUUAUUCUACCCAAACACAAUAAAAAAUAUAUGUGAUGAGUACCUAAGAAAAUAUGACAAAAUGAAAAUAAUUUUCAUUUUUCUCAAACAUGACAAAAGAUAUAAAUAGAUUAGUUAAUUUUGGAUGGUAAGGAAACUCCCUUCAAGAUUUUCAUAUUUUAAAAUUUAAAGCCUAUUAAGAAUCCAUUUGCAGUGAUUUUAGGAAAUACUUUUAAUUUUUCUAACACUUGAAAUUUUUUAUUAUUCAAGUAUUAGAGUUGCUAGAAACAUUUUUUGGAAUUACUUCUAAAAGCACUCUAAAUUUCCUAGUUAGAUGUUGUAAACAUAAAAAUUUUAGUGGAUUAAAUUACCACUAAUUUGAUCUUCAAAAUGAAUAAAUAAAUAAAUAAAAAUAGAUAUCCUCUUAUCGAUAAGUUUACUAGAAAAGGAAAAUUAAUGUCAUAAUAUUUAUAAUAAGAAAAAUAUUAUUAUUAUUAUUAUUAUCUUGUUGGUGAACCAGAAGAAAAAUUAAUAAAAUCAAGGAACUAAAUCUCUUGAAUUAAGAAAUUUAAGUUCCCUACCUUCACCUAACUUUUUUCAAGAAAGGGGAUCAGGGGAGAAAUUUAGAAAUCGGAAAAACUCAGAGAAAAAAAUCCAAAGGCAACUUUGUACGAGAAAAAAAACUUCACAACAUAAGAAAAAGUUUUAUCAAAUCUCUCUGACAAGUUUGGUAAACAAUAGAACUAUUACACGUGUUUUUCGCCAUUUAGCAAGUUCACUAGAGAAAAAGCUACUCCAAGCCCUUGAUUGAUCUUCAAAUCCAAGGAAACAAGUUUGUCAUCAUUCUUCAAGUUGUGGUAAAAACAAAUGAAUUAGAGGAAAAAUAUUCUUUUGUAAAUAAUAUUUUAUUUGAGACUAUACCCUACAAUUUUAAUUUCAACAAAUACUUUGUUCCCAUUAUUUUUCCUAUUGUUUUGAUAAUUUUAUAGGACUUUAUAUGAAAUUUGUGCGUACAAAUGACAAAAUGAAUUAUCAUAAUAUUACUUUGGGGUGACAUUUGAAUUUUUUUUUUCUCUUUUAAGAUAAGCAAUGUGAUGAAUUAAAACACUCACGAGUAUCUCCAAUAGAGAUGCUAAAGAAGACUUAAAAAGUUUUAGCUUUCCAAGUAUUUAAAAUUAUUACAUUUAUAAAUUUAAAAAUUCAAAUUGAUUAACUAAGUUAUAAUAAUAAUAAGUUUAAUAUAUUAAAAUUGUGUUAACAGAUUGAAAUCAUGUUAACAACUAAAUGGAUUAGAAUUGUGUUAAUGAGUUUACAACAUUGAAAUCAUGUUUACGAGUUAUUCAUGUCAAUUCAUACAUAAUCUAGACUUAACUCAUUUAUUAAAUGGACUCGUGUGAGGUCAUUUGGAUAUGAUGAUUAAAUGUAUGGUAUUCAAAUCAAAUAAAUUUUUUCUAUUUUUAAAGUUUAGACUACAUGAAUUUUGACUCAUUUGGCCCGUGCUAUAUAUAUAUAUAUAUAUAUAUAUAUAUGUGUGUGUGAAAGAGAGAGAGAGAGAGGGGGUUAUUUAAUUAAAAGGGAUGAAACAAAAAAAUUCCUUUUUUAUUUUUUAUUUUAUAAAAAUACCCACAUCUUUUUCUUAUAAAAAUAAUCUUUUCUUUUAAAAUUUACAUGUAAAUAAUUAAAAUAUGGAAUGAAAUUUAUGUCAAAAAUAGACUAAUUAAGUGGAGUGGGUUAAUAUAUAUAAAGUUAUUUGAUUAAAAGUUUUUGUUUUCAAAAAUAGAGUACUUUUAGGACUCUUUGACAAUUAGAAUAGUUGUUUUUAGUUAUUUUCAUUUAUUUUUUUGAGAAUUAUUUUUAAAAUAAUUAUACAAAUACUAAGAAUAAUUAAAAAUAAAAAACUGCAUAAAAAUUAUUUUCUAAACAUAUUUAAAAAUAUAUAAAACAUGUUAAAAACAUUUCAAAUCCUAAACAUAUAUUUGUUUUACAAAACAUCGAGAAUUGUAUUCAAAAACUGUUUUUUAGAACUAUUAUAAAAAACAAUUACCAACGUAACAUUAACUCUUCAUUUGUUCUAUUUCUUUUUGACAAAAAUAACUUCACUUUUAUUUUUAUAAUAUGCAUAUAUAUAUAUAUAUAUAUAUAUAUAUUAAAGAUGAAUUGCUUUUCAAUUAAAAACAUUGGAUGAGUAUAGGAGAAUUCUUACCGAAUCAAAUUUUGAGAGUGGGCACGCAAAGCUCUCGAUGCCUCAACCCUCCUAUCAAAUUGAGCCUUCUUAUCCAACACCUUCAACCACUUCAUCACCCUCUUCCGAUGUUUCAUACUGAGUCAUAGUUUACAAAUGAAUUUAUAUGUGAAUAAAUUGAAAAGGAAAAUUUUUAAGUUUAUGUUUCAUUUUUUAACUUUUUGUUGAAAACAACUUCCCUUCAAAUUUCAAAAUGUUUAUUCUUUUAUAUAUAUAUUUGAAAGUUUAAAUCCAAAUACUUAAAACGGUGGAGACAUUUAUGUUAAAGAUGAAUUACUUUUCAAUUAAAAACAUCAGAUAGUAAAAGAGAAUUCUUACUAAAUCAAAUUUUGAGAGUGAGCACAGGAUGGUCCUGAUGCCUUAGCCUUCGUAUCAAAUUGAGCCUUCUUAUCCAACCACUUCAUCACCCUCUUCUGAAGAUCCAUACUGAAUCACAGUUUCCAAAUGAAUUUACAUGUGAAUAAAUUUGAAAGCAAAAUUUUUAUGUAUUUGCUUUUUUUUUUUUUUUGAAACUUUAUAGUGAAAACAACUUAAAAUGUUUGUGUUUUAUUUUUUACAUUCUUACUAAAUAUUAAAAUCCAAAUUAUUUGACUUUUCUGAGUACUAAAAAUAAAUUUUUAUUUAUUUUACUUCUUAAUAUCUAAUAAAAAUAAAAUAUUAGAAAUACAAAUAACUUAAUAUUUUAAGUUAUUAUUAUUAAGUAUUAUUUAGCUUUAAAUUUCAUUUAGAAUUAAGUGAAAAAAACAAACAAGAGUAUGUUUGAUUCAAGGAAAAUACAGAAAGAAAGAAAGAAAAAAUAUAAAAAAUAAUAUACUACUACCUAAUUUAACUUAUUUUAAGUGAUUAAAUAAUCUAAAAAUAUAUAAGUUACAAACCUAUUUUAAUUACACGAUAAAAUCAUUCUUUUUUAACAUCUUUUUUCUUUGGAACCAAACCUACAUGGCCUCAGAACAGGGUAUCACUUACGGAUUGGGAUCCCCUUCGGAAGACAACGGCCACCGCCGCAGCAACCUCUGCGAGACCUCGCCCAGAUCAUUUCUAAAUCUCACAGUAUGUGAAGACAACGGCCGCCUCCAAGGCAACUUCAGCCACUUCCAACGCUGAUAAAGCUGCUCCCCCUGAUCGUUACUAAAUCCCAGAGUGUCGGAAUCGGAAUCCGAAUCUGAAUUCAUAUCCCAUUCCCAAUCCGAAUCUGAAUCUGGAUCUAUAACUUUUCCCAGUUCACUCGUACCCUCCACUGUCAAGUUUUGGCUGUUGCUCUGCUUCGCCUCCAUCCCUCAGUCGGUAAGGUAGCUAUGAAUUUCCAUCACCAAUUUUAGCUGAUUUUUCACCUGCAUAAACUGAAAGACUGGUAGGUCUUUGAAGGCACAUUUGGUUCCUUCGAAUUCAACCCCGGACGCCUUCGUCCUGUACUCUAGAGAGGGUCCAAAUUAUAUAAUAUAGCUAGGUUUACUCCAAGGCAGUGAACAGUUAUUUAAUAAAGUUAAUAACUUAAUACUAAAUUAAUUUUUAAAAUUUAUUUAAUAAAAACUAUAAAAAAAAUAAUUUAUUUUAAAGAAAUAAGCUUUUUUAUAAAAAAAAUUAUAAAAGAAUUUGGAACAAUAUAAUUUAUAAUUAAAUAACAAAAUUAUUUAUUUAGACCUAUUUUAUAGCCGGGUGUUUUAGCUUUAAAGUUACGUUAGAAUUCAAACCAAUAAAAAAAUAUUAUUUUAUUAGAUACUGAACUCCUAAUUAUUUUCAAAAUAUUAAUUAAGUUUAAUAAAUAAUAUUAAUGAAUUAACAUAAAAAUCUAAUAUGAAAUAAAAAUAAUUUUAUUUAAUUUUUUAUUAAAAAAUAUUAUUAAAUAAAAUUAUCAAAUAAUUGUAACAUCAAAUAAUAGAAGAUGUAAAUAUAGAAUAAAAAUAUUUUUGAAACUAAAUUUUUUAUUAAAUAAACUAAUUUUAAUUAAUCUUAGUAACCACUAAUAAAAAAUACUAAACAAUAUUAAAUAAAAAAUUUGUUGUAAAUUUAUAUAUAUAUAUAUAACACAUUUUAAUUUUAAAAUUAUUAUAAUUAAUUAAAAUUUAAAAAUAAUAUUAAAUAAUAAAAAUCGAAUAUCAAAUAAAAAUUUGAAGCAAAAUCAUCGUAAUUCACCUUUAUCUUUAUUAUUUUAAUAUUUCAAUAACUUAAAUAAGAGGGUUGUACAAUGGGAUGUGGGUUUGUACACGUAAUAUUGUGCAUGACCCUUGUGUAGUGAAGAAUGGGUGAAUAGGGUCCACGUGUCGUUAUGUGGUGCAUCUCUUGUUCAGAUAGUAGAGAAAACGGUUACACUUAGUUCUCAAUUAAAUUACAUAUAUAUCAUUCUUAUUAGUUUGGUGUAAUGGGAGAUCAAUGGUUUAAACAAAAUAAGGAAAGUAAAAAAGUUACAACAAUACUUUCAUUCUAGCUUUUAUAGUAUAAAGAUAUUGGGGUGAUUUCCACAACCAUUGUUUUAUUCUUUCUACCCACCUAUUGAACAAGCCAAUUGAGGAGGUGCAUUUUUUCACUCUAAGGUAAUAUUGUUUUUUAUUUAUGAAAAUUUGAUUUUUAAAAAAUGUGGUUUUUUCAUUUAUUUUAGUUUAUUUUAAAAUAAAAAAUAAAAUAAGAAAUAAAACUCUAAUGUAACUUCUUAUGUUUCUCAAAAAAAAUAAAAAAAUUGUAAAAACCAUUUUAUCCAAAAUUGGGUUAUUUAUUAGGAAGCUAUGAUAAUAAACACCUCUCCCACAUAGUUAUGGUUUCUAUAGAACAAAUGAAGUGAAAUAUAAUAAUUAAUAAUUAAUUAAUCAUGGAUACGGGAAUGAUACGUACAAAUAAUUAUGUACAAGUUAUAGUAAAAAUUAAAUUAUAAGAAUAGAUAAAAUAAAUAAAUAAAAAAGAAGCAAAUUGAUUUAUUAAGUUAAUUAGAAAAAAAUAUUUUAUUAUUUACCACAUAAUUUGAAGAAUUUAUUUGUAUUAAAAAACAAUUUUAAAUUGAUGAUUUCAAUUUGUUCACUUAAUAAAAAUUUUAAUUUAUUUUUAAUUGAUUUAAUUUAAUUUGUAUUUAAUUUUCAUGAAAGUUAUUUACAUAUGUUUUAUCAAAAUAAUUAAGAAAAUUCAAUUUGACAAUAAAGAUGAUUUUUACUUGCUUUACUAGAAAAAUAAUGAAUUUUUAUAAUUUUAUUUAAUAAAAAUUAUUUUUGCAAAUAGACAGAAAAAUGAAUUUUUAUAUAUAUAGUUAUUUGUAAGCAAAUUGAUUUUUGUGAAAAAAUGAAGUUUUCAAUUUUCUUUACAAAAAUAUUAAAAACCAAGUAGGAAAAAAAAAUUAAUUGGAAGAUUACUUUUUACAAAAUUGUUUUAAUCUUUUUUCUUUGCGUUUUUUUUUUUACUUACCAUAAACGAUGUAUUUUCUAUUUUGUUCAAAAAGAUUUAUUAAAAAAAUGAUUUUAUCCUUCUUUGAUUUUUGUGGAAAGGUUUUUUUUUUAAAAAAAAAAAUUAUCUUUGAUUUUAUUAAAAAAAAAAAAAAGAGUUUUGAAAUUUUGUAUCAGGUUGAAAGACGAGCCACAGUUAAGUUUUGGUGAAGUAGCUUGAAGUGUGGCAGCUACCAUUCCUACCAUGACCAUCAUAUCGUAUCAAGGUUGAAUGACAAGUCAAUUUCUGUCCGCUACAGUUAAGUUUCGGGUGAAGUAGCUUGAAGUGUGGCAGCUGCCAUUAUCAAGGUUGAAUGACCAGCCAAUUUCUGUCCGAUGCAGUUGAUUAUUAGGUGAAGUGAAGUGAAGUGUGGUAGCUGCCAUUCCUGUUGACCAUGACCAUUGUAUCAUAUCAAGCUUGAAAGACCAGCCAAGAGUUUUGGUGAAGUAGCUUGAAGCGUGGCAGCUGCCAUUCACCAUGACCAUUAUAUGGUAUCAAGGUUGAAUGACAAGUCAAUUUCUGUCCGCUACAGUUAAGUUUUGGGUGAAGUAGCUUGAAGUGUGGCAGCUGCCAUUAUCAAGGUUGAAUGACAAGUCAAUUUCUGUCUGCUACAGUUGAUUAUUAGGUGAAGUGAAGUGUGGCAGCUACCAUUCCUGUUGACCAUGACCAUUGUGUCAUAUCAAGCUUGAAAGACCAGCCAAUUUCUGUCAGCUAUAGAUAAGUUUUGGUGAAGUAGUUUGAAGUGUCGCACUGCCAUUCACCCUCAAAUGAUAUGACCAUGGGAAGGGAAAAUUCUAUAGUACCUCUAUCGGUACCGUACCAAAGCCCUUGAUGCCCUAAAUUAUAUCUUGACCAUUCAUUUUAAAUUUAAGAAGAAAAAUCAACUCGAUCAAUUAAGGGAAGAACCGAUUAUGACCUUCCCUAUGGUACCUCUGUUGGUACCCCACCAAAAAUCUUUUAAGCCAUUGGAUGCCCUAAAUUACAUCUUGACCAUUCAUUUUAAAUUCAAGAAGCAAAAUCAACCCGACCGAUUAAGGGAAGAACUGAUUAUGACCUUCCCUACGGUACCUCCGUCGGUACCCUACCAAAAAUCUUUUAAGCCAUUGGAUGCCCUAUAUUACAUUUUGGCCAUCCAAUUUAAAUUCAAAAAGAAAAAUCAACUCGACCGAUUAAGGGAAGUAUCGGUUGUGACCUUCCAAUCUCUUUUCUUUUUCACUUUUCCUCCAUCCAUUUUCAACCAUUUUGGGUUUAUAUAAAACAAAUAAAAGAUAAAUAUUGAGAUAAAAAAAUAGAAUUGGAUAAAAAUAAAAAUAAAAAUAAAAUUGAUAUAAAAUUUGCAAAACAUAUUUAUUAACAAAAAAAAAAAAUCAUCACAUAUUAUAAUUACAUUGUUUUAUUUUUAACAUUAAAUUUUUAAUUUUACGUAACAAUGAAUAUAAUAAUAUUUUAAUAUGAAAUGAGUAUUUGCAUUAAAAUUCAAUAUCUUGAUAAUCAUAUGUAAAACAAAUGUAUUAAAUAAUUAGAUUGUCCUCAUAUUUUUUAUACCCUCCAAAUUCUAUAUUUUUUGAAUUUAAGGUUUUUAAAUUAUAAUUACAAUAAAAUAAAUUACAAAUAUUAUUUUGAGUUACUAAUGAUGGUAUUUUCAAAAAUAAAUUUGUAAUUUCAAGAAAUUAAAAACUAAAAGUCGGUAUGAAAAAUGUUAUGAAGGUACUAAGCAUGUAUUUAUCACAUUCUUCAUAUCAUGUGAUCAUGGGAAUUAUUCUGAAAAAAAAUAAAUUAAAACACUAUGCAAUUGUAGAGGGUAUGAAAAAUAUGAAGAAUUCUUAUAUUCUUCAUACCCUUCUUCACAUUUUUAGUACUCCCAAAAUUUUAUAAUUUUUCAAAUUUUAAGAAAUUUUUUCCACUUGUAAAUAUAAUAAUAUUGCUUAUUGGUACUAAUUAAGCUAAAAAAUGAUGGAAAUUAUAUUUUUAAAAUUUAAAAAUUAAAACACUAAAAAAUUGGAGAGGCUACGAAGAUUAAUAUAAGCAUCCUCACAUUCUUUAUAUAUUUUCUCACAUUUUUCGUACUCUCAAAAUUUUUCAAUUUUUUGAAUUUUAAAUACAUUAAUAUUGUUUAUUGAUACUGAUUAAUCUUAAAAAUGAUGGAAAUUAUCUUCAAAAAAAUUAAAAAGUUGAAAUAGUAAAAAAUUGAAGAGGGUAUGAAGAAUGUGAGGCUAACAUUCUUCAUACCAUUCCACACAUUUUUCCUACCAUCGAAAUUUACAAAUUUUCAAAUUUUCAAAAUUUUUUUUUCCACUUGGAAAUACAAUAAUAUUUUUUUUAUUAAUACUAAUUAAAUUUAGAAAUGAUAGAAAUUAUCUUCAAAAAAAUUUAAAAAUUAAAAAUUGAAGAAAGAACAAAGAUCCUCACAUUCUUUAUAUCAUUUUUCACAUUUUUCAUACCAUCAAAAUUUUACAAUUUUUCAAAUUUUAAGAAUUUUUUUCCACUUGGAAAAACAAUAAAUAUUGUUUAUUAAUACUAAUUAAGCUUAGAAAUGAUAGAAAUUAUCCUCAAAAAAAUUAAAAAAUUGAAAUAGUAAACAAUUGGAGAGGGUACAAAGAAUGUGAGGAAUGUUCACAUUCUUCAUACCCUUCCUCACCUUCUUCAUACCUUUGAAAUUUUAAGAUUUUUUUUCACACUUGGAAAUACAAUAAUAUUUUUUUAUUGAUACUAAUUAAUUUUAGAAAUGAUGGAAAUUAUCCUCAAAAAAAUUAAAAAAUUAAAACAUUACCCUUGAAAUUUUACAAAUUUUCAAUUUUUUUUUUCCACUUGGAAAUACAAUAAUAUUGUUUAUUGAUACUAAUUAAAUUAGAAAUUAUGGAAGUUACCCUUAAAAAAUUUUAAAAAAUAAAAAUUAAACACUAAAUUUUACAAUUUUUUUAUUUUUUUUCCACUUAAAUAUACAAUAAUAUUAUUUAUUGAUAUUAAUCAAGCUUAGAAAUGGUGUAAAUUAUCCUUAAAAAAAUUAGAGAAUUAAAAUACUAAAAAUUUGGUAAUUGUACAAAGAAUGUGAGGAAUUGUACAAAAAAUAUGAGGAUUCUCACAUUGUUCUUCGUACAAUUUUUCACAUUCUUCGUACUUGGGAUUUUUACAUUUUUUAUGAUUUUAAGAAUUUUUUUCCAUUGGAAAAUGCAAUAAUAUUGUUUAUCCGUAGUAACUAAGCUUAGAAAUGACAAAAAUUAUCCUUAAAAAAAAUUAAAAUUUAAAACACUAAGUAAUUGUAGAGGGUACGAAGAAUGUGAGGAUUAAAAUUUUAUAAUUUUAAGAAUUUUUUUAUUUGGAAAUUCAAUAAUAUCUCUUACUAUUCUAAUUAAGCUUAGAAAUGAUGAGAAUUAUCAUAAAAAGUUUACAAAAUUUAAAAUUUUAAAAAGUAAAUAAUCGUUUUCCAAUUUUAAAAACGAAACUCGUUUUUUUGUUUGUUUUGUGAAAUUUUGAUUUUUAGAAAAAGACUUGGAAUCAUCAUUUUUUUUUUUUUUAAGGAAAACAUAGAAUAAGAAAGAAAAACCAUAAGUGUGACUUCUUAAGGAAAAAAAUAGGUCUGUGAAAAAUUGAGUCUGGGUCCGGGGGUCAAGUUACCUAUUGGGAAGGUAUGGUGGUGAGUCAUAACACCCCUCUAAGUCCCUAAAAACUGGUCUCUACUAAAUAAUGUGAAACAAACAUAACAAUUAACUAGGAAAUUAAUAGAUACCAAUGAAAUAAUCAAAUAAUAAAAUGAAUCAUGUAUGAGAAUAAGCAAAGUGAGAGUGAGAGCGUACCUUGACAACAAGUAAUAGUGCGCUGUCAUGGAAACAAAGUUAGUUCAAGUAUAAAAUUAUCACAUGCAUAUCAAAGAACAAGAUAAAGAUCAAACAAUAUUCAUUAAGCGUAGUAGUUGACAAUCAGAAGAGAUCAUAUGUAAGGCCCCCAUCAAAGCCCAAAUUUAUCUUGUAUGAAUUAGUCUCAUUAAUUCCAUUAUUUUGGAAUUAUGAAAAAUUCAUUAUUGCUUAUUGAAAAUAAAGGAAAACGAAAAAAAUUAUUUUUAAAUCAAAGAAAAUUUGAGAAAAAUGCUUACCUAAAAGGAAAUGUAGCAAGUUUAUUUAAAAACGGGAUUUUUAGCUACUUAAAACCCUAAUGAAGGAUGAAAAAUGGUAGAAUUAAAAAAAUAUUUGAAAACUUGAGUGAGAUUAAAAUUAUUUGAAAGAAAACCAGAGUUUUGAAAUUUGUUUGAAAAUUGAAGUAUCGAAAAUUAUUUGAAAAUUGGAGUUUUGAAAAUUAAAUUUAAGAAUUGGAAUUUUGAAAAUUAAAUUUGAAAGAAAUUGAAAUUUUGAAAAUUAUUUAAGAAUUGGAGUUUUGAAAGUUAAAUUUAAGAAUUGGAGUUUUGGAAAUUAAAUUUGAAAGAAAUUGGAGUUUCGAAAAUUAAAUUUAAGAAUUGGAAUUUUGAGAAUUAAAUUGAAAGAAAUUGGAAUUUUGAAAAUUAUUUGAGAAUUGGAGUUUUGGAAAUUAAAUUUGAAAGGAAUUGGAAUUUUGAAAAUUAUUUGAGAAUUAGAGUUUUGAAAGUAAAAUUUAAGAAUUGGAGUUUUGGAAAUUAAAUUCGAAAGAAAUUGGAAUUUCAAAAAUUAUUUAAAAAUUGGAGUUUUGAAAAUUAAAUUUAAGAAUUAGAGUUUUGGAAAUUAAAUUUGAAAAAAAAAAUUAGAGUUUUGAAAAUUAAUUGAGAAUUGGAGUUUUGAAAAUUAGUUUUAAGAAUUGAAGUUUUGGAAAUUAAAUUUAAGAAUUGGAAUUUUGGAAAUUAAAUUUGAAAGAAAUUGUAAUUUUGAAAAUUAUUUGAGAAUUGGAGUUUUGAAAAUUAAAUUUGAAGAUAAUUAAAGUUUGGAAAGUUAAAGUUUUGAAAAUUAAACUUAGAAAUUGGAGUUUUGAAAAAUUAAAUUAAAAAUUGGAGUUUUGGAAAUUUAUUUGAAAAGGAAAGUUUGGAAACUUAAAUUUAAAAAUAAUUCAAGUUUGGAAAGUUGAAGUUUUGAAAAUUAAACUCAAAAAUUGGAGUUUUGAAAAAUUAAAUUAAAAAUUGGAGUUUUGGAAAUUAUUUGAAAAUUAGAGUUUUAAAAAUUAAAUUUGAAAAUUGAAAUUUUCUAAAAAAUUGGAAUUUUGAUACCAAAAGAUGAAGAAUUAAGAUAUCGACAUGUGGUCGUUGGAUUGUGCACUAGAUGGGUGGCCAUGCAAAAGUGGGGGCCAGGAUGCAAGGUGACUACUUAGAGACUGUGUGGGCUGUGACAGGCUAGGAAGGCUGCUUGGUGACUGUGUGGGCUGUGUCAGGCUAGGAAGGAUAAUGGGUGACUGUGUGGGUUGUGAUAGGUGUAUAGGGGUAAGCUAGUGAGCGAUAGGGUACGAUGGGUUUGGUGACAUAGGGUUAAUGGUGGUAAGCUGGUCCCAAGGUAUGGCUUAUUCAACUAAGUAGGUAAUACGAGUUUCUUCCAGUUUCUUCCACUAUAGGAGCUUCUUAAUCAAAUGAAAGGAUUGAGCAGGCAACAUGAUUCUUCCGGUCGCUUUCAAUUUCAUCAAGAAUUGACCACCGAUUCAACAAAUACUCCUUUAACUGUAAGACCCUUAUGGGAUUGAAGCUCUUGCGACCACCUGAGGGGCAAACUGCAUAACCCAUCAUAAUCGCCUAAAACUCUAAAGCAUUAGGUUUCCAUCCAUCCUUGUGCAUCGACUCAGAAAGCCCAGAAAUCUACUGGUUUCACUCACCCAACUGAAAAUGGAGCUUCACACCGACAUUCAACAAUCUCAUAUACUCCAUCUCAAACCCCGUACAACCCAAUAGGAGACUCACAGGAAGGUAUACAGAGGAACAGAGCAAAGACGAGCAGAGUAAAAGAAAAAGAAAGAAAAGAAAGAAAGAAAAAUAGAAAAAAAAACAAAUAGAAAAUCAAGAAAAAAUUAAGUGCAUGAAGCCUCAUUUCAUAUGUCUUUCGUGAGCUCGAAGCAAGUGGGGGAAACCUAAAGAAGAUUCAAAACAUGAAUAAAGAUACCUCCAAAUUGCUACACAAUGUAUAUAGAACAGAGUCCCGACAACCUGAAAUCGGCCCACGAGAAUAGCAGGUGAAUCAACAACAACGAAGUACAUAAAAAGAAAUAUCCGAAAGUCAAUAAAGCUCAACAUGUAAUCCAUAUUAUCCACACCUAAAUCAACAAAGCGAUACCAGGCAAACAAGAGGAAUGAGAGAAGAGAAGUAUGUAAUUCAAAAUAGGUUUCGUGACAAACUUACCUGGAGUUGCUCCUUAUCUAUAUUAUGCUCAUUCCCCUAUCACUGCUCGUUUCUCUUCUUUUCUCUUCAGCUCGCUCUCCCCGAGGGUGGCCAUAUUGGUGUGGAUGAAAGUGGUGGUUGUGAUGUAGGCGAUGUCUUCCAUGCAGAUAGAGGUGUGUGGUGCCACGUAGGGCGAGGCGCAGUGGUGCUAUGGGCGUGGCGUAAAGGUUGGUUCUAUACGGAAUAGGUAUGGAAGGCCGUGGAAGUGACCAGGAUGUGGGUAGCAACAAGACGGUGAUGAUCUGGAUGGGUAUAGAGGUUGCUAUAGAGGUGAUGGAGUUGAAGGUCGUGGGUGCAUAUGUGUUGGGUGUUGAGAUGGAGCCACCUACUGGUGUGGGCUGGGUUUUGGCGCUGUGUUUGGGAGCUUGGUGGUUCUCCUUAUUGGAAGCAAAAAAGAAAAAAAAUGGUGAUUUGGGUGAGGUGGUGAGGUUGCCGGUGGAUGGAGUUGUGGUUGCCCCGGUCUUCUUGGGUUUCCUUGGUGAGAAAAAAAUAAAAAUAAAUGGUGCUCCCCCCUUAAAGCCCAGAACCAAAUCCAAUUUCAAAAGCAAUAAUAUAAUAGCAAAACCAAAAAAACUAUUCUCCAAAAAAACAGGGGUCUACAAUAAUAAUAUUGUUUAUUCAUACUAAUUAAUCUUAGAAAUGAUGAAAAAUAUCCUCCAAAGAAUUAAAAAAAUGAUACACUAAAAAAUUGGAGAAGGCAUGAAUUACAAUUAAAAUUAAUUGAAAUCACACAAUUUCUUUUUCGACUUCAAUUAACCGUUGUAUUGUUUUUCCUAAUUUCAAAAUUUCAUCCAAUCUUUAAAACAAAAAAAAAAAAAAAAUCAAAUUUAGAAUAAAAAAUUAAUAACACAAUUUUCAAUUACUAAUUAACAAUAGAUACUUAUUUUUAAAUUUAUUUUAAAAAAAUUUCCACUUCAAAUAAUUAUGAUAUCCUUUAAAAAGAAUAAUUACACUCACACUUUUUUCACCCUCUAAUUUUUCUAAUUUUUUAAUUUAAUAUUUUUUUACCACUUCUAAUAGCAUUAAUAUUACUUAGGCAUACUAAUCAUCCUUAGAAAUAAUGGAAGUUAGCCACACAAAAAAAAAAUAAAAACACAAAUAAAUUUCCUUAUAUAUAUAUUUUUUUUAAAUUCCACUUCCAAAAAAUGCUUUUAAUAUUUAAUCCAAUCUUCUAAAAAAAUAAAAAAUAAAUGAAUAAAUUAAAAUUAAUAAAAAAAAUUAUAAUACCAUUUUUAAUUAAUAAUUGAUUGAUCAUAAUUCUAAUUUUUAAUAAUAAAUACUAAUUUUAAUUUAAUUAUAAAUUAUUUUUUUUACAAGGUCUUAGUGUUUAAACCUCAUAUCAUAAAAUGAGAUCACUUCCUUUUCAAAGAUAUGGUCACCGAUGGGUUACUUGUAGUAUUGGUUAUUUUGAAUUUUUUAUUCAUCUAGUGGUUUAUUCUUGUCGGUUAAAAAAUGGAGGUAUGUAACGAAAAGCACUGUUCGGUUUUAAGUCAUUGGAUGCCUAAGAUUACAUCUUCACCAUCCAUUUAAAAUUCAAAAAGAAAAAUCAACUCGACCGGUUAAGGGAAAAACCAUUUCAAUCUCUUCCCUUCUCACUUUUUCUUCGUCCAUUUUCCACAAUUUUGAAAACUUACACGUGGCUUAUUCUUAUCGGUUAAAAAAUGAAGGUGUGGUACCAAAAAGCACUGUUCGGUACCAUAGAAUGAUCCUCAUGGAAAGUCAUGAUUCCACGUUGAAAGACAAGCCCAAGUGUGUUCCUACUUACCCUCAAAGAAUAUGACUUUUUGUUCCAUGAUGAAAAAUAUGUGCCAACUGCCCUUCCUACCGACCCCUCAAAGAAUAUGACUUUCUGUUCCAUGAUGAAAAAUAUUAAAGGGGACCAGGAAAAAGACAAGACAUUUAUGUUUAUUUUUGAUGCUUGUACCAAAAUUUUAAAUGAGUUAUUUUUCUGAUGAUUCUGAAAUGAGGUGAUUGAAGACGGAACAUUACAUGUCAUCUAUUGACGAAGGGCCUUAAUUUGCAUUGGAUUUAGCAUCAAUGAGAUCAUGAAUGGAUGGCAAUGAUGAUUUCUUUAUGGGCAGAUGUAUAAAUUAAGGCUAAGUUGGAAGUUUGGCAUAGGGGUUCCUCUCUGCAGGCGCUAUUUUCAAGUCCAACCUUAAAUGUGGUCAGGUGGUAAGUUGUCUGGUUCAAAUCUACCAACAUUUGCAUUUUUUUAACCACCACAAGAAGGAACUAAGUUGAGAUGGUGGAAAUAAUACUAUCUUGACACCAUGGAAGUCAACUCAAGCCUCAAUCGUCAAGCUUUUCUGGAUGGUGUGCAGUGGGCAGUCCAUGGAGAUCUAAACAGCAAGAUCGAUAGUGGGAUCUGAUGCGUUUUCCAAGCCUCUUUCCCUGAAUUUGGAUCCUCAUCAGCAUCUCUCUCUCUCCGUUUCUUCAAUCAGGUUCAUUUUUUUUCCUUCAAUGUGAUUUUCCCCUCUCUACGAGUUGUUUGCUUGUUUGAUUUCAUAACAUUAAGUGACUGCACCUUAAAUACAUGAUCUAUUUCUAACCGAAAGGUUUGAGGGUGAGUUUGUGAUAUCCCAUGCAGAUCUCUUUUAUAUUAAGAAGAUAAAGCUAGAUAACAUGUUGGAAAGUUUUAUAAUUAUGUAGAGUUAUGCUACAGUCGCUAUUGCUCCUAUAGAGAAUUGAAGGGGGAAAACUCUACUUGUAUUUUUGUGGUUGAUAGUCCUUCAUCCAGUCCUGAAGUACAACGACUUCAAUUUUGUAGUAACCUUAUAACCAUUGGGUGUCAAACCUAAGAGAGAAUUGAAGAGGCUCUAAUUAAGGUUGGUUAAGAUGUAUGUGAUAGAGUGAAAAUGGCGUUAGAGGUUUAGAAAAUGGAUUGAGGUGGAAUGGAUGAGUGUUUAUGAGGAGGAAGGUGUGAAGAAUCGCCAAAAACAGGAGAGAAAGAUGAUUGAAAACUUUGAUUAAAAUAAUGUGAAAUAUGUUAGGAAGUGAGCAUGUUUUUAAACUUCCUCCUCAUGGUCUUUUUGCACAAAACAAUUUACACAAUCUAAGUCGUAUAGUGAAAGAGCUUAGCUUUAAAACUAAUGUAAUAUUUUUAAAAACAUGAUAUUUACACAAUGGUUUUGCUUUUCACAUUAAAUGGAUGUUUAAACUAUAAAAUACAAUGUUUUAAAAACUAGACCGGACUGAUCGAUCCAACCGUCGGCCGGUCAUCGUUUUGGUCCGGUUAAUUGGACCGGAUUGGGAUUGAACCUGGGUUGGACUUCUUGAACUGGUGGUCCAGCCGGUGAACCGGACGAACCAGCCGGUUCCCUGCGAAUCGGUGGUUCAAUUGAUUUUAAUUUUUUUUUUUUAAAAAAACAGCAUCUAAACAACGUCGUUUUGGAGUCCUAAGCCUGCAACCUCCAAAGUCCAAACCCUCCCUCCUCCCCCCACAGCAGCUGCCAGCUUGCCGCUCCGCCUGUCGCCGAUGCGUCGCGGCCUGCGACACCCAGUCAACUCCCGCCGGCAGUCGUUAGAAGCUGGCAACCCUCCCUAUUGCUGCCUCUUCCAGUCUUCCCAGUUCCCUGCCGUGGCAUUGGAAACCCCUCCUUGCCACUGGAAGCUUGGAAACCACCUUGACUGCCUAGUAACCCCCCACCUCUCCCGGCUGUAAACAUCCCCCACCUUCGGUGUUUCAGAGAAAAGAGAGGGAAAGGGAAAGAAACGGAAAAAGAAAAAAAAAUUGCCAUUAUUCAUGCAAUCAGUUUGGUAGUUUCUUUUUCAAAUAAAAAAUUUUGCCUCUCUAGUUUGAUAUUUUUCUUUUUGGGGGUUCAAUUAGUUUGGUAGGUUGACUAGUUACUUUACUAAUUUAGAUAGAAUUUAUUAAUUUUUUAAUUUUAAAUAAUAUAUAAAAUAAAAAAAUAUAUAUUUAUGACGUCACAGGUUCGACCGCCGGUCUGACCAAUAAAUCGUAAACUGGUAACUUUUCCGGUUCAAUGGCCGAUCUGAUUCUGAAAACAUUGAUAAAAUAUUAACUCCAACCCUAAUCUUAUGAAAUUGAUUAAUGACAAAUAUAGGUCAAGGGUUAAAACCCAAGCAUAUUUCAUAAUCUAAAGAUAAGUUAUAAUGAAGGAGAAAUACAACACAUUAAAUCCUCGAAUUAAAAAUCAGGUAGAGACAAAUCAAAAACAUAUAAAAUACAAGAACAAAAAAUGUGUGUGUGUAUAUAAAGCCACAAACUUGACAUUCCGUUUUAAGAGGGAGAUUCAGAAUCUAGAAUGCUCGGUUAAUGUAAGAUACUUGGAAAAUGAGAGGGGAUAGGAGUUGGUUUAUAGUGGAGUUUAAAUCCUUUGAAAUCUUAAUUGAUGAGACUAGAGGGAAGCGAAGAGGAAAAAUCUUGUUGAGAAACAAAUGUUUUUUUUUGUGGUUUAGGUUUAGGGAGCUAAGUUUAUCUCGUUAAUUAGAAGGUAUGUAAGCUUGUUAUAGGGAUGAAGAUGGUAAGUAAUGCAACAAAGUCCAGGUUGAAUAUGGUAGAGAGUUUAGGUUGGAGCACUGAUCAAAUAGGACAAGGAGGUACAUUCUCUGCUUGGUUAGUUCUAUGGAGGUUAAGAAAUUUUCUCUAUUUUUUCCUAAAGGAAGGGAUCUACCUAGGGGGUGGUCUAUUGUGGGUGAGAAGCUUCAUCAUCUUGGUGUGGUUUUUUCUUCAGAGGCAAGGUGCAUGUAGUCUCCUCAAGGAAGGUUGAGAAGCUCAUGGUAUGGUGGAUGAAGUUGUUUGGAUUCAGGUCGCGAUUGAGGAGGUUCAUAGGAGAAAGAAAUAAUUGAGGCAGGGGCGGACCCACCAUGGGCUCGGGGCAUGUUCUUUUGUUGAUUUAGGAAUUUUAGAAAGUUAAAAAAAAAUAAAAAUGCAAAUUUGUCCCCUCUAAAAAACUAAUUUUGUGUGUGAAAAAAUAGAUAGGAUAAAAAAUUAGAUAAGCACGAAUAUUGAAUAAAUUGAAUAAAAUAUUUGUUUGUAUUUCUAAUUUUAUUUAAUGUUUCUAACACAAUGAAUUUUUUAUAUUUUUGUAUUUGAUAUUUUAUUAAUUUCUUUUUUUGUUCUGAGCCAUGUUCUGAUUAAUUUUGAGAUUUUUAAAAUGUUUAAACUUUUAGGCUUAAUCAAGUAGUUGUUAAUUCAUGAAUAUCUACAUAAUUAUUCAAAUAUAUGUUAUUUAAUUGUUGAUAAAAAUUUAAUUUUGUUUAAAUAUUUGAUAUUUUAUCAAAUAUCAUUUUUAUUGAUAAGUUAUUUUUAGUUUAAUUUAAUGAUUUUUAUAAAUGUUCAGAUUUUUAGGUUUAAUAAAAUAUUUAUUAAUUUAGAGUUGACUAUCUAAGUUUUAAUAAUGAUAUUAUACUUACAUCAUAGACAACUUUUAAAUAAAAAAUUAUCACUAUAUAGUGAUUUAUGUUUAAUUAUUUAAAAACACCCAAAAAAUUAUUAGUGAAAUUAUUAAUUUUUUUCUAAAAGUUCUAUGGAAAAAUAUUUCUAAAAAAUGUUAAAAAUGUUUUGGUGAAAAAUUUCUUACUAUCUUUAAAUUUUUUUUCACAAAUAUUAUUUGACUUUUUUUGUUUUAUGAACUUUUGGUAGACUCUUGUCAAUUUUUUAGUAUUUUUAUUAUUUAAUUUAUAAUAUUAUAAAUUCUUCUUUUCUUUUGUAAUUAUCAUUAUUGAAUGACAUCGAUGCUACCAUUUCUAAAAUAUAAAAAUUAAUCUAUAUUUAUUAUAAUUCACAAAUUUUUAUUUUGUCUCUCACCAAAAUUUCUGGUGCCACUGAGUUGAGACAUUCUGAUUGGGAGAUGGGGUGACUAUUUAGAUCCAAGUCAUGUUUGGGUGGCCCUUUACCGCCUUUGAGAAGGGGGAGUGAAGAUUUCCUUAUUAAGGGGGGCCCUUAUUUUAUUUGACUUUAGGAAUGCUCUGAUGUUGAAGUAGAUGUUGAAACUACUCCUCUUUGUCACUUGUAGUGGGCUAGAGCAUUGGUGAGAUCAAAUGGAAGCAUAAUGCCUAGGUCGUUGCAAGUGAGGGUCUUUAUGUCAAUGUUAUUAAGUUAUGGUGGGAAGUGCCACCAUGGCUCUCUCAAGUGGUGUUGAAAGGUGCGACCAGUAGCCUGAAGGUUAGGAGUGAAGGAGAGGGUUAGGCAUGCACUGGAGAGAGCAUGAGGAGGCAGGCAUUGUUUGCGGAAAAGGAAGUAGAGGGCGUGUGGUCUUUUUGAUUGUUGGAGUAGGACGAUAGGAGGGGGCCGGGGCAGCUGAUGGUUCUGAAAGGGUGCAUGCAGAGGGGCUAGGGGGUGAUUAUGAUAGUGGGAGAACAAUGACAAUGGAGGCUGUUUAGACUUGGUGUGUUUUAAGGAAGUUGAAGGUGAGGUUGUAAACUUGUAAUUGGAAAUGAGGGUUGGGCCUUGAAGAUUUGAAAGGAGCCCACCUUCUUAAUGAUAGCUUUAGUGAAGAGGCAAGGUGUUGUAGAGGUCCAUUAGAGAAAAAAGAAGUUUUUUGUGGCUUGGUCGGGUCUGUUUGGGCGGAGGGGCCUUGUACAAUGAGAGAUCCUUAGGAUUUUUAAAGGGAGAAUUAUGUUUUGGGGGUAGAUGAGCCUCCAAAUUAACAAAAGGUUCAUGUAACUCUUCAAAUUGAGCUCAAGACCCAAUGAAAGUAUGAAAAUUGAGUUGAAGGAUAUCAUCAUUCAGUAUUUCCAAAAAUGCCCUUUGUUGAUUUUGAGAAAAAAAAUUAAUAUUUUUGAAAAAUACUUUUAUUUAAUUUAAUAUUUUUUAAAAAUACUUUUAUGUAAUUUAAUAUUUUUUAAAAUACUUUUAUUUAAUUUAAUAUUUUUUAAAAAUAAAUUUAUUUAAUUUAAUAUUUUUUUAAAAAUAUUUAAUUUAAUAUUUUUUUUAAAUACUUUAAUUUAAUUUAAUAUUUUUGAAAAAAAAAUUAAUUUAAUAUUUUUGAAAAAAAAUUAUUUAAUUUAAUAUUUUUGAAAACUACUUUUAUUUAAUUUAGUAUUUUUGAAAAAAAAUUAUUGAAAAAAAAUUAUUUAACUUAAUUUUAUAAAAUAUUUUAUAUGUGUUCUAAAAGGGUAUAUUUGUCUGUUACUAUUUCAUAUCCUUCAACUCAAUUUGAAGAGUUAUAUGGACAUUUUAUUAAUUUGGAGGUCCAUCUACCCCCAAAAGAUAAUUCUCCCAUUUUUAAAAGGAAGAAUUACUGUAUAGGAUGGACCGAGUGUGAUUAUGACUAAGAAGAGUCAUCUACUUUGAUAAUUCCUAAAGAGGACAGUAUAAGAGAGAAAAUUCUCUCCAAGUCCACAUUUCGUACUAUAAUGUGCUAAAAUACCAUAAAUGUCAUUCAACUAAAAGCUUUUGGAACUCAAAGCAUUUUAAACAAUUUACUUUUGUUUUAAGGUGUGUGGGUCCCAUGUUAGUUGUAAUCAAUGACACCAAAUUUUUAAAUCAAAAUUUUGGGUUUUAACUAUUACAAUUAUUAUAUACAAUGAUAGUAUAAUUUGUUAUUUAAAUUUGUUAUUUAGAACCAAAAUACUUCUAAGAAAUAUUUUCAAAAUAACAUCUAAUGUGUUUUCUUUUUACAUAUUUCUAUUUUUAUUUCUAAUUUUUAAUUUUAUUAAAAACAAAACAAGUUUUACAAUUAUGUAAUAAGAAUGAUGAACUUUUCAUGUACAUAUUUUUAAUUUUAAAUUGAUAAAUCAUGUUUUUGUAUUUAGUUCGAGCAAGAUAGAAUGUUUAAUUUUUUAUUUGGAUUGUCUAAAAAGAAUAAGAAAAUGAUGGAGAAUGUUUAACCGUUUUUUAUUUUAAUAAUAAAAUAAUUUUAAAAAAUUAUAUGAUUUUUCUACAUUUUUUUUUCCUUUGCAUAGUGUUUUUUCUUAAUUUUUGUAUAUAAUUUUUUUUCAAUGUAUCGAGUGGACGAUGUUAAUACAUUGAAUAUCAAUGAGGUAUAAAAAAAGAUCUUUAAGACUAUAACUUUUAUUAUAAAAUACAGUUAUGAUAAAAAUAUAUUAUAGUUACAGUAUAAAUAUACCUAUAUUACAAUAAAACCUAAUUGGGAAUUUCAACCUUUUUUAUUUUUUAUAAAAGUAAUAGUUUUGUAUAAUCAUAGUAUACUCCAUAAUAUACUUAUAUUAGGAAUCAUUUUUGAAACCAAAUAAAAUACUAAUUUGAAUUUGUAUGAGACUUGUAGGUUUUUAUUUUUAUUAUAUAUAUAUAUAUAUAUAUAUAUAUAUAAAUUAUUAAACAAUUUUAAUACAUUGAGUGAAUGAUAUUAAUAUGCUAAUAUGAUGUGUUAAUACCAAUGCCAAUGAGGUUUAAAUAGUUAUUUCUAUAAUUAUUAUACUUAUCACAAAAUAUAGGUACUACAUAAAUGCAUAAUAUUUACAAUACUAAUAUAUUAACGUUACAAUACAUUACAAUAUAAUUUAACUUAUUCUUUUUUGAAUUUUUUUCAUGUGCUAUAUUACUAAAUGAAUAGUUGUGUGUUAUUCAAUUCAUAAGUGCCUGUGAAAAAUUAUUUAUCAAAAAAAAAAUAAUAAUAAAAUUGAUGAGUGCUUGUGAAAAAUAAUUGCUCAUUCUAUUAGGGUAACAAAGUUUUUAAUUGUAUGUGACAUAUAUAAAACGACAAAAUAACCUAUAGUGUGGUUUUUAUUUAAGAGAUAUUAAAAAUUAAUUUUUUUUACCAGUUCUUUAAAAAAUCUUAAUUUUUUUUUGGAAAAUAAGAACUUGAAAAAAAAAGCAUAUUUAAAAAAAACAUUAAUUUUUUAUAAGAAAAUAAGAAAAAAUUAUAUAGUUUUUUAUUUUAAUCUUUUAUUAUCUUUGACACACAUAUAUAUAUAUAUAUAUCCUAUUUUCCUUUUUUUUUUUCCUUCACUUUUUCAACUUUGCCAAUUUUUUUCGUAACAAAAGAGUAACAAUGAUAUGAAAAAUUUAUUAAAUAUACUAUAUUGAUGUCAUAAUACAAUAUAAUUUAUGAUGUUAAUACAAAAUAAUAUAUUGGAUUAAUAAUACAUGAUUUAUUAUAUUAUUUUUAUGGAAAUUCUAACAUUCAAGUAAAUAAUAAAAUUAUCUUUAUCUUUGAUUUUUCUAAGUAAAAUUUUGUUAGAUAGUAGGUUCAUUGUUCAAAAGUGAAAAACAAUUUUUUGGGAUACAAGAUAUACAUUAUUGAUUGUACUUAUCAUCAUGACAAAUUUAUUUAUGAAUAAUAUAAAAAACCACAUUCAAAGGGUAAAAUUGUCCGAUGAUAAAUUUUGUCCUUUAUAAGAAUUCUUAAGAUAAGUACCCUUACUGGUUAUUAUCAUCUCCAACCCACCCUUUUUAAUGACUUUCCCUUUUUAAAAAAUGAGAGGGCUUCAUUGGUGUUUGGUGCUAUGGUUGGGUCCUUUGAUGCUAGCGGAAGUUUUAUCUCUUUCUCAAUGCCAACUCUUUCAUCAUUGAUCAAUCAUUCCUUGUUCAAUGAUGAAGCUAAAGGAAAUUACUAGAUUUCAAGGUUUUUUUUUUUUUUUUUCGGUAUUCUCCUUGGGGAUGAGGCUUCUUGUCCUUUUGGUGUGAUUUGAGGUUCAGUGAGGAUGAUUUGUCAAUCCUAGUUAGAAGGAGGGGAUGAUUGGAAACGCUCCUCGGUUUAUUGAUUCAAGCUCGUUGAGGAUGAUUUUGGCUGAUGAGAGUUCGAUGGUGUUUUUAACUUUAUGGGGAAGGAGAUUACAAAUAGGGAGGUUGGGCAAGAUAGAAUGAAGGGGAAGGUCGAUGGUUAUGCUAUAGGGGAUGAGGUUUAAUUGGAGAAUUAAUCUUUUAGUAGGUUGGUUACUUUCGCUAAUUUCUUAGGCAUGCAAUAAAGGGUUUUUGAGGAAGAGAUUUAGAUACUCCUUAAUAGAAUUAGGGUAAGAAAGAGAUAAGAGGCUAGGUGCAUGGUAGAAGAAAAUGUAAAUCUGUAUCUUCACAUUUUGAAGGAGAGCUCAAGAAGCUCAAGUGGUUAGUAAACUGUAAUAGAGCAGGAUUAGAGGGUGGAAGGGGCAGAGAAGGUAAGAUUAUUUCAUCAUGUGAGAGAUAAAGUUAAGACUUUUAUCUUGGAACAUGAGAGAAGCUAAUGACAAUCAUGAAAGGACGAUUAUAAAGUCUUUGAUUACAUGGCAGAAAGUAGACUUGGUCUGUAUACAAGAAACUAAAAGCUAAGAUCUAUUGACUAGUCUUAUGCGUAGUUUAGCAGCUGGUAGUUUCUUAAAGUGGGGUGCAGUGGAUUCAAGGGCUACUUCAGGUAGGGUCUUGGUUUUUUUUGGGACGAUAGGGUGUUGUAUUUGGUAGGCAUGGAAGUAGGUGACUACUAGAUUUCAUGCCUUUUUAAGAAUUAUGAUGAAGGGUUUGUUUGGAUAUUCAUGAGGGUGUAUGGUCCCUCCCUUGGGAAAGACAAUAAGGGCUUAUGGGUAGAGUUGGGGGCCAUUAGAGGGUUGUGGAAUAACCCAUGGUGCAUUGAAGGUGAUUUUAAUAUUAUCAAAUCUCUAGGGGAGCAUAGUAGAGUCAAUAUCUAUCUACUACCAUGAGAGGUUUUUCACAAAUCAUUGAGGACUUUUAGUUAAGAGAUCUUUUUUGAUUGGCAAAGGGGAGGGGGGGAGGUGGUUUGAAUAAUUAGUCCUCAUCGAGAUUAAACAAUUUUCCGGUAUUAGGGAGUUAGGAAGGCCACUUUAGCUGUAUAGUGCAAUGUAUCUAACCUAGACUUGUGUCAGAUCAUUCACUAAUUUUGUUGGACUUGGAGGGGGGGGGGGGGGGGGGGGGUGUUGAAGAGAGGCUCUACUUCUUUUAGAUUCGAAAAUAUUUGCCUUAAGAAGAAGGAUUUAAAGAUAUUCUUAAAAGACCGUGGAUGGGGUUCGGUUUUAAGGGUUCUUAUAGCUGCAUGACUAUUAAAAUUUAAAGGGGAAGGGGGUUUGAAGAGAGGCUCUACUUCUUUUAGAUUUGAAAAUAUCUACCUUAAGAAGAAGGAUUUAAAGAUAUUCUUAAAAGACCGUGGAUGGGGUUCGAUUUUAAGGGUUCUUAUAGCUUGAUGACUAUUAAAAUUUAAAGUUUUGAAGAUCAAAUCUAUUAACUUACAAAGAAUAGUACAUAAAUUUACUUAAAUGUUAUCUUCUCUUAAGGGACUUAUUCUAGCCAACACUUGCACAUCAAUGCAAUACUCUCUUGUACUCCUUAAUGGAUCACCCUAAUUUCAUGUUAAGGCUUAGUGAAGCAAAGCACCAAUCCUUGCUUUUCUACAUACCUUAAAGGGCUUUAAAGAAACUUCUUAAAAGAUUUCUAAGAAUUUGGAUCCUAAAGCAAAAUAAUGGAAGAUAGUUUUUUUCUUCAAGGGUUUUUUUUCCCGAGUUUUCUUUUUUUCUAAUGUGUGUGUGUGUGUGUGUAUAGAUAGAUAAUUUUUAGAAAAAUAAAAUAAAAUUGGUUAGGCACUUGUAUGCCCAAGGACAUUUGAGCAUCCUAAGUUGGAUGCUCAAAUAUUCUCCCUGGGUUUCCAUUUUUUCAUGCUCAAAGCUAACUUAAUCACUCCCAUUUUCUUUCAAGGAUUUAUUGUGCAUCCUUUUAGCCUUUACUUGACUAAAACUCAACUCUAGUUUUCCUUUAUUUUUACCCAUAUCGAAUAACUUGCAUUACAUGAGCCUUAGAAUGUAGUUUUCAACUAUUUCUCAAGGUAAAUAAGUUCCAAUGGAAUUAGGCAAUCUUGACUUAAUGCAUUUUUGGAGCAAAUUACCAAUGUAACAAUUACAUUAACUCACCUCUUUUGUCUUUUAUUAGGCAUUAAUCAAGAGUGAACCUCACAUUAUAAUGGUUUUACAAAUCUAAUUAAUGCUUACCAAGUUAGCUUUCGAGUCCUAAACAUAAAACAUGUGAAUAAGAAUGGGUAACUAUAGGCUUUAAUAGUCCCUUGCCUUCCAUGAUCUUUAAUGGUAUUCCAAUAUGGAAAAGUUACAUUUCCCUUUCUAAUGCUUCAAAGGCAAUAAGCUAAGACCUUAUUCUAGUCAAGUGCUUAGAUACUCACUAUCCAAGUACCAUGUAUAAGACUCUUUAGCUCAAUGGAUCAUAUACACAACUAGAGACUUGAGACUAUCCUUUUUAACCUAACCCUUUUCAUCUUAGACUUGGACAUCUUUUCAACAUGAUGAAUUUAGGUCUUAGACUGAUUUUGUACUAUAUUUUAGCUUGAAAUUAACAUUUCUAUUUAACACUCUAUUUUUCAAUUUAUGUGACACUCUCAUAAGUUGAUUCAACUUAGAUGGUAAGUUAUUAAACAUUCAUUUGUAGCAUCUAUUAACAUUGAAUUAUAGUCUUCCAUAGUGGUGGUAUUUAGUGCUUGAUAUUGAGUGAGAUCCUUUUAGAGACACAAUCCGCUUGGUCUUUACCAAGGUAGUCCUUACUCCACUUAGAAUUGUAACCUCAUCAACAUAUUAUAGGUUUAUUUUCAUAACUACAAGACUUCCCUCAAUUCAAUAAUGAUCAAGAAUUUUAGAACUAGGGUGUAAUAACUUUUCUUAGAACUCAGUUCUUCAUGGGUCGCUAUUACAUUAUGUAAGUUCUUUAAACAUGUAGCAUCCUUUAUUUCAAGAAAAGUCAAUUUGGUCAUGCAUUAUCUGUUCAUUUUUUACUUCAUUCAAUUCAUCCAACAAACUUUUAUGUGAGGCUUCCCAACUAACUUUUUCAAUCUUCAUUUUGAGAAAUUCAUCAUACCAUUUUAUAGAAUGAAUUAAACGAUAAUUGUGAAAAUUUGGGAACAUUAUUGAUUAAUUUACCAACGUACAAGGGAAAAUAUAUAGGCUAAAAACAGUGAACUAAAUCCCUGCAACAUUGGGAUAUUGUUUGACGAGAAAUGGAAUAAUUUGUAUAAUGGGAUUUGUAUAUUCAAUUGCUCUAUUAAAAUGGUUACAAAUGAGCUCAAUAUAUAUAGCCCAUAUAUGAUCUAAAUUUGUCUAGAAAUGUCUAAGGAAAGUUGACCCUGUAGAGUAGAGGGAUUGUAGUAAUCUGAUCCCUUCGCUUAUGCCUGUAAUGUAGGGAUUAUACAACUCAUGUUCACACUCCCCCUCAAGUUGGUGCAUAGAUGUUGCUGAUGCCCAACUUGUCAAGUGAGUUGUGAAAGACCUUACUACACACCGCCUUAGUGAGGAUGUCUACUAGUUGGUCUUGUGAUUUGAAAAAUGGGAAUCGAAUUAUCUUAGCUUCUAAGUUCUGCUUGAUAAAAUGUUGGUUUACUUCCACAUGCUUAGUUCGAUCAUGUUGGACUGGGUUAUGGGCAAUAUCAAUGGUUGCCUUGUUAUCACAAAGCAAGUUCAUCUCGCAACUGGGAUGAAAGCCAAUUUCUGUCAACAAUCUUCUUAGCCAGAGUAACUCACACAACCCCUUAGCCAUUCCUCGAAACUCCGCCUCUGCACUAGAUAGUGCUACGACCUUCUGUUUUUUACUUCUCCAUGUUACUAGGUUUCCUCCAACAAAUCCGAAGUAGCCUGAUGUGGAUUUCUUAUCAGAGAUAUUUUUUGCCCAAUCAACGUCAGUAUACCUCAUAAUUUUUAGGUGCCCAUUCUUUGAGAACAUAAUUCCCUUUCUUGGGGUUCCCUUAAGAUAUCUCAAAAUUUGAGUCACUGCAUUCAUAUGGUCUUCACUAGGGCAAUGCAUGAAUUGACUCACUACAUUGACCACAUAGGCAAUAUUAGGCCGGGUAUAUGAAAUAUACAUUAGUUUUCCAACCAAUCUCUGAUAUCUACCUUUAUCAGUGGGGAUCUGGUCAGGGUAUUCUCCAAGCCUGUGAUUUUGUUGUAUUGGAACAUCUACUAGUUUACAGUCUAGCAAUCCAACUUUUGAUAAUAGAUCGAGGGUAUACUUUCGUUGGGAAAGAAAUAUGCCUUGUUUAGAUUGAACCACCUCAAUUCCUAGAAAAUAUUUCAACCCACCUAAACUCUUCAUUUCAAACUCUACUGCCAACUAUUUUUGAAGUUUCGUAACUUGGUAUCAUUUCCUGUGAUGAUCAUAUCAUCUACAUACACUAUUAGUGUUGUUAACGCUUUAGAAAUGGAGUGUGAUUAGAAUUGCUAUGUUAAAACCCAUACUUUCUCAUUGCUAGGCUAAUGAGUCCAAACCAAGCUCGUGGAGAUUGUUUCAAGCUGAAUAGGGUGUGUUGCAGUUUACACACCGUCUUGCUAGACAUUUCAAUGUACUCAAGGGGUAUCCAUAUAAAUUUCCUCCUCGAGGUCACCAUGGAGGAAUGCAUUCUUUACAUCAAAUUGGAGUAGCGACCAAUCAAGGUUCGUUGCAAGGGAUAAAAGGACUCUUACAGUGUUCAACUUGGCUACAGGCGAGAAGGUCUCCAUAUAGUCAACUCCAUAAGUCUACAUAUAUCCUUUCGCUACAAGUCUCGCUUUGUAGCGCUCAAUCAACCCAUUUGCCUUGUAUUUGAUGGAGAAUACUCAUUUGCACCCCACUGUCUUGUGGCCUUUUGGUUAAGGGAUAAGAAUCCAUGUCUUGUUUUUCAACAAUGCUUCCAUUUAUUCCUUCAUUGCUUGGACCCACUUAGGGUCCUAUAGAGCCUCCUCUAAGCUUGUAGGAAUGUGAUGCAUUGAUAAUUCAUUAUAAAAGCUCUUUAAGGGUUUUAAGAGCUUCUCUAUUGAGACGUAAUUGGGAAUCGGGUACUUCGAUUUGUGUGUCUCAGUAUCCGGAGUGUAGCAUUCUGGUGGUUUGCCACGAUUAUGCCUAGGAGGUAAUUGAUAACCAUUGUUAGUUAAAUAUUUUGUGACAAGAGGAAAACUUACCUCAAGAAUCUCUUCAGGAAUAUUCUCAGAAGUUGGGUCAUGAGGUACUGUAGAGUGAGGGGGUGUCUUAGCGAUUGGAGUUAGUGUCUCAGUAGUUGGCGUUGGUGGGUCUGUAGUCUAUUCCAUACCUAUGGUAGUUGGUGGCUCUGUAGUUAGUGGGAUGUCCUUGAACCAAUUCAACUAUUCAUCGUGUGUCUUCCCCUGAAGAGAAGAAUUGGAUGGAUGAUAGAACAUCUUGGACUCGAGGAAGGUGACAUCCAUAGUAACAUAGAGCCACCUGUUUGUUGGAUCAUAGCACCAGUAACCUUUCUAAUUGGUGGCAUAGCCUAGAACGAGACAAUGACGAGCAUAAGGGUUGAGUUUGGUGCGUUGGUUGAGGUGAAGAUGAACGUAGACAAUGCAUCCAAAGGUUCGGGGAGGAAGUGUCGUAGCCGGAAGUAUUGAUAUGCUUGCGGUUAAGUCCUGUAGAGGUGUUUUGAAACCCAGAAUCCGGGAUGGCAUUCGAUUCAUGAGAUGCACAACAGUUGUAACCGCAUUAGGCCAGUGAGAACUAGGUAUAUGUGUACCUAAUAGGAGGGCACGUGUGGUCUCGAGAAUAUGGUUAUUCUUACGUUCUACUACACUAUUUUGCUUUGGAGUAUGAGGACACGAGGUCUGAUGUAUCAACCCAUGCUGGUGGAAGUACUCUUGGAAUUGUCGAUUCAUGUAUUCAUUGCCAUUAUCAAAGCGAAGGACUCCGAGUUUGGUAGAAAAUUGGGUUUGAAUCAUUAUGUGAAAUGAGCAAAAGGCAGUAAAAACCUCAUCUUUGUUUUUCAAUAGGCAGAGUUGUGUCAUUCAAGUGCAAUCAUCACAAAAAAAAAAUCAGCGAUAACUCGAUAGAGUAGAUUUUGAGAAUAGUCCCCACACAUUAGAAUGAAUUAAGCUAAAAGGAACAUCUCUCUUAUUCUUAUGUAAAGGAUAAAUUGCCCGGUGACUUUUUGCCAAAAUACAUGUUUCACAUUGAAAAUUUGAGAUAGAGAAUUUAGAAAGCAAACUAGGUAGUAAAUGCUUCAAAUAUCCAAAUGAUGGAUAGCCGAGUCGUCGAUGCCAAAGCCAAAUCUGUUCUAUUCUGGAAUCACCCAACCGUCCCACAUGAUGUGGUUGUCCUAUUGAAGUCGUCUAUAUUGUAGAGCCCCCCCUUCUUAGUACCAUGCCCAAUAAUUUUUUUCGUGAGAAUAUCCUGGAUAAGGCAAAAAUCAGGGUACAUCAGUGCUGUAAAAUUUAAGUCCUUAGUAACUUGAUUGAUAGAAAACAAUUUAUGAGAUAGGGAUGACACAAAUAAUGUAUUGGAGAGUGAUAACAUCACAGUUCCAACCCCUUGUACCAAUGAAAUACUGCCAUUAACAUUCGCAAUGCUAGUUCGCUUAGGAGCGGUAUGCUGACAAAAGUCCUGUGCAUCAAAUGUCAUAUGAUCCGUGGCUCCGGAAUCCAAGAUCCACAAGUUGCACUCACUCCUAGUAGAUCCAUGAGAUGCUAUACUUGGUGUGUUGCCGAUAGAAUCAGUAGGAAUUAGAGACAGUUUGGGUUCUACUGCUGCUAUUGUCGUUUUACCAAUACCGGGCUUAAUCAUUUACAUGAUUUCAGAUGUUUUGUUUAUUAUCUUUGAACUCAUGAAUCACCUUUGUGGGUCAAGUUAUAUCAUGCAACCGGGUUUCUCUUCUUUACUGUGUCUUUUGGCUCAGUGAAGGGACUGUUGAUUUGUUGGAUGAAGAGGGGUUGAUGUUAAAACUACCAAAUUAGUAGCAAAGAGAAGUAGUAAUGGGGAAAAGAGGAGAGAGUUGUUGGUUUGCAGUGGAAUCCAAGUCUUUUUGAAAUUUCUGUGGAUGUGUUUGGGAAUAAACUAAAGGGGAUCAUUGUGGAAAGAAGCAGAGGAUUCACUUCGUGGAUAAGGUUUGGAAGUUCCAGCUUGUGUUGGCUAUCGGAGGGAGUGGAGGCUAACUGUAGGGGGGAGUUUGGGCAGAGAUUCGUCAAAAGUUGGGAGGAUGGAGGUAGGAGGUUCAAACAAGAAUGUCGAGCAAAUGAGGCUGGCGGAUUUUUAUUGUGUUUAGUGGUAGACUUGGAUGCCAAGAGACAUUGUUUAGUGUUCCCAGAAGGAAAAGCUUUCUUGGAAGGUUGGGCUUUGAUGGCUAAAAAACUUCGCUCACUUGGAAUAUCGACAUGUGAUGAGCCUAGGGAAGUUUUUGAAUCUUCUAAGACUGAGAGUAGAGAUGGGGAUUCGAAGGAGAAGAAAGAAAAAUCCUACGUUGAUGCGGUGAAUACAAGAGGAGUUUCAAGAGUGAGAAGGCUAGGGGAAGCAGCAUGGCUACAACUUGGAGAAGAAGACGUGUCAAGAGGAAGGGAGCUGCUGGACCGAUGCCUUGUUGGGAGACGGGGAGAAACUUUGGUUUCAAUUCCACACCUGUGUGAUCUGGAAAGCUGGGGAAAAAGUCACUGGAAACUCAAAGGAGGAGUAAAGUUCGUGAGAAUGGGGGGCCCUUUUAUUUUGAUUGCGUUUGAGAAUAAAACAUAGGCAGACAAAGUGUUAUUGAGAGGUUUCCAAUGUUUUAAGGAUUUGGUUCUGCAUUUGGAAAGGUGGGACCCAAAAGUGGGUUGUUCUCAAAGUUGUGAACAUCUUAAGGAAGUUUGGGUGAGAGUGAUGGGAUUACCAUUGCAUCUUUGGAGCCGGGAAGUUUUUAAGAAGAUUGGAGACUGUUGUGGGGGCUUUGUUGCAGUGGAUGAAAGCACUGUUGCUUUAAAGGAGCUCCAAUGGGCCAUAUUACUAGUGAAGUCGGAGGGGACAGAAUGGCCAAGUUCCCUGCAAGUGGUAAUCGACACUACUUGUUUUGCUUUUCAACUGUGGUGGGAGGUGCUGCCAAGGGUGUCCGAAGUGCUUCCGGUGAUAAAAAAUGGGUCGGGGAAGGAGCAAGAGGCUAGGGAAUAAGAAGGGGGGACUUCACGCCGGCAGCAUGGUGAAGCAGAUGCAGCCAAACGGACAACCUACAAAGGUGGUUGUGCUAUCUGAAGAUGGUGAAAAUCUCUGUAGGACAGACAUGGAGGCUCCUCUUUCUGACUUGAUGUCGACAAGAGGGGCAGAGGUAGACAAAACCAAAAGAUGGCAGCAGUCUGUUUGGGGGAUUAAUUAAAAAAUUGGGCCUGCAGCUAAAGCUAAGGGAAUGUUGGGUUGGGAUGUGGAGCUGGCAGUGGAGAGGAGGCCCAUUGUGGAGGGCUUGAUUGGAAGCAAAGAAGUUUGUGGGCCAUCACUCUUAAGCCCAAUAUCUUUCAGGCUGGAGACAAAUCUCCAGAGGAGGCCCAUUGAGGAGGGCCAUUUAGGUUCCAUGGAGGACAGUGGGCUGUCCCAAUUAGGCGCAUUACCAAACACGCACUUAAAGAGCUGCGUGGAAGUGGGCACUCUGGAAUCUCAUAAAGGCCCAAUUGUGGGACGAUCCACUGUCAAAGACUCUUUUGAGGCUGAGGCUUGUGGAGGUUUCCGAGAGGAGAUCUGUGGGUGUCUAGAUGGGGCUGAUUUUGGACUCCAGCAGGUGCCAUCUCCUCCGACGCCAAAGACUAAAAUGCUCUAAGUUUAAAUGAAGAUACGUCUUCUUUCUAGGAAUGUUAAAGGGGCUAAUAAUUGUGAUAAGAGGAAGGUGAUCAAAGCCUUGAUUAAGAAGAAUAGGGUGGACCUAGUUUGCUUGCAGGAAACAAAAAUCCAAGAGAUGUCAAGGGGCCUUAUUCAGAGCUUAGGAGUGGAAAGGUUUUUAGAUUGGGGAACUGUGGAUUCAAGGGACUCAACGAGUGGUAUAGUGGUGUUCUAGGAUAAUAGGGUGCUGGAUUUGAUAGAGUUAGAAAAGGGAGAACAUUCAAUUUCCUGCAAUUUUAAAAACUGUGAGGAUGGCUUUAUGUGGACUUUUACAAGGGUUUAUGGUUCGACCAUGAGGAGAUACAGGGAAUGUUUGUGGAAUGAGUUGGGGGCCAUCUACGGUCUUUGGAAUGGGUCGUGGUGUGUUGUUUGUUAUUUUAAUGCCAUCUUAAGCCCUGAAGAGCGCAGUAGAAGAGGGAGCUUGAAUUCAGACAUGAAAAGAUUCUCAGAUGUAAUAGAAGAUUUAAAGCUAAAGGAUUUGCCCUUCAGAUUUUGGUCAAUGAGUCUUUCACAAGGAUAGAUCGAUUUUUGGUCAAUGAGGAGUGGGAUUACCGUUUUAGUGGUUCAAGGCAAUGUGUCCUCCCGAGACCAGUGUCUGACCACUUCCCAAUUAUGUUAAAAGGAGGGGGGCUGAGAAGGGGACCAUCUCCCUUCAGAUUUGAGAAUAUGUGGCUCAAAGUGGAGGGGUUUAAGGAGCUGUUGAAGGCUUGGUGGGAGAGGGACAGUUAUAAUGGUUCUGCAAGCUUUAUUCUGGCCGAAAAACUAAAGGUUGUAAAGUCUAAACUGAAGGAGUGGAAAAGAGAUGUCUUUGGAAGGGUGGAAUAUAGGAAGAAUUCAGCUUUGGAUCAGCUGCAGUUUUGGGAUGCAAAGGAGAAGACUAACAGAGUGUCCUUGGAAGAGAUGAAUGCUAGAAGAGAAGUGAAGGAAGAAUACAAAAAAUGGGUUUUAUUAGAAGAGAUGACUUAGAGACAAAAAUCUAGGGAAGUGUGGCUGAAAGAGGGUGACAGAAAUAUUAGAUUUUUCCACAUGAUGGAAAACGCUCAUAAAAGAAGAAACAAUGUGGACCAAAUUAGGAUUAAUGAUGUUUGGCAUUCGGAGGAGAAUGGGAUUAGCGAAGAAAUAGUGAAUGCCUUUAGAUCUUUGCUGUCCAAUCCCGGGGACUGGCGCCCUUCUUUAUCCUGGCUACAGUGCGAAACGUUGCAAAAUUUGGAUGUUAAUGCUUUGGAGGCACAGUUCACGGAGGAGGAGGUGCAUGACGCAUUGCUGGGUUGUAGUGGGGAUAAAGCCCCGGGGCCUGAUGGCUUCACAAUGGCUUUUUGGCGGUUUGCUUGGGACUUUGUGAAGGAGGAUGUGAUGAGUUUCUUCAAGGAGUUCCAUGAUCAUAACAAAUUUGUUAAAAGCCUAAACGCAACUUUUCUGGUUUUAAUCCCAAAAAAAGUGGGGGUUGAAGAUUUGAGGGAUUUUAGGCCCAUAAGCUUAGUAGGAAGCCUGUACAAGUGAUUGGCUAAGGUUUUAGCCAAUAGACUUAAAAAGGUGGUUGGAAAGGUGGUUUCUAAGGCUCAAGGGGCCUUUGUGGAGGGUAGACAAAUUCUAGAUGCAGUGCUAAUAGCUAAUGAAGCCAUUGACUCGAUUAUGAAGAAUAAUGAGAAUGGUUUUAUGUGCAAACUUGACAUAGAGAAGGCAUAUGACAAUGUGGAUUGGUCUUUCCUUCUCACAGUUAUGCAGAAAAUGGGCUUUGGGGAGAAAUGGAUAGGGUAGAUUAAGUGGUGCAUAUCCACUGCAAGUUUUUCUGUGUUGAUUAAUGGAACGUCUAAGGGUUUCUUCCAAAGCUCAAGAGGAUUGAGGCAAGGUGACUCUCUAUCGCCUUAUCUUUUUGUGAUAGCCAUGGAGGUUUUUAGCUCAUUUCUUAAAAGGGUUGUGGAUGGAGGUUUUAUGUCGAGUUGUAAAGUGAAGGGUAGGAAUGGAGAAGGGGUUCGGAUUUUCCACUUGUUGUUUGCUGAUGACACCUUGGUGUUUUGCCAAGCUUCUCAAGACCAACUGACUUACCUAAGCUAGUUGUUUAUGUGGUUUGAGGCCGUAUCAGGAUUGAGAAUUAACUUGGAGAAAAGUGAACUCAUUCCAGUAGGGAGGGUAGAGAAUAUUAAUGAUGUUGCCUUGAACUUUGGUUGUAGAGUGGGUAGUCUCCCAUCCACUUAUCUAGGCCUCCCCUUGGGUGCUCCGUUUAAGACAGUAUCAGUGUGGGAUGGAGUGGAAGAGCGGUUCCGUAAAAGAUUGGCCAGGUGGAAGAGACAAUACUUAUCAAAGGGGGGGAGAGCAACUCUAAUUCGAAGCACUUUGUCGAAUCUCCCUAUUUACUUUAUGUCCUUGCUGAAGUUACCAAGUUCAGUUAGACGAAGAUUAGAGCAAAUCCAAAGGGACUUCCUUUGGGGUGUUGGCAACUUGGAGCGAAAACCACACUUAGUAAGAUGGAAGGUGGUGUGCUUAAGUAAAAAGAAAGGGGGAUUGGGGGUUAAAUGUCUUUCCAUUCUCAAUAAGGCUCUCCUUUCCAAAUGAAAUUGGCGAUUCGCAAAUAAGAGAGAUGCUUUGUGGAAUCAAGUGAUUAGAAGAAAGUAUGGGGAAGAUAGAUUUGGUGAGCGCUCGAAUCUCUUUUAGAGUUGGCAAUGGGAGGAGGGUGAGCUUUUGGAGGGAUAGAUGGUGUGGGGACCCCCCUGCGUGAGUCUUUUCCUUCCCUCUUUGCCUUGUCUGCUGAAAAGGAAACUUGGGUGGCGGAUGUUUGGGAUCCCUUGGCCGAGGGGGGUUGGAGCCCCUGUUUUUCAAGAGUUCUAAAUGAUUGGGAGGUGGAGGAGGCAGAAAGAUUUUUGGAGCAUCUUCACGGGAAGAGAGUGCUUGGAGAUGUAGAGGAUAUGGUGGUUUGGACCAAAACAAAGAGCAGAAAAUUUUCGGCAAAGUCUCUCUACCUUGCUCUAGAAGCGGACUGCCCUGUUUUGUUUCCUUCUAGUUGUAUUUGGAAUGGGUGGGUACAACCCAAAAUCAGUUUCUUUGCGUGGGAGGCAGCAUGGGGUAAAACCUUAACCCUAGACCUUGUUCAGAAAAGAGGAUGGUCCUUGGCAAAUAGAUGCUUUAUGUGUCUUGAGAAUGAGGAGACCAUGGAUCUUUUGCUUCUUCACUGUUCAAAAACAAAGGCCUUAUGGGAGUUACUCUUUACCUUGGUUGGGGCGUCUUGGGUGUUGCCCUCCUCAGUUAGAGAGACUUUUCUUAGUUGGCAUGGUUCAUUUGUGGGCAAAAAACGUAAGAAGGUGUGGAGAGCUACUCCUCUUCAUAUAUUUUGGACGGUGUGGAAGACUAGAAAUAGAUUGGCAUUUAAGGAUGACUAGUUGUCAAUCCAAAGAUUGAAAUAUUCCUUUCUUUUCUCUCAUUGGUCUGAGGCUAAAUUGUUUAUAGUUGAACGCCCUAUAGCUAUAGUUAAUUUUAUUGAUUGGUUGGGAUCCUCUUAAGGUUGUUUUUGGGCUAGGUGACUUUUUGGGCCUCUUUCUUUUUCUUUAGCCUUUUUGGUGGUGGGUGUUUAGGUUUGUAUAACUUGCAUAGUUUUGUAUUCCUUGAGUUGCUUUUUUGGCGUCUCUUUUUAAUGAAUUAUCUUUACCUAUCAAAAAAAAAAAAUUAUGUUUCUUUUUAUCUUGGAGCUUGUGCCAUCAGUCUGGGUAUCCAUGGAGCUUAAAGCAAGAGUUUUGUGUGUGUUUGGAAUUUCUACAAUGGGAGCACGUUAAGCCUUCUAUCCAUUGCUUUGAAUUUGGGCUAGUGGGAUUAGAUUUAUUGAGUAUUAGAACUUCUUCUUUUCCAGAUGGGUUGGGGCCCGUUUUCAGCCCCUUGGAAGUCACCCCAGCUCCCAUCCUUUCAUCGAAACCAUUCUCCAUCACUGUCUGUCUCACCAUUUCCCGUCAGAUGGAUGCGUAAGCUUGCUUAAUUGUCAGAAAUGGUUGCAUCUAUAACACAGUGCUCCUGCCUUGGUCAAGUCGAUCAUCAAGGCCGUGAGAAACACAUAGACCCUCUCCUCCUAGAGAAUUGUGUUGUAUCGUUGCACAUCCUUAGGGCAUUCCAUGGGGUUUGGUCGUUGAAAAUCUAUUUUCCUCCACAAGCCUUGCAGCUCGUUAUAAAAUUUCUCCAAAGAUCCACCAUUUUGUUGUAGCCUACUCACCCGUUGUUGGAGCUCAUACACUUGAGCAAUGUCACUCUCGUCGAAGAAAAAGACAGUGAUGGCGUCCCAAACUUCUUUCGCAUUGGGAUACCGGAUGAACGUGCUAACAAGGGAUGAAUCCAUGGUGUUGAUGAGCUAGCCUUUGAUGACGUUGUUUUUCGGUUCUCCAUCGUCAGAAUAAUGGAUUAGUUGGAGUAGGUUGGGAUAAAUCACCAUUAAUGUAACCUAAUCUAUCUCUCCUGGAGAUAAACAUCUCCACAACUUGGGACCAUAGUGCAUAAUUCGAUUCAUUGAGUUUUAUGCUGAUCGGGGAAGUAUCCAUUGCUGCAGUUGGGGUUGGGGCCUUGUUCAGCACGUUGGCCAUUUUCAUGGUGAGUUAUGCUAAAAUAGAGGUUGUUGUUGGUGGAGACCCUCCUAUCUGAGAGUCUGAUUUAGGGAUUUUUCUAGGUUGUUGUUAAGUUGUUAGUGUUGGGUAGAAUCAAGGAGUUGAUACCAAAGGGUAGAAACAGACCUGCUGUGAUACCAUGUUGACAAGAAAUGGAAUAAUUCGUAUAAUGAGAUCUGUAUAUUCAAUUGCUCUAUUAAAAUGGUUACAAAGGAGAUCAUUAUAUAUAGCCCAUAUAUGAUCUAAAUUUGUCUAGAAAUGUCUAAAGAAAGUUAACCCUGUAAAGUAGAGGGAUUGUAGUAAUCUGAUCCAUUCGCUUAUGCUUGUAAUGUAGGGAUUAUACAACUCAUGUCGACAUAUUGAUCCCUAGAAAAGAUAGGAAACAAUCCAUAUAAAUCAGGGAUAAUAGAAAACAAUCCUUAUAAAUAAGGGAUAAUAGAAAGCAAUUCCUAUAAAUUAGGGAUAAGGCUAACUAAUUAAAUCAAAUAUUUACAACUUUCCUAACUAAUUAACAAUUCCUAUAAAUUAGGGAUAAAGCUAACUAAUUUCAAUCAUCACAAUUCCAGCCUGGCCUAGUCAACUUUGACACUCCUCCUCAAGAUGGGGGGUGGAUAUCAUCCAUUCCCAACUUGCCAACGAUGGUCUAAAUGAAUGAGCCGCUUAAUCCUUUGGUUAGCACAUUAGUAACUUUAUUGCUAGUAGAUACAAACAGCGUGCAGAUUAGUCCACUAUGUAUCUUCUCUUUUAUGAAAUGUCUGUCAACUUCUAUUUGUUUGGUUAGAUCAUGUUGCACAGCAUUAUGUGCAAUGUUGAUUGCUGACUUGUUAUCACAAUAAAGUUUUAUAGGUCCUUCCCAUACAAUCUUUAGAUCUUCUAAGAUGAUUUUUAGCCAUAGAAGUUCACAAACUCCUAAUGCCAUUGCCCUAAAUUUAACCUCUGCAUUUGACCUUGAAACUACAUUCUAUUUUUUGCUUCUCCAAGUUACAAGGUUUCCACUAAAAAAAGUAUAAUGGCCUGAUGUUGAUCGUUUAUAAUCAAUAGAUCUUGCAUAGUUUGCAUCUAUGUAGGCUUUUAAAGUUAAUUUUUAUCCUUUCUUGAAUAAUAUUCCUUUUCCCAAAGUUCCCUUAAGCUACUGGAAAAUCCGAUGUGUUGCUCGAAGAUGGACCUUCUUGGGAUUAUGCAUAAACUGACUUACCACUUCUAUUGUAUAUGCUAUGUCCGAUUUUGUAUGUGAGAGAUAAAUCAAUCUACCAACUAGUCUCUGAUAGGACUCCUUAUCUAACACUAUGUCUUCAACAACUUCACAAAGUUUGUGAUUUUGCUCAAUAGGAGUUUUUAUUGGUUUACACCCAAGUUUUCUUAUCUCACUUUGCAAAUCCAACACAUGCUUUUGUUAAGAUAUAAAAAUCUCAUGCUGAGAGUGAGCAACUUCAAUGCUUAGAAGGUAUUUCAACCUGCCAAGUUCCUUUAUUUUGAAAUUCUUAUACUAGACAUUUUCUCAAAGCUUCUCUGCCUUCCAAGUCAUAUGUUACAAGUAUAUCAUCUACAUAAACCAACAAGGUAGUAACUCCCCUUGAAGUUGAAUGUUUAACAAACAAUGUGUGAUCACCUUGACUUUGCUUUUAUCCCAUAGUUUUCAUAACUUUGGAAAAUCUACCAAACUAAGCUUUAGGGGAUUGUUCCAAACCAUAAAGUGCAUUUUUCAAUUUACUCAUCUUGUUACUUUUUGACAUAAAACUUGGAGGAAAUUCCAUGUAGAUUUCUUCAUCAAGAUUGCCAUGUAAGAAGGCAUUCUUAACAUCAUAUUGUUGCAUACUCCACCCACGGUUGAUAGCUAGAGACAACAAAAUCCUCAUAGCGUUCAUCUUGACAACUAGUGCAAAGGUUUCAAAAUAAUCUAUUCCAUAGGUUUGAGUAUACCCUUUAGCCACCAACCUAGCCUUAAACUGUUCAAGUGACCCAUCUGCCUUAUACUUCACAACAAAGACCCAUCUACAUCCCACUAGUUUUUUUUUUUCCUUAGGUAGCUUAACCAAUUCCCAUGUUUUAAUUUUUUCAAGAGCCCCAUCUCAACUCUCAUGGUUUCUUUCCACUCUUUAUCGUCCAAUGCCUUAGAAACCGUUUUUGGGAUGGUUAUAGUGUUUAGAUGAGAAAGAAAGCUGUUAUGACUGUCAAAUAACUUCUCAUAAGAGACAAAGUGAGAUAAUGGGUAUAAAGGAUGUUGGGUACACUUUCUCACACCCUUCUUAAUAGUAAUAGGAGGAUCAUAAUCAUCUCCAGGCUUGGGAUCAGAGAUAUCACUUUCAUAAGCUUCCGAGUCAGAAAUUACCUCAAUACUAUCAGCUCUAUCAUCAGCACCAAGGUUUGGUUUUGAUUUUAGGACUUGCAUAGGUUGAAUAGUGGAUUCUCUUCUCCUUGAACAGACCUAUAGUGGGCGAUUAACACUUUGAAUAUGUUUAUCCUUUCCCAUAGAACUUAGAGUGAUUGGAGUUGUUUGAUUAUAAGAUGGUGGCUCAUUUGGUGAUAGUGGUGGUGAAGGCAAAGAAGAUGAUGAAGAUGGGGAGAGUGAAAGAUCAAGUAAAAGCAAAUCUUUGUCAUUAUCUUCCAUGAAGGAUGUCUUCCCUAGAAGAUAAAGUUUGGUAAAAUGACUUUGAUGUUCAACAAAUGUAACAUCAACAGAUACAUGAAAUUUUUUUGUAGGAGGAUGACAGCUUUUAUAUCCUUUUUGUGUAGAUGAAUACCCAACAAAGAUGCACUUAAGAGCUCUUGAAUCAAAUUUACCCUUAUGAUGUGAAUGAAUAUGAAUGAAUGAGACACAACCAAAUAUUCUAGGAGUGAGGUGGUUUAUGGUUUUGAAAUCAGGAAAGAAUUUUGAAAAAAAGGUUCUUAGGUGUUUUGUCAUCAAGGACUCUAGAAGGUAAUUUGUUUAUAAGAUGAGCAACAGUUAAAACAACUUCUCCCCAAUAAUUUUUUGGAACAUUUUUUUGAAAGAGAGGCACAAGUAAUUGCUAGAAGAUGACCAUUCUUCUUUUCUGCCAUCCCAUUUUGUUAUGAUGUGUUAACACAUGAAGACUCAUGAAUUAUUCCUUUUGCUUGAAAAAAUUGUGACAAGGUUUGAUUAAAAUAUUCCCUAGCAUUAUCUGAUUGAACCCUCUUAAGUUUUACUCUUAAUUGAUUUUUAAUCAUGUGAAAAAAUUGUUUGGAAGGUUGAGCUAACAUCAGAUUUUUGUUUUAACAAAAAAACCCAUGACACAUGAGUACAAUCAUCAAUAAACAAAACAAACCAACGAGCUCUAGAAACAUUUGGAAUCGUAGAAGGUCCCCAGACAUUAGUAUGGAUAAGAGCGAAAUGAGAUGACAUUCUUUUAUUACUUAUUGGAAAAGAAGUGCAUUUGUGUUUUUCAAGUUCACAAACAUCAUAAUGAAAUAUCCCCAUAUCACUCCCUUUAAACAAAUCUGGGAAUAUAAUUUUAAGAACAUUGAACAAUAGAUGGCCAAGACGAAGAUGAUACAACCAAAGUUUGUUUUUAUGUGAAAGAGAUGACUUAUAAAGGAAUGAAAAAGGCAAAUUAUUCUUAGUGCUAUUUUUCUCAUUGGAUUCAAGGUAGUAAAGUCCAUUCCUCUCUCUAGCAAGUCCAAUCAUCUUCCUUGUGCCCUAGUCCUGAAAUUCACAAUGUAGAAGACAAUGUUAUAGUACAAUCCAAAUCCUUUGUUAGCUUAUGAACGAGACAAGGUUUAUAGACAACUUAGGCACAUGCAAAACAUUCUUUAAAACAAAUUUCAAAUUGAUAACCACAUCUCCCUGACCAACAACUAUAAUCAAAGUACCGUCUACUGUAGAUAUCUUUUUAUUAAUGGGGUAAGGACUGUAAGAGACAAAAUGAUGGGAAGAUGUAGUUAUAUGAUUUGUGGCCCUGAAAUCAAUUAUCCAAGAUCCUGAUGUGGGCAUAUUCAAGACACUAAGUGGGAAGGAUUGAGAUCUAUUACUUGAAAAAGCCAAGGAACAAGUACCGAAACUUGCAGGUUUUCUAAAGUUCCCAAAAAUGUUCAACUUUUCAAUCUCUUCUCUAUUAAACUAAGCUUGGUCUAGAAAAGAGUUUGUUUCUUCUCCUGGUUGCAUUCUGGUUACAUGUGAUUGUCUUUGUCCCUUUGUCGGUCCAUUCUUUGUCGUUUCUUUUGAUUGUUUAGGGAUUUGAAAGUUUGAGGGCUUACCAUGAAGUUUCCAACAUUUUUCCCUAGUGUGUGGUUUUUUGCAAUAAGUACACACCAUUGGGUCUUUAUUUCCAGCCUUUGACACCUUUGACUAGCCACUUUCAUUUAUCACUCCACUGGAAUGGGUGCUCAACUGGUGAUCUGCUCCACCACUCCUUGCAUUAGCAUUUCUUACCACCAUAGCAGAAUUGUCCAUUGGUUGAGGUUCUAAUAUGACCCCCUCCUAAUUUCCUUUCCUCGGAUUAUGCCAAUGGUUUCAUUCAAUGAUGGAAGGUUUUCUAUUCCAAGAACUUGGACUCUAAUGAGGUCAAGUUUAGGAUUUAGUCCAACAAGAAAAGUAUAAAUUCUGUCUUUCUCCAUAAAUCUCUUAUGAAUAGCAGCAUCUUCAUCACAUUUCAUCUCUAUAAAUUCAUAAUGGUCGAAUUCUUGCCACAAGUUUUGUGCAAGAUAUUGAAGUAUUUAGUAAUAGAGCAAUUACCCUGUUUAGUAGUCAAGAUUCUGGUCUUGAUAUUGUAGAUUUGGGCUGCAUCACAAACCUUUGAAUAUGUUUGUCUAUGGAUGUUCCAAAUAUCCUUUGUUGUCUCCAAGAACAUGCAAGUAUCAAUUACUUCAGGCAUCAUUGAAUUCCAUAGCCAUGGCAUUACCAUAGAAUCAGCUUCAUCCCAAGUGUCAAACUUUGGAUCCCCCGGUUUCGGACCCUUGCCAAGGAGAUGACCCAAUUUGCCCUUUCUUUUAAAAAUGGUUCGGACAAAUUGAGACCACUUCAAGUAGUUUUUCCUAUUCAACUGAUAACUUGGUUGGAUAUUCUGCAAAUGUCCGACUGAAACUAUGCUUGAUGUCCCUGUCACUUGAAUCUCGGACGUAUUGGACAUCUCAAUUGCAUCAGACAUGAUGAUGCUAUAAGGGAAAAGAGAGGAAAGAAAGAAAAAAAAAAAAUAUCUUGGGUAAUAAGGUUAAAGAAAAUAAUGCAAAUAGGAGAGUUUUUGGGCUGAAAUAAAUAGAUAAUAGAUGACUUCAAGGUACUCUGUUUUGGAUAAGAAAACAGAGGAAGAUAAGGUACUUCAGCAGUUUCAAUGAAUGAGACGACAAACACUUAAGAGAAAAAAAAUAUUCAGCAAUGAAGACUGAGAAGAAAAUAUCCUAAGGAGCCAACUUGGCUCUGAUACCAUGUGAAAAUAUGGGAAUAUUUUUUAUUAAUUUACCAACGUACAAGGGAAAAUAUAUAGGCUAAACAAUAGUCAACUAAAUCCUUACAAAAUUGGGAUAUUGAGAUAGAAAACAAUCCCUAUAAAUAAGGGAUAAUAGAAAACAAUUCCUAUAAAUUAGGGAUAAGGCUAACUAAUUAAAUUAAAUAUUUACAGCUUUCUUAUCCUAUAAAUUAGGGAUAAUGUUAACUAAUUUCAAUCAUCACAAUUCUAGCCUGGCCUAGUCAACUUUGAUAAUAAUUCAUUCUUUGAAUCACUAGUAUUGUGCAAUGCACUACACACUCAUUGUCAUGUUUGGUAUCAAUAACACAAUUAAACUUGAGCAAUUAUCAUUAUCAUCAAAAUUCAAAGGAUUAGAGGAACUUAUUUAAUUAAAAUCACUUUAUUUUAGUUAACUAGAUAUGUUUUAUUUAUUUAUUUUUUUUACAAUAUUAUCUUGUUCAUUUUCUUUUGAUAAUCAUUUUUUCACAUAUUUGAGGUCUUCCCCAAGUCAAGACUGCAUUUGGAACUUCAGAAAUUUCUUAAAUUUUCUUGCAAAACUUACUGGUUCAAAAUUGGACAAUUCGUUUUUACGAUUGUUUGCUCCUUUUAGUGGAAUAUAUGUUAUCCCCAAGUGUAAGAAGUGAAUUGUAGUAUAUAAACCCAAGAUUUGGUUGUGGUACCUCGGGAAGACAUGAUUAAGGGUGUAAAGAAGAUCAAGAGGUUCAAAAUUGAAUUGUCUUUCAUGUUGUGCAAAACCACGAUAAAGAAUAAUAAUUGGGAUAAAAUAAUAAGAAAACGAAAACCAAACACAACGAUUUACGUGGUUCGACCUUAAGUCUAUAUCCACGAGCGAAGAUGAAGAACUUUCACUAUUGUUGAAGGAGAUUACAACUCUUCAAGCUCUCAAAUCCCAAACCCCCAAUUUAUACCCAAAAAAGAGACACUCACUAUUUUGGUCAGUCUCUUCCUAUAUUUUUUUCCUAAUUACAAAGUAAGCUUCUAUAUAGGAAACUAAGUGUAUAAUAGUCAAAGAUACCUUUUCCUGAAAAGAAGAUCUCAUAAUAGGAUAUUUCUUAUAAUAAUAGGAAACUUCCUUUCAAGAAUAUCUUCUAUUAGGAAAUUGUCAAUAACUUUCCAAUUGACUCAAAAUACAAUUUGAGACACUUUCCAACAUUCCAAAAUAGAGAGGAGUUUUUGUUUCAUCAUCCCUAUGAUUGAUGAGCUAUCCAAUGGUAAACAAUUAUUCCAUGGGUUGAUGAUUGUAAUUAACCUAUAACUAUUAGCAAAGAUCAAGAAAUGCAAUUUCCUUGGCUACCACAUAAUUUCUCUUAAUAGCUUGACAAAUCAUGCACAUUGUUUUCAUAUAAUAGCCUAUAUACUAUAAAUGAUUAGAAGUGAGCUUGGUAGUGUUUUUAUUAGAAAUUUUUUUGUGAAGUAUUUUCUUUAGAAGUGGUUUUAGAAGCACUAUAAGUAAUUUAUCAACUUUUUAAAAGUGUUUUCUAAAUUUUACCAAACACCUAAUUUUUCCUAAGUGCUUUCUAAAAGCAUCACCAAAUGGACUCUAAUUAUACUUGUGUAUAUAUAGAUAUAGCCAAUAUUUUGUCUUCAAAAUUCUUACGAUAUCAAACCCUUUUUCCAAGCUCGAAAGAGUCUUCUUCCUUUCCAAUCUAAAGAGAUGUACCAAAACUAAAUAUUCAAUCUUUCCAUUAGUGUUCUAUCUUAAUCUCACUCAAGGUAAGUAUGUCAAAUUUUCUCUUGUGGAGUUCCUAAAUACACCCCUUAGGUUGUAGCCUAGGGAUCAUUCAUCAUCUCAUACAUAUUUACGAACCAACAAUAAUAUCUAUAUAUAUAUAUAAAGUAGAAAGUAACAAAAAUAAAGAUGCCAAUGCACAAGAUGAACUUUAGGGUCAACAAUGAUGGCUUUCUUUCCUCAUUGCUUCUCAUAAACAUAAGCGAAGAAGUGUUGAAUGUCAUCCUUGUUGCAAAAACUGCAAGACAGGUUUGGAGUUUUUUAGAAAAACAAUUGUUAUUGGCUAUUCCAAGGAUAAGUAUGUUCAUUAAUUCCUUUUGAAUAUGCCUCUUCUAGUUUUAUUUUUAUAGAACAAAACCAAAGGAUUAUAGCAAUGAGGCAAUAGAAAUGACAACUUAAUGCAGUGGAUGGAUAUUUUCAAUAGAUGUCAAGUGUAAUAAGGAGAGGUGGGGCUUUGUCACACCAAUGUUUGAAAAUAUGAUUUUAUUUAGUAUCCAAAACAAUUCCAUGAUUACUAAAGAGGUAAGUAGAUGAAUGUUGAAAAGUGUAUUUUAUUGUUGUACACUACAACCUUUUAAAUAUACAUAUGAUUUUUCAAAAUAUACAUAAACUAUACAAGGUAUAUGUAUAUUACUCCUAAACUUAAAGUAUUGACCAUUUAAUGCUCUUGAUUUGUGGGUAAGAUUGGUUUUCUCCUAAUAUGCCCUUGUAAGAUGGUGCUUCCAUUAGAAACACAAAUCUUGGACUAAGAGAAUGUAAAACGAGACUUGGGUAGCAGCUUGGUGAGUAAAUAAGCAAGUUGAUUUUGGGUUAACACAUGAGCAACUUGAGAGAGCCUCGUAGUUACUUUUUCCUGCAAAAAAUGGUAAUAAAGAGUAAUAUGCUUUAUUUUUAAUGGAAUACAAGAUUUGCACACAAAUCCAUAACACCAAUGUUGUAGCAAAGUAGACGUGGUGUCUUAGGAAAAGAAGCGUAACUCAAGAAAAAGAUUAAUGGCUUAAGUUAUUUCAACCACCUCUGAGGUAAUACAACGAUACUCAACUUUAGUAUAAGAGUGGGUUCGUUGCUUUUUAAAGCACUAAGAGAUUGGAUUGACUUCAAGGGAGAGGACAUAUGUUAAUAUGGAAGUGCAAUCAUCACAAUUGCUUACCUAAUUAGGUCCAAGUAGGCAGUUAAGUGUAAUGAUUGUGAAUGACGGAGAAUGAGAUCAUAGUCUAGGGUGUGUUUAAGGUACCAUAGAAGAUGUUUGGCAAUUGUGUGCAUCAUUUUUUGAAUGAAAUACAAGAUUUGUAACACCAAUGUUAUUGCAAAGUAGACAUGGAGGCUUAGGAAGAGAAACAUAACUCAAGAAGAAGAUUAAUGACCCAAGUUAAUUCAACCACCACUGACGCAACAAAACCAUACUCAACUUCACUAGAAGAUGGGGCAAUGGUCCAUUGCUUUUUAAAGCACUAAGGGAUUAGAUUACCUCUAAGGAAGAAAACAUAUGCUGAGAUGGAAGUGCAAUCAUCACAAUUGCUUGCCCAAUUAGUGUCUAAGUAGGCAAUUAAGUGUAAUGAUUGUGAAUACGGAGAAAGAGAUCAUAGUCCAAGGUGUGUUUAAGGUACCAUAGAAGAUGUUUGGCUACAAUCUUGUGAGUUUGAUUUGGAGCAUGCAUGUGCUAAGUCAAUUUGUUUAUAGAAUAAGCCACAUUAGGUCUAGAUAUGGAUAGAUAUUGUAGGCUUCCAAUUAGACUGCAGUACUGCGAGUUAUCAACUUGUGAAGACCCAUCAUUCUGAAUAAGCCAAAUAGUGCAACUGAGUGGUGUGACAUAGGAUUUGAUACCUUUCAUAUGAAAUCUUGGAAGGAGGUCUUGAACAUAUUUUUGUUGAGAGAGGAAUUGUCCAUUUGCUUGGGGAAUAACCUCCACACCUAGGCAAAAUUGAAGAUGCCCAAGGUCUUUGAUUGAGAAUCGAUCAUAGAGUGGUAAUAACAUGAUAGAUAAAUAAUAGAGAAUUUUUUGUAAUUAACAAGUCAUCCACAUAGACUAAAAAAUAAACAAGAAUAGAGUUGUGAGAAUGAAUAAAUAGAGAAGAAUCAAAGUGAGAGUUCAAAAAGUUUAAAGAUACAAUGAAGGUCUUAAGCUUGAUGAACCAAGCCUGAAGUGCUUGCUUCAAGCUAUAGAUGGAUUUGUGCAAAUGACAAACAUGAUGGGUCCCAGAUUGAUCAAUGAAGCUAGGUGGCUAGGACAUAAAAACUUCUUCAUGAAGUUGCUUGCGUCGUGGAGGAAUGCAUUGUUGACAUCUAGUUGAUGCACUUAUCAUAUGCGAGAGAGAGAGAGCAGUAGAGGGAAUAGUCUGAAUGGUUGUAGGCUUGAUCGUAUGAUGAGAUCUCUCAUGAUAGUUGAUGCUGAGUUGUUGAUGAAAUUCUUUGGCCAUGAGGCAAGCCUUGUAUUGAGUGAUGCUACCAUUAAGAUUAUGCUUGAUCCUAAAAAUCCACUUACAACCAACAAUAUUUUGUUACGAUUCAUAAGAGACCAGCUCCCAAGUAUCAUGUGAGGCAAGAGCUUGAAGUUCUUCACUCAUGGCAUCUCUUCAUUCUUUGUGUUUUAAGGCUCGAAGGGAUAGGAUGCUUGGUGGCAAUGAGAGUGAAAACUUUCUUGGGUUUAAGGAUGUUGUUUUUGAAUCGAGUUUGCAUAGGAUGGUAGGAAAGUGGAUUGGUCUUAGUGAAGAGAGCACUGGUGAAGGGUUCACUACUCGGGAUGGAGCUUGGUAGUGUUUUGGUGGUGGUCGGUGAGAAAGAGAGGUCAACCAUAAGGGGGAUAGUUAGAUGUUGCAUGGAGUCAUGGGUGACAUGAGAUGAGAAUGGAGAAAUGGGUUGAGGAUGCGAGGGUUGUGGUGUUGAUAGGAGAGAUUCACGAGAUGGAGAUGAUGAAUGGAGAGGCGGGUUUAGUAGGUGAGUAUGAGACAGAGUGACUGGCAGAAUGGGAUGGAUUGAAUGUUAAUGGUGUGAUAAUAGGAAUCCUGACUCGCUAGAAUGAAUGCACAUCUUGUGUGGGGAAUUGAUUUAUGGAAUAAAUAAGGAAUGAAGGUGGCAGUGUCCAGUGUCCAGAGUAGGCAGCAUUGAGUAAAAGAAUGGAGUGUUCAAAAUGGGAACAACAUGUGGUAUGGAGAAGAAUGUGGGAUUAGUUUGCUGUGGCAACAAAAAGGAAGAGUAAGUUGGAGGUAGGUGAGUCUAAAUAGGAACGGAGGGAAUAGGUGUGGUAGUUUCUUUAGUCAACAAUUUUGGGGCGAAUGAUUUGGGUCUGAUUAUGGGAUGAACAUGUGGCAAAUUGAGAGAUGUAGGGUUAGUGAUAUGGGAUGGUGAAAAGGGAUGGUGUGGAGGUGAGAAUAAGUUGACUGAAGUGGGAAUAUUUAGGCUGCAUAAGGAGGGUUCCAUAAUGGGUUGGAAAGGUUGUGUAGAGAGGAGUGUUGAGUUGAUACCUUGUGACACUAAAAAAGGAAGAGAGGAAGCUGUUAGAGGAGUAGGAGAAUUUUCCUAGUUAAUGAGGGUUGGAAUUUUCAAGAUGAGUUGAGGUGGAAAGUGAGUCAAGGGGCUGUGAAAUGGGGGACCAACAAGAGAGAGUAUGGGAAUUAAUUUUAUCGUGCUUGGUAAAUAUAGAUCGAGAUAGAUAUGAUGUCUCAUCAAAUUGAACAUGCCUAGAAAUAUAAAAGUUGUGAUCUAUAAGCUCAAAAUAAAUGUAAGAGUUAUGAAUAUGAGAGUUACCUAAGAAUAGACAAGCUUUUGAACAUUGUUCAAUUUUGUGAGAGGUAUAUGGGCAGAUCCAAGGGUAACAUAAACACCCAAUUAUUUUUAAUUUUGAAUGGUUAGGCUUAGAGUGGAAGAGGCAUUCAAAUGGAGAUUUAUUCUCAAGAUUAGGCAUAGGAAAUCUAAUAAAGAGAUAAAUGGCAAUUUUAAAACUAAGAGACCAAAGUCGUAAAAGCAAGAAUAUCGGAUGAAGGAGGGUAAGUCCUGAUUAGAUAAUAUGUUGAAAACGAUGUUCAAUGAAGGUGAUGUGUUGAGUUGUGUACAAAUGUGAGAUAAGAUUUAGAUCCCAUGAUUUUCGAACACAGAUUUGAAGCCUUGGUCUUCUCUCCCACCAUUAGAGUAAAUGGUAGUAAUAGAAGAUCUAAAGUUUUUUUGACCCAAACUUUACCCAUUGUGGAUGAUAUUUAGUUUGGUAGCAAUAUCAUUACCCUUGAUAAAGAUGAGAGCUACAGUACUGUAGUGUGACCUUAUUUUUGAAAUAAAAGGGAAGCAAAGAAAAUGCCUUUGAUCAAAAUAAUCUUGACCCAAACAAACAAUGAAAACAAGUCUUAAGCUAGUAUCCUAUGGAAAUUUGAAAUGAUACUAGUCAUAUAAUCAAGAUAUGUCUAGAACACACUCACCUUUUGUGAUUAACAAAUCUGGAAGUAUCAAUGACUUUGAAAUAUAUACGUAUUUGUAUGAAAUUUAAUUAUCCACAUGACAUGUACUUGUUAAUAGCAUUAUUGCAUAUUAUUCAAUGACACAUCAAUCUAAUGAUUUCCUAAGAUAUUCAAAGCUUAUCACCUCAAGAGGCUUUGUUAAAAUGCCAGCUAAUUAUUCAAUUGAAUACCAGCUAAUUAUUCAAUUGAAUAAGCUUCUAGAGUUUCUCUAAGUCUCCCCCUCUUCUAUUUUAUCCUAUUACUCAAAAUGAACUGAUGAACAUUUGAUUAUUAGUGUUUAAGAGUCAUAACUAACUCUUACAAGAGCAAUUUAGAGGCAAAACCUUUUCUUUCAAUUGAAGAAAUUCAAACUGCGUCAACCUUGGCCACUGGGAUUACUUGUCCUACUAGCGUAAUCCCAUUGUAUUAGCUGUGCAGGUGUGCCUAAGAAAAUGAAUUCCAUAAUAUAUUGAUGUGCUGGUACCACAGCUUCCAUGACGCGGGUAGGGCAAGGCUAAGACAAAACAAUAGUCUUUAGAAUAAUUUACAUUUGCUAAGUAACACCUAUUGUUUUUGGUGCAUGACUUACUGCUGAAAAAUAGCUUCUUUGGUUGAAGUAGCAUUAGCUGCACACACUUGUGCUGGCUGUGCAAGCUUCACUAGAAGUUACCUCUCUACUUUAUACUAUACUGGUUAUGCGAGUACCCAUGUGGUAGUUACGGUUCUACCAGAAAGCAAUGUUUGAAACUCUUUUUGAACAUAUUAACCUAUGCUCUCUCAACCUAACACAACCCUAUGUUUCUCUAGACUUUAGGAAUCCUACAAUGAUCAUGGAAAACACUUUAUACAGUCUCUAAGGAAAUGCAAUCCAAUAUUCUGUAAGCUUGAGAUAAAACCAUCACCUUCUUUACCUUUGGUGUUUAGUAUGAGCUUGUUCUUCACCAAUCUUGAUCUCACUGCAUGGAUGAUCGACUUUGUGAUUGGUAAAACAUUUUGGUGAAAUACCUUAGCUAUUUAUUACACUAGAAAUGUCAUGAAAUUCACCAAUAUUCAAAUGUUCUGUUUAUGGUUUCUUUUUUUGAUAAUUUUGUGACAAAACAUACAUCACAAAGAAGAAAAAAAAAUGAUUAGGAUGUCAAGAAAUAGAACAAAUCAACCAUAUGCUUCUGAUCAAUAUUGAACCUGGCUACACAUUACCACUCAAAAACACUCAUUAAUAGUUUCAGACAUAUACAAGGCACACCAUUAUGUAAAUGCAAGCUAAGGUGCAUUUCCUCUUUCUGACACUUCUCAAAACAAUUUUUCUGUCCCAUUUUCUGGUAUAACACACAUUCUUCUCCUAUCCAUAUGUGCAUACAUCCCAUGUCAACUAAUGUUAGCAGAUUAGAUUAGAUUUGUUAUAGAAUUUGAAUUGGUCAAGCUAUUUGAAUUUACUUUUAUUUUUUUAUUUUUUUUGUUAUUUCAGAUUAUGUAGGAUUAGGAGUUUUAUGUUUUAAAUUCAAAUAAGGGUAGAUUGUUAUCUGUAACAAUUCUGCCAUGAUCCUAGGAGUAAUUUCAGGACUUUGUUGAUAACCCUUAGUCAUCCUAAGUCUAUUUAAAUGUAUUGCCUUCAAAUAAUAAAAAAUAAUGCAGAUUAGUUUUAGAUCUGGUUUCAUGGUAUUGGACCCAAGAUUAGUCGUCGAUAUCUCUUUCUAAAGACAACCAGGGAUGUAUUGGAUGCUGCCCAACAAACGUACUUCAAUCUUGGCAACGUGUCACAAUUGUUCGAAAUUCAGUCCAAAUUAAAGGAGAUCAAGCAAGACACCCAAUUGAUUACUCAGUAUUUCACUAACCUGGAGGAUAAGUGGCAAGAAUUGGAUUUGUUUUUUGACGAAAACUCAGUGUGUGCAACCUGUAGUGUGAAGUAGAGGCAGAAUCUUCAGAAAGAAUGGGUGUAUGAUUUUCUUAUUAGAUUAAAUCGAGAUCUUGAUGAAGUCCAAGAACGCGUUUUAAGUUGAGUUCCAUUCUGAACAAUUGAUGAAGCCUUUGCUGAAGUUCGUAGACGAGAAAAUCGUGGAAAAGUUAUGUUGUCUGAAGAAGGACCAUUGAGUGCUCCACCAACAGAAGGCUUGACCUUGAUGACCAGAAACAAAUUGCAACCAAGAAAGAACAACAAUGAUUCAAGGACACCACAUCAAGGAGAACAAAUGUGGUGUGAUCACUGCAGCCGCCAUGGACACAUCAGGGACAUAUGCUGGAAGAUUCAUGGAAAACCUGCAAAUUGGGUUCCCCAAAGAUAGACUGAAGGCCGAGGUUUUCAAGCUCAAUAAAACCAAUACAAGCAAGGAAUAGAUUCUUCAACACAACAUCAGUUUACAAAUUCAUUAGUUUCGUUCAGCAAGGAAUAGCUUGGGCAAUUCUAUUGUCUUCUCAAUCCAUCACCAGUCCCAUCUUUGUUAAAUUCUAAUCUAUGGUCAUGUUAUGUAGCACAAUCUGGUAACCACUCAGUCCUAACAUCUUUGGUUCACUCUACGAAACCUUAGAUCAUUGAUUUCGGUGCCUCUGACCAUAUGAUAGGUGGUUCUAAUUUUUUCCUAUCUUAUACUCCAUGUCCUAGUUUUACUAAAAUAAAAAUUGUAGAUGGAUCUUUAUCUUCUGUUGCUAGAAUAGGUUCAAUAAGAGUCUCGAAGGACUUAAUUCUUCACUCAGUCCUUCAUGUUCCUGCCUUAAAAUGCAAUAUGUUAUCCAUUAGUAAAAUCACUCGUGAUAAUAAUUGUUUCAUUCUUCAAUGUGUCAAUUUCAGAACCUAUCAUUGGGGAGGACGAUUAGCAGUGUUAGAAAUCAUGAGGGGCUUUAUUAUCUUGAGAACAUAGAGUAUGAGGGUCGGCAAGCUUUUGCAUCAAGGGUUGCAUCUGUUUUUGUUUCUAGUGAUAGGGAAGCAUCUGUUUCUAUUUCUAGUGAUAGGGAAAUAAUGUUAUGGCAUCAUCGACUUGGCCACCCUAAUUUUUUGUACUUAAAAUGUUUGUUACCUUUAUUGUUUAAAAAUGAAGAUUUUGUUUCUUUCAGUUGUGAUAUAUGCCAAUUUGCAAAACAUACUUGGGUACCAUUUUCUCCAAAACCCUAUAAACCUUCAAUGCCUUUUGCCUUAAUUCACAACGUUAUCUAGGGUUCAUCCAAAGUUACCACAAUGAAUGGAAAACGAUGGUUUGUGACAUUAAUUGAUAAUCAUACAAGACUCAUUUGGGUAUAUCUCCUUCGAGAUAAAUCAGAGACCAAUCAAGUGUUCCAAAAUUUCAACAAUAUGAUCCAAACUCAAUUUGGGAAAAAUAUUUGUCUUAUAGACUAACAAUGGGAGAGAAUAUUUUCAAUCUAUCUUGGGAGAUUAUUUAUUGCAUAAGGAAAUUGUUCACUAAAGCUCGUGCAUUGACACACCACAACAAAAUGGUUUCUUAGAAAGAAAAAAUAAACAUUUAUUGGAAGUGGCUAAUGCUCUUAUGUUUACAAUGAAUGUUCCCAAAUAUCUGUGGGGGGAUGCCAUUUUAACCACUGCAUUUCUGAUUAGCCGCCUACCUAGCCACACCUCGACCUUUAAAUCCCCACUAUCCAUGCUUACAAACAAAUUCCCACUUCUCAAUAUGCUUACAAAUACCCUUCCACUCAAAACAUUCAGACGCAUUGCAUUUGUCCACAUUCACUCUCAACACCGAACCAAACUUGAUCUUCGAGCCAUAGAAACAAUCUUUCUUGGCUAUUCUCCAACCUAAAAAGGGUACCGGUGUAACCGUCCCCAAACAAAGAAAAUGUUUGUCACUCGAAAUGUCACAUUUUUUGAAGAAAUCCCAUAUUAUUCACACACUUCUCUUCAGGGGGGAAUCAAGACAGAUAAGUUUCUGUGUGGGAUUGGGAUACUAUUGUUUUACCUAUAUUUGAGAUUCUAUCGCAACCUAUUGUUAUCCCAUUACUCGAGACUUUGGCUACUUCGGCCGUCAUACUCGAGCUUACCUCAUCUGAAACCUCACAACCAAUUGAAACCUUGUCACAACAUUCACUUGCAUACCAAUCCCAUAAACAAGGGGAUAUCCAACCAUACCAAAUCAAUAAAAGCUAUGGGUUUACUCUUGGAAAAAGAGUUCUCAAGGGAAUAAGCCACUUAUAAGCAAUGUGCAUUAUCCAAAAUCUGAACAUGAGUUAGGAAGUGGUUCCUCAUCCUUAGCUAAUCCUGAAACCAUUUCUGAUAGACUAGAUGAACCUAUUGCACUUAGAAAAGAUGUUAGGUCAUGUACACACCAUCCUAUUUCUAAAUUUGUGUCAUAUAAUAAUCUAUCUCCAUAGUUUCAUGCCUUUACCACAAAUCUUUCUAGAAUUGAUGUUCCUAGGACAAUAGAAGAUGCUCUAGCUAUUCCCGAAUGGAAAAAUGUUGUUCUUAAAGAGAUGCGAGCUCUUGAGAAGAAUGAUACAUGGAGUUUGGUGAAAUUACCACAAGGCAAGAGUGUGGUUGGAUGCAAAUGGGUGUUCACUAUUAAGGUAAAACCAAAUGGCUCAAUCGAGAGUACAAAACAUGAUUGGUUGCAAAAGGUUUCAUACAAACAUAUGGACUUAACUAUACUGAGACAUGUGCUCCCAUUGCAAAGCUCAACACAAUUCAUGUCCUAUUAUCACUAGCAGCAAAUUUAGACUAGCCAUUGUAUUAACUCGACAUGAAGAAUGCAUUCUUAAAUGGAGAACUGGAGGAAGAAGUGUAUAUGAGCCUACAACUCAACUUUGAAGAAGAUAAAAAGGGCCAAAAUGGUAUGCAAACUGAAGAAGUCUUUAUAUGGUCUUAAACAAUCUUUGUGUGCAUGAUUCGAAAGAUUCUCAAAAGUGAUUAAGAGUAACGGAUAUUCACAAGGGCAAAUUGAUAGGACUAAACAUGUGGAGGUUGAUACACAUUUCAUCACGAAAAACUUGAGAAAUGAGUAAUCAGCAUAAAGUACAUUCCUAUAGACCAACGGGUUGUUUACAUACUCACAAAAAGACUUCAUGGACCAGCAUUCAACUUUCUAACAAGCAAGCUUGGACUCAUUGACAUCUACGACCAAGCUUGAGGAGGAGUGUCGGUGGAUUAGAUUAGAUUUGUUAGAGAAUUUGAUUAGUCAAGCUAUUUGAAUUUACUUAUGUUUUUCUUUUUUUCUUUUUUUUUUCUUUUUUUGUUAUUUCAGAUUAUGUAGGAUUAGGAGUUUUAUGUUUCAAAUUCAAAUAAGGGUAAAUUGUUAUCUAUAACAAUUGUGUCGUGAUCCUAGGAGUAAUUACAAGACUUGGUUGAUAACCCUAUGUUGACCUAAGUCUAUUUAAAUGUAUAGCCUUGAAAUAAAAAAAAUAAUGCAUAUUAGUUUUAGAUCUGCUUUCAACUAAUAACCAAGAUCAUGUAAAGUUUCUUUCCCAUUCUUUGGCCUAUUUAGUAUGUGUAGCAUACAAAACUCAUCUCCUUUAAAUUGAACUAAUGCUAGUUAAAACUCUCCCCUUAGCAUCGCUUGUAAUAUUAGUCAUUGGGUGAUUUUUGUUCACUCUUGAUGUAGUCUCUUAGAGAAUUAAAUGUAGAUAAAAAGACUUUAAAAUGGGGUUAAAAAAUAGAGGAAAACAUCAAAAGCAAGAUUACAUCAAAAGAGAAUGGACAUCUACUUUAAUUAAAGCUAAAACAUGAAGAAAUCUAAACCAUAGAAAAGAACAAAGAGGCCUCCCAAAGGAGAAGAGAAAAUCUCCCAACUAUAAAAUGGGGUAUGGUUACCUUAGCUUGGGGGUACAUGACGGCAUCCUAUGGAACCCCCAAAGAUCCAAGUGCUAGGAGGAAAGUGCUAAAAAAAGUGGGCUUGGGCAUCUGGCAAAAAGGGCACCACGCUUGGAUGGCAUGGGCCAUGGGGCCCAACUUGGUGCCCAAAGUCGCCGUAAAAUUUGGGGAGGCUGCCAGAUUGGGCACCAUCCUUUUGUGCACUGUGGGCCAUAGGCCAGAGUCAAAACGAUAGUGUGCAUUCUUCCCCUGUUUCAUGCACUUAGCGUUCCUCUUGCUGUAUUCUUGUGCUUUGGUUGUCUCAGGAGGCUCCAUUAUGUGCACUUAUUCACUCAAAUAGAUGCAACACAUAGAAAACUAGAGGAAAACAUAGGAAAACCAAGGUUAUGCGGGGCAAAGCAAAAAUGGUGAUUGGAGAAUGCACUUUAUGUCAAUAUCACACUUAAAAUGCAAUUUCUAGUCUCAUUUCUGACCAAUAUUUGCAUCAAUCACCUCAUUAUUAUUAUUAUUUUUUAUUUUUUGCUUUAGGUAUACUUUGUUCAAAUCUUUAUUUUGGAUACUCAUUGGUGUAAUUUUAGAAGACAGUAGUGAUAAUUGGAUUUGGUUCCAGACUUCAUCAGACUGACACAUAAAUGUAACCUGUAUGAAUACAUGACCAAAUCUUAUGUUUUAAGUGCUUUUUUUUUAUUUGGUUCCAUAUUUUGAGGAUAUGAAUGUUUAUGCUUUAACUAGUGUGAUUCAGCUAUAUGUUGAGUUCUCCAUGCUGUGAUUAAUUACUACUUUGGCAAACCAUUCUUGCACUAGUGCUGUUAACUUAAUUUACAAUAUUUUGUAACUAAUGAAUCAUAAUUGUUCAUCUGAGUUUCUAUUUUGAACUUUUGUUGAUGUUCUGAGUUGUAUACUGCUGAUAACACAGGAAUGACUGAUCUAGCUGGUGGGGCUGCAGGUGAGAUAUAUAAAGAUGGGAAACGCGUAGCGACUUUUGCCUUUAGCAAUAUUCUUUAUCUGAGGGAUCUGAGCAGAAACUCUAAAAAGUUAACUCAGGAAGCCACGAAUCUCAAGGAAACGAGGAAAUACCUAGAAAUAAGAAGAUUUAAGACACAGUCAGGCAUAAGAGAUUGGAUUGCUACGGCUUCGAUUAUUUUAAGGCAAGUGGAACGCCUAGAAACUAAAUACAACAAUGAAAAGAAGCAUCGAUGGAAAUUGUUUUCCCUUGCAAAUCUUAGCAAAGAGAUGGAAGUGAAGUGCCAAGAAGUUUGUAGUCAUAGGGAAAAGGGAGUCUUCAUGAAAGAAACAGCAGUCAUGGAAUUGCCAGAGCCUGUCCAAAGAAUACCUACACUCAAACUGGAAGAAAACUCGUCAUUGCACAAAGUUUUACAACAUGUACUGAGGUGUCUAGAGGAUAAAGAAGUAAGAAGAAUUGGUAUCUGGGGCAAGCUGGGAACUGGGAAAACCACAGUAUUGAAGAACUUGAAUAAUCAUGCAAAAGUUGCUGAAAUGUUUAAUGUGGUUAUCUAUGUAACUGUCUCAAAAAAGUGGAGUGAAAAAAGGGUACAAGAUGCAAUCCUAAGGCGGCUAAAAUUGGAUGUAGUAGGUAAUGCCAAUGUUAACGAAGCUGCUUGGCUAAUAUCCGAAGAUUUGAAGGAAAGGAAGUGUUUGAUUCUUUUGGAUGAAGUAACGGACAUGAUUGAUCUAAAUAGAAUAAUGGGAAUCGACGAGAACCCAGAUAGCAAGGUAGUGUUGGUGAGUAGAUAUGAUGACUUUUGUAAAUGUGUCAUGAAGGCUGAUGAGCUAGUUAAUGUGAAGCCAUUGUUACGUACUGAAGCUUGGAACAUGUUCCAGAAAAUAGUAGGCCCUUCCAUUUCUAACCCCUUAAUUGAACCACUGGCGAGGGGUGUGGUUAAUGAGUGUUAUGAGUUGCCACUGCUGAUAGACAGAGUGGCAAAAACCUUCAAAAAGAAUGGGGAGGAUUCUGUGCUUUGGGAUUAUGGAUUGGAACAGUUGAAAAGAUGGGACAGUAUCAAAAUCUAUGGCAAGGAUGAAGUGCUGGAACGCUUACAGAUUUGUUAUGAUGAUUUGGAAGAUGAUGAACAGAAGGUUUGCUUUUUGUAUGGUGCAUUGCAUCCCCAAGAAAGUGAGAUAUAUGUAGAUUACUUGUUAGAAUGUUGGAAAGCUGGAGGUUUUAUUAAACAUGCAAAUGAUUUCAGAAGUGCACGCAACAGAGGGCAUACGGUGCUGAAUGAGCUUAUCAAGGUAUCUUUGCUGGAGAGAAGUGCUAACAGGAAAUGUGUUAAGAUGAAUAAAAUGCUUCGGAAAAUGGCGCUUAAGAUCUCAUCAAAAAGAACAGAUUCCAAAUUUUUAGUGAAGCCACACGAGGGGUUAGAAGAUUUCUCAAAGAAGGAAGAAUGGGAACAAGCCCAUCGGAUUUCUUUGAUGAAUGACCAACUACGCACUUUACCAGAAACACUAGAUUGUCGCAAUCUGUUAACGUUGUUGCUUCAAAGAAAUAAGUGCUUGACUUCUAUUCCUGAGUUGUUCUUCAAAUCUAUGUGUCGUCUCCAAAUUCUAGAUCUCCAUGGCACUAACAUUGUAGUACUGCCUUCAUCCUUAUCCAACUUGAUUUACCUCAAAGGGCUCUAUUUAAAUUCCUGCUCUGAGUUGAAAGAAAUCCGAUCUAGUGUAGAAGCACUUGAGCAUCUUGAGGUGUUGGAUAUUCGAAAGACCAAACUUAAGUUACUUCAAAUUGGAAGUUUAGUAUGGUUGAAGUGUUUGCGAUUAUCAUUGUGUAAUUUUGAUGUGGCAAACUAUACUGAAGCACAAGUGUCAAGGUUUGAUUUGUUGGAGGAAUUGACUAUUGAUGUUGGUUCAUUGGAAGAAGGGUGGGACAAGAUUGUAGAUCCAGUAAUAAAGGAGAUAGUUAAGUUGAAAAAAUUGACCUUUCUUAGAUUUUGUUUCCCUCAAGUAGACUGCCUUGGCUUAUUUGUUGAAAAAAGCCCUGUGUGGGAGGAUCCCCGCUUGAUAUUUCAUUUUGCUGUUGGUUACCAUGACUCCGCCGUUGCUCAUGCUCUUGAGUCUAUCGAUAAUCCAAGCUACAAGAUCUUGAAGUUGGCCAAUGGUGAUGGUGUAAAUCCUAUAGUCAUGAAGGUGCUAACGAAAACCAAUGCAUUGGGACUAAUAGACUACAAAGGAGUUUCGAGUCUAUCGGAUUUUGGCAUCGAGAAUAUGAAUAUGAUAUUUGAUUGUUUGAUUGAAGGAUGCAGUGGAAUGAAGACCAUCACCUAUGGUAAUGGAACAUCAAAGGCUGUGCUAGAAUGGUUGAAAAAUUUGCACAUAACCAAUGUCCCAGAAUUGGAAAACAUUUGGCAGGGGCCUGUUCAUGCUGGAAGUUUGGCUCGAUUAACAACUGUGACAUUAAGUAAUUGCCCCAAGUUGAUGAAGAUAUUCUCUAAUGGUAUGAUUCAACAACUUAUUCAACUGACGCACUUGAGAGUUGAAGAAUGCCAUCAAAUUGAAGAGAUUAUCAUGGAAUUUGAGAAUACACAACUAGAAAACCAAGCACUUCCAAAGUUGGAGACCCUAAAACUCAUUCAUCUGCCACAACUAACAAGCAUUUGGGCUAAAGAUUCAUUAGAGUGGCCAUCUUUACAAGAAGUUGAGAUAUCUAAGUGUUUCAAGUUGAAGAGUUUACCUUUCAACAAGGUAAAUGCAACCAAAUUGAGAUCCAUUGAAGGGCAACAAUCAUGGUGGGAAGCACUAGAAUGGAAAGGUGAUGCCAUUAAACAAAGAUUACAACCUCUUUUCAUCCCCAACCAGCUCCUUUGAUUUCAUCUCUUAUGCGUUUUAUUGUAAAGCUAAUCAGGAUAGUUGCUGCUGCUGAGACAAAGUAAGUUUGUGUGCAGGAUUCAAAAACUCUGGCUUGCACUUGCUUGAGAUUUACUAUUUUUUUCUUGUAUUUGUUUGAGAUUUGAUACUUUGGGUUGUGUUUGUUUAAGAUUUGCUACUUCAUAUUGUAUUUGUGUAUGAUUGCUUGUUGUUUGGUUGUUGUAUUUCCAUAUAUCUUAUGUAAGGAUAAUAGAUUGAAAAUCUUAAGCUCUAUUUGGUUCUAGAAAAGUAUUAAAGAAAGAGGAAAAUGAUUUUCUCAUAUUUGGUUUUAAAUAAUUUUCUUUAUAUAGAGGAGAACAAAAAAAGUAAAAUGAGUUUAAAAUAGCAUAUGAAAAUAAUUUAUCGACUUUAAAUCUUUUUUUUUUUUUUUUCAGUUUUCGUCUCCAUUUUCUUUCUCUUCCAUUUUUUUUUCAAAAUUUUCAAGAACCAAAUAUAACCUUAGUCAUAACCGCUAAUAAUGAUUUUUCUUCUCAUAAGGUAGGACUGAACAAUUGUAGUAUUUGAUAUUUGUGGAGAAUUAUUCAUUUGAUACACAUAUUCUUUCUCUUGAUAUCAUAUAUGGUUUCUGAUUUUACUUGUUAUCUUAAUUUUUGGUAUUUGAAUUUGAUUUCUUCAUCUCAUUUAUUUUUAUUUCUUUGGGGAAAUGGUUUAGGAAUAUGAAUAUGAAGAUGUUCAAUUGCUUUACGGAUUUCUGCUAACUGAGUCAUCAUGUGGCCUAAGCCCAGCCCUUUUCAUGCCCAAGCCUGGCCCAAUCAUUGAAAUUUGGGCUUAGACAGAACUCAGACCCGCAAUGAUGGGCUUUUAAAAUAUAAAUGUUAUGCAACACCUUAUCUUUUAAUUACCUUUAUGUCUUAUAAAAAUAAUUAAUUCUAAAUUUCAACUCAAAGUUAAGUUGUCCAAAAAUCAUUAAAAAUAGGAAACAUUUUUUUAGACUUGAAAAAACGUUUGGUAUUAUUUUAUUUUUCGAAAACAGUUCUUUGAAAACUUGUUAUGGAAAUAAAAUAUUUUUUGAGAACAUAUUUUAAUUAUUUUUAAAUAUCUUUCCUUAUUUUUUGGGAUUUAUUUUAAAAAGUAAUUGUACAUAUAUGUAGAAUGGUCGGAAUAAAAUCAUUGGAAACAAAAGUUGUUUUGAAGAAAUUCAAAAACAUAAAAAGUAGUUUGAGAAUAGGUGGCAAGUGUGUUAAAAAAUAGUUCUAAAAAACAAUUUAAAAAAAAAAAAAAUUAUGAUAUUUUUAAAGUAAGUUUAUUUGAAAACCAAAAAUUUUUGUUUUCUAUGUUUUUAAAUAUGUUUUAAAGAUAUUUUUUAUAUGUAGUACUUUAAUUUUAAUUAUUUUUUAUAUUUAUAUAAUUUUAAAAAAAAAAAAUAUUUAGAAAAUAAAUGAAAACAAUUAAAGAUGUUCUCUAAAAAACACUGUUUUCUAUUUUUAAAAAUAAAAAAUAAAGUGUUUUUAGAAAAUAUAUUUUAAUUGUUUUUACUUGUUUAAAAAAUAAUUAUAAAGAAUAAUUAAAAAUAAAGUGUUAUGAAUAAAAAUUAUUUCUAAAAUAUAUUUAAAAACAUAGAAAAAAGGCUCAAAGUAUUUCAAGUUCCAAACAAAUUUUGUUUUGUAAAACAUUAGAAAAUGGUUUUUAAAAACUAUUCUCAAAGCUGCUUUUUAAAACUAUUUUUGAGAAUACUUCCAAAACAGACCUUAUUCUCCCUUCUUUCUUGCCCUAAAACAAGUAUAAAAAACUGUUCUUUUAAAGUUGUUUUUGAAAAUACUUCCCAAACAGACCUUAUCAUUCUCUCUUCUUUCUUGCCCAAAAAUGAGCGGCAGUUCCAUAAUAGCUCAAGCUUACCUUCAAGGAGUCACCAGGCUGACCUGAGCCUGGCACUCAAAACAAAAACCAAAUAUGAGACAACAUACUAAGAAUGCACUUGUGUUAGAAAUUUAGACACAGAUGAUACAAAUGCUGCUGGGAAUUGGUUUUUUGGGCUUUGAAAGUAAAAUGUUUUAAGGAAAAACCAGCCAAAAUGUGCAGCAGGCAUUCUGGACCACCCUCUUCAUUCUGGGGAAUUAAUGAUUCUGUUCAACCGGUUGUUCUUUCUAUUGUGAUUAUUACACAUGACACUUUCAAACAUGUCAAAUUCGUUAAUUUUUCGAUAGCAAUAGGUAGAUAUAUAUCCAUGAUUUUGGUCUUCAAUUUAUGAUUUCAGUCCCUUGAAAAUCAAAUACCUAAAGGUGAUGGAGUUCUCCGACUUUGGGUGCCAACCCAUGAACAAUUCACAACCUCCUAAAAGGAAAUUUGAAGUUGAACCAAUAGAAAGAGAGAUUGUGAUAAAGAUCUUAUUCGAGUAUGAAACAAGUCUAGGAUUUGCAUGACAAACAUUUUAUUGGAAAAAUAAGGGAACAAUUACUCUUAAAUGAUGGUUGUCUUGUUAGAAUAAUACAUUGAAUUUAGGGUGAUUCAGGUUCUUUGGUAACUUGGUAUUAACAAGAUUACAAACCAAGGUCGAAAACUAAUGUUUUUUCCGAACUAAAAAGACUAAAAAAAGCAAGCAACUAUUGGCAUAGUGACUUGGUCGAUCCAUCACCACAUAUAAUGCUUCUAGUUUCAUUGCACCCUUCAACUAAACAAACUAACAUGUUUGCCAUGUUGUGAAUGCCAAAAUCUGAUAGUGUUGAAACACCUUGUGGUUAAUUAAUCAGAAUGCAUAUGUCACCAUAAGUACCUCUGCGAUUACAGGAUGCCUCCCUUCACCAUUGACCAAUUCAAGCAAUUGAAGCUUGGAUAAUCAGUAGACUCUAGAAAGUAAGAGGAGGUUGAGUCCUGGUGACCAACAGAAAAUUGAAAUGAGAAGUGUGAGCUCUUCUUCCUUGCUGGGCUUCCAUGGACAAACAAUACAAGGAAGUCCACCGUAGGGAAGCAAAAUUGAAGGGAAGUUAAUUUUUGCAAGGUAGCCACCUCCUCCGUAACAAUCUUUAAAACUUGACAAGGUUGAAAUAUUUAUAUGCAUCUUCAAACUCAUUUACAUUGCAAGUGGGUUCUGACUGGAAUCCUCUAUUCCAAUAGGAAAUUUUUGAAAUGAGAUAUCCGCUGUUGGGGCCUCUAUUUCCUGCAUGGCUGCAAAGACAAAAGGAUUUGAUGGGUCUAGACAUAUCUAUUGAGGCCUCGCGUCCCUGGUGAUCUACGUAGUUGCCAAAUGGAUGGACGCACGAUCUCAACCAAUAUAGGUUCUUGAUUCAGUCCUUCUACCUGCAAAAGGCGUUCGGACAGGGUGUCCGGACGCACCCUCCGAUGGUUUUGUCAGCCAUGGUUAGAGAGAGAUAAAUCAGUUGGCCUUUUACUAGGUACCUCAAGCUUACCUUCCUCUUUGUGUGAAGGUUCGUAUAUAUAGUAUCAGAAGCUUUGUUCUCCUCUUUAAUGGUGGGGAGAUAUUUUGUGUUGUCAUGAUGACACUAGGUGGUGGCAGGCCAUCAUCACCCUACGGGCGGCUGACAGAGAUCGUGGUAGGUGAUGCAGUUGUCAGAGAUCGUGGUAGGUGAUCGUGGGAAGUGACUUGUUGUCACUUCAUCUUGUCCUUUCACUCUGCAGGUGGCGGAACGUGGGCCAUGACAGGCUGUUGUGAUAACGUGCAAGACUUGCUUACUUCAGUCAAUGAUCUGGGCAACGUAUCCGGAUGGCCUGUGUUUAGUCGUCCGGGUGCAUUUGUGGAAGUCGUCAGGAUGUCAUGCUUAUGAGUGUCGUGUGCUUCUCCUUGAGGUAGUCCGGAUAGGAGAAGCGCGCCACGUGUACUCUUGGGGAAAUCCGGAUGGGGUUGACCCCGGAUGAGAAUGUGUGCCACGUGUUAUCAGGGGGAGGGGUCCCUACAAUAUCCAGAGCAGGAAUCAAAGAUGCCAUCCCAUCUUGGUUCUGGAGUCUGAAUUUUGACUACAUGAAUCUAGCCUACAACCUGAUGUAUGGCACUGUUCCAAGCUUAACAGCUGCAUAUCAGAUCCAUCUUGGUUCAAACAAAUUCAGUGGCCCACUGCCCCGUAUCUCUUCCAAGACAUUUUCAUUAGAUCUUUCCCGUAACUCAUUUAAUGGAUCCCUUUCACCCAUCUUGUGUCAACAGAACAAUGAAGUGAACACUUUGAGGAGAACUUUCCGGAAACAUUCACUCAUUUAAUGGACCUCCCCGGAAACAUUCUAUCAGGAGAACUUCCUGACUGUUGGGCGUCCUGGACACUACUCAUGGUGUUGAGAUCAAGAAAUAAUAAUCUGACUGGACAUCUACCGAGCUCAAUGGGUUCCCUACUUUGGCUAAGAUCAUUGCACUUGCGCAACAACAGUCUCUCUGAUACUUUACCGUGUUCCAUGCAAGGUUGCGAAAGUUUAACAGUUGUAGACCUCAGUGAGAAUGAAUUCUCUAGAAGCAUAACGAUGUGAGUGGGGAAGAAUCUGUCCAGUCUUAUGGUUCUUGUCCUACGAUCAAAUAAAUUUACUGGGAGUAUUCCUAUGGAAUUCUGUCACCUCGAGUCCCUUCAAGUCUUAGACCUUGCAAACAACAUCACUGGUUGUAAAGAGAACAGAAUAUGAGUACAGUGGUUCUCUUCCCCUUCUAACUGGAAUAGGCCUCUCAUGCAACAACUUGUCAGGGGAGAUACCAAAAGAACUUACCAGUCUCCAAGGUUUGAUGUUCUUGAACCUCUCUGUAAAUCAUCUUGAAGGACAACUUCCUAUGGAGAUCAGCGCCAUGACAUCGUUGGGGUCCCUUGAUAUCUCCAGGAACAAACUUUCGGGUGUUAUUCCACAAAUCCUUGCAGGUAUAUCAUUGUUGAGCCAUUUAUAUGUGUCGUACAGCAACUUCUCAGGCAGAAUUCCAUCAGGCACUCAAAUCCAAGGCUUUAAUUCGAGCUGUUUUAUUGGUAAUCUUGAGCUCUGUGGGCCUCCUCUUACAGAGACUUGUGUUGGAGAUGAUCUCCCAGAGGUUCCAAUUCCAGGGCCUGCUGAUGAAGAGGACAAUGAUGAUUGGAUCGAAAUGAAGUGGUUCUAUAUGAGCAUGCCACUGGGGUUUGUGGUUGGUUCUUGGGCUGUUUUGGUUCCAUUGGCAAUCAAAAAGGCAUGGAGGGAUGCCUUUUUCCAGUUCUUGGAUAACAUGAAAUGCAAACUGUUUGGCUGCUCUCAGUAUGGAGAGCAGUAUUUGUGUUCCUUGAAUACAAAUAUAAGCGUCCUUUUGGCUGUAGGCUCAUCACACACGCCUAACCAUUCAUUGAUGUUUCAUGUGAGCUCCUUUUGGUUGCCGAGAAAACCUAGUCCAAUGGGACAAAGUAUGCUGGGAAAGUGCGUUAUUCAUGGUAACUUCAAGGAGAGUCCAGAUCAACCCUUAGGGCCACUAAGAGAAGAGCAGGAGAAUCAAGGGAAUUAAGAAUGAAGUGUUUUUAAGGAAGUAGUAGAUUGAAAGGAAGAUCGAUUAUCUUGCUCUUGGAUUUAUUGACCUAUGUGAAAGAGGGAGAUGACCAUGUAAUAAACACACAAUACCUUCAUAAACUGAAAAAAAUCUGUUUUUCAUAUUUAAAUUCUCAAAGAGAAUUUCAUUCCUAAAAACAAUUAAGAAUUAUUUUUAAAAUUAUUAUAAAAAACUAUUGUUUGAAAAAUAUUUUAGAAAGCAUUGUUAAACAGACCCCUAGUUGUUGAUUUUCUAUAAACACCAAAAGGACAAGCAAUUAUCCACAAACAUUAGACACAAUUCAUCACUUCAAUUAAAUAGCCAAAAAGUAUCAAGGCUGAAGGACUUACAGGGGACAGUUAUAAACGGGAAGAAUACCUAGGACAUGUCCAAACACAAGACUCCUAAAGACUAAGCUAUGAGGAGGAAAAAAAACCCCAAAAUCAUGUCAAUAGAACAGAAGAGCAAAAUUGCAUACUUAAAAUACUUUACACAAUUUAGAGGAGAGAACUCAGUACUCCCAUUUCCUAUUCUCCAUGCCAUCAGGAGGGCUUCCCUCAACCUUCUUCGAUCGAACUUCCUUCCAGUUUGUCCACAGCACUGUCCUGUUUUACUCCACAAGUUAAAAAAUAGCCCCAAGAAAAACAAUGUCACCUUUGAAUCCAUUAAUUUGCUAAUUUCCCUUUUAUAAUCCCAUACUCAAUUAGAAUGAUAUCCUAUGUAACUCCGGUUUUGAAGUCUUACAAAAGAUUUUUGCAUGGCCAUUCUUGUGUCUUCAUCUGCAUCUGGGUAAAUGUCCCGGAAAAAUCUGUUCAGAGCUGCAUCUCCAUCCAGCUUUUCUUCUUUCUCCUGAAAUUCAAACCACCAAAGAGUUGAUCGCCAUAUAAAAUUCCGAUAAUGAAAACCAAAGUAACAGCAUCUAGACUGCAGGCAAACCUCCUUCUUGACUUGUGCUUCCAGCUUAUCCCAAUCUACCAUUUUAGUCUUAGAGGACGGGUAAGUGGGCCUUUGAGAUGCAACACCUGCAACUAGAAAAAGGAAAUAAGCUUAUUAGCAUGAAAAGAAACUUUAUGCUGAAAAAUGGUAAUAGGCUCAUGAUUUUCAAGCAAACAAAUGCUCUGUAGGUAAACAUAUUAAUAAUCGAUCACUCAAUGUCCUCUGUUCUUCCAAAAUGUUACAAUCUUGGAGAAGCAUCAACAGAUUGAUAUGAAAGCAAAAGAAAUACCAAAUCUAUUGUUGAGUUUGCCACGUUGAGUUUUGUCACUGCUGCACAUAUCACACAGCAAUUCUUUUAUGUGCUCUUCUCCAAUUGUAACACUAUAUAAAAACAAAAAUUGUAUUUUGAGGAUGCUGUUUAUUAGUGAUAGCAGUAAGUGAAGACUGCAACCUCAAAACUGCAUUAUGAGGAAGCAGCCUACCCUUGCUAGCAAUCAAGUGAAGACUGAUGAUCCAGAAGUUGUGAAACAGAUGAUCCUGGAUGUGAGCUUAACAAGGAUGGACACACAAGUAUAAGAACAUCCUCACUAAAUGCAUUGGAUAGAUAUCAUGUCCAAUGGGUUUUUAUUUCCAUGUAGAUAUAGAAUAGUAUUUUCAGGCUUAUAUCGAGGAGCAGUAUGACACUGGUAGUGCAAAUAACAGAGAAAGAAAAUAUAAAGUUUUUCUUUUCUUCAAGUAUGGCAUGAUUUGUAUCAUGUAUGAGCUGUGAAUAGAAUAAAUAAAAUUUAGAUCACCUCUACCUUUGAAGAGAAAAAGAAUGAAAAAACAACCUGACUGUUGAGAUGGAUUUCUCUCUUGCUUGGGAGCUAGAAGCUGAUUGCCAAUUUCCACUGAGUCAUCAAAUCAGCAUCUGAUUUAAUGGGGACAAAUAUAGAAUCCAGCUUAUGUGUUAGAACUGAUGUACGCCACUUCAAUGCCCUCCACCAGUCGGCCUCUCCUAUAAUCACCUUCAAAUUAUUACUAGAAACUUCCAUGAUAGAAAGAGCUUCAAUUCUUGGGCAAUUAUAGAAGCUCAUCCAUUCCAAGUCUGGUGCAAUGUGUAGACCACUAGAAAUGCUGCCCAAUUUAGGUAAGUAAUGAAGUGGUAUCUUCUUCAACUUUGGAAGGUAUGUUUUGAGCAGCGUAUGUUCUGCAGGGACUUCACGAGUCACCAAGCUGUUUAUUUUGGGGCAGUUUUCAACCACAAGCUCCUCUAAAAGGUCGAGAUUUUCAAGCAAAGCCAAAGUAAAAGUGGUCUUCAAUUGGGGGCAUGCAUACAAUUCCAGAGACUUGAGACUGGAUAGACAACCCUUCCUGAUGGCCCCUUCCAUAUACUGCCUAAAUUCUUCAUGUAGUGAAGCCUCAAGUAUCAGAGUGAUCCAAGUAUGAUUUCUUGAUGAACGUCUCCAUCGUCUUUCCUUGUCUAUAAGUUUCUGCUCUAUCCACAAGGGUUUGAAUCUUGCUACAUUGCCCCAUUACACAAAAUUAUAGUUUCAUUAUGUGAGUGUUUAGCUAGGUUGAUAAUUCCGGACAAAAUACUUAAGUGUCCCCUAACUCGGCUUUCCAAUUCCUAUUUGGACUACUUGACUUUGAAGACUAAAACUUUGCUAAAAGGCCAAGGUAUGUAGCCGAGUGUGUGGUGAUUGGAUGUGAAUCAACCCAGUUUUUAAUCUUUAAAUGUGUUAGAAAGUUGGGAGAAAUGGUUUUUGGUGAAAGGCUUUCAUUCCCCUGUUUCUGGAUCGAUCCAAGUAUAGGGGUGGAUUGAUCCAACUAAUUUUUUUUUAGAUCAAAUCUCAACCAUUAGAUUAAGGGUUUCUUUUUACACUUUAAAAAGCAAUCUUCUCUCAUUUUUCUGAGAUGUGACUGUAGAAAAUGUGGAGAGAGCAGCCACACUCCUUGCAUUCUUCAUUUUCUCAUUUUGUUUUCCUAAUUUGGGGUUUUUGAUUGCAAAGAAAAUCCACUUCUCUUAAUGUUUUCCAAACUAGUUUUUAAUGGAUUUUCUUGAGCAAUAAAUGGGUUGAUUCAUUCCUUCAUUCACAUCUCAAUCUCUCAUUCUACUUGGGUUUGGGUACAUGCCCAUUUUCUUUUUGUGUGGAUUCAAGAAGAGGCCGGGAUUGAGCUUGGUGCGGACUCCAAGUGUGCUCCGAAAGAAGAAGGUGAGAAGCUGAAAAUGAAGGUACUAGUCAAGUAGUCCGGGAAGGAUUGGUUGGCUUGAUUUAGGUAAAACCUUGUACUCAGUUUUUAUUCUUCAUAGUGGAGUUUUUCAAUCGAUGAUAGGCCUGUGGUUUUUGAUAUUCGGAGGUUUUCCAUGUUAAAAAUCUGAUGUUCAUUGUCUCUUUCUCUCACUCUACAUUUUGAUUUAUUUUCUGUUUUUGAUAUCAUUGAUUACUUAGGCAUACUUGUUGAAUGGAAGAAAUAUGAAGUGAUUUAAGUGUGAUUAUCCAUUGAAUGUCUUUAAUAAUUCUUCUGUUCACUUUGUUUAAUGAGAUCAUGGAAUCAAUUGUUAUGAGUUGAGGAGAUAAUUGUUCUUUUGAUUUAUUUUUGAGGAGUGUUGAAGCAUUUGCAUGUGUUUUGCAUUGAUAAAUUGUUGAGAGAGUGUUGAUGCAUAUAUUCUUACUUGUGGAUGUUAUGCUUUGUUGAAAAAUUGUUGGAAGAAAAGUUUCUUGACAUUGAGAUAGUCUAAAUGUUUGUUGGGAGAAUUUUUAAAUUGUUCUAGAACACCUAUUCACCCCCCCCCCCCCUCCUCUAGGUGUAGUCCAUUAUUGAGAUUCACAUUUUCGCAUUAUAUUUUCAAUCCCAAAGACAGCUUGGUAAGAGUUAAAUGGCGUUCCAAAAGCAGACCGGUAGCAUGCUGGAGUACCUUCUCAAUUUCCGUUGGGACACUAUUACCAUUGACAUACUUCAAGCCUUUUUUUUGCUGUUCAAAUUUAUUUGCAAUUUCUGGUGGUAGUCGAGAUACAAAGUGUUUGUGAUGCCUGCCAAUAGUAAACCUGAAAUUCAUCAAUAAGAGGUUUAUCACUGAUGUUCCACUCCUCAUGAACUCAUUCACAAGUAUAACCUCUGGCAAGUACAGUUUAAGAGUCUCAAUGUGUUUGAAGCUGUGAACUUCCUUAACAAUAUCUUCCACGAUCACAUCCCAUCACUGAUCAUCUGGAUUCACAUGUAUGCCUAAUUCUUCCAAUUGAGUGAGUUCUGAUAUUGUGUUCGGGGGAAUCACUGUGUCCAACGACUGGUCAUUUUGUCCAGUGUGGUUACUGUACCCAUAGAAGGACACUUUCAGGCACUUGAGGUUGGUCAGUCUUCUGAUAUUCACAGGUAGGUUUAUAAUUUCGGUCCCUUCAAGAUCGAGCACCUCAAGAUUUCUAAGUUCUCCAACAUCAAGUGGUAACUCCAUGAGAAGUUGACAUCCUCUUGGAAGGAAAAUUCUGAGUUGGACCAAUUUAAAAAGAGAUGGUGGUAACAAUCUGAUUCCAGUGUUGGACAAGUCUAAGAUUUGUAGGACAGGCAUGCCUUCAAAGAACAUCGGAUGAAUAACUCUCAGACCAUUAUUGGCUUAUAAGAACAGUGCCCUGAGUUGAGGGCAAUCUGGACUUUUUGGUAGCUCAGAUAGUUUAUUGUUCAUCAAGUGCACCUCACUGGCUUUUUCCCAUUCCUCAUCUCUUGGUGGCUCGGUUAAUCCCUUUCCACCUAGCCAAAGAUAUAGUGACUCUCUUUCAAGUUCUAACAAAUUUAGCAAGACCUCAUGGAUUUCAUCCCGCAUUUUGACAAGAACAGAAUGUUCAUUCCAAGAACUCUCGAACAAGAAGGCGUCAAGAAGAUCCCGAACCAUCUCUUCUCCUUCAUCCACUUUUCUAAUUACGCUGCCUGUAAUCCACCUGCCAAUCAAAUCUACUUUCUCUAACUCUGUCCAGCGUCCCAUGUGUACAAAGAACUUCAAACAAUACAUUGCUGAGCCCAAACGCCCACAGAUGAAUGCUAAGGAAUUAAAUAAGACAUCGUUGUCUCUCAGCCAAGAAGUGGGUUGCAAGGCCAGUGCAUGAGAUGCAUAUUCCCAUGUGUGAACCUCAUUGACAUCUCUCAAGGCUCUAGCCAUUAGAACAAUGGCAAGCAAAUGACCCUCGCACUCUUUGACCGCACUCAUUGCUAGGCAUUGGAUGCCUGAAGAAUGCACAACAUUGCCAACAUCCAAGUUAACAGAUGAUCCUCCAACCUAAUCUCCAAAUCCACUUCUGUGUGAUUAAUUCUCCUUCCCAUAGAGCUAAUUGUACAAACCAUCUUUUGAAACGUCUGAGUUCCACGAAUUGGUCCCCACUUCGUUCGGAUUCGUUGAUGAAGCGACGUCAACACCAUCAAGAAGGAUCAAAAAGUUUUUGAUUUUCAGCAAUCCAUCCACUUCCUGUCUGCUGGAUGUUGAGAGACCCAGUUCUGUUGCAAUGCCAUCUUCAAUAUCUCCAGUAGUCUUACAAGACGAAGCCUUAACGUGAAUGACAAGAUCAAACAUUCCCUUUUCUUGCUGUGGAUUCUUCAAUCUUGACAUGAGGAACGCUGCAUUAUCUAUGCCGAAGAUAUAAAUCCUCUGAAAUUCUGGAGUUUCUAUAUCUUGUAUAAUUUGGCGAAUAGCAAAAUCAAUAGCCAAACUGUACACUUUUUGUAGUAGGUGUUCUACCCCAUAUAGUCGUCCUUUGCAUCUCCUCAAUGAUGUGUGGUGGAACAUAAGCUUCAAUAUCGUGGAUUGAAUGAGCAAGCAGUAGACUGAUUCUAGAAAGAGCUCUGAAACAUUGAUUACUUUCUCCCUGUAAACUGCUUCUCUUAGUUUCUGAUUAAUCGCCAAAACAUCAAGAAUCCAACCUGUGACUUUCUUGUAAGCAAUUCAUAAUGCAUAUAAACAAUCUUAAUUUGUAACUUAUGCCAUACUUACCUCCAGCCAUUGUUGGGUUGCAAGUCUUUGGUUUCCAAAACUCUAUCUCUCCUUAUGGAUGGUGUAGUUUCUGAAGAUUUUCAGCAGCAUGAGAGAGGAGCUCGGGACCAAGACCGAUAUUUAAAAUACAAAGAAAACGUGGCUUCCCAUCAAAGCCACGUUUCUCUGAUUUGCCACACGAUGAGCAGUUGAGAGAAACGUGCUCCUUAACAGCAGCUACAUGAUGAAGGACGUGGCCAAGUGUUGGACCACUUCAGGGCAGCGGAACGUGGGUGAUUUGAUAACAUUCUCCCACUUGGUCCACACUUUUAACCUCAUGUCCUAUCUUAGAUCAUCAUUUUUCCGCAUUAAGUAACAAAUAUAUGAAUCAUGGCGAUAAGUCCUCUAUAUAACGAGUGUUAUCUUCCAUGUAUUACAAUGUAUUCAUUUCUUAACAUUUUACUUUAUGUGGCAAUAUUGCUUAAUGAAUAAACCCUAUGUUCAUUCUUGGUCCAAUGAAGUUGAAUUUUCUCAAAAUUAAAUAAAGGUGCACAUCAAUAUGAGAAAACAUCAUAAUAAGAGUUUGUACAAUAAAACUACAUAAGGGAACUAAGUCCCAUGUUCAUUACAUGAUCCUUGAAUUUCAACGGUGGCAUGCCCUUAGUCAAAGGAUCAGCAAUCAUCAAUUCAGUGCUAAUGUGCUCAAUAACCACUUUCUUUUCUUUAACACGUUCGCUUAUGGCUAGAUACUUAAUGUCGAUGUGUUUGCUUCGACUUCCACUUUUAUUGUUCUUUGCCAUAAAGACUGCAGCUGAAUUGUCGCAAUAUAUACUCAAUGGCCUAGAUAUUGAAUCCAUAACUCUAAGCCCGGAAAUGAAACUCUUAAGCCAUACACCAUGUGAAGUAGCCUCAAAACAAGAAAUGAACUCAGCUUCCAUAGUAGAAGUAGCAGUCAUGGUCUGCUUAACGCUCCUCCAAGAUAUAGCUCCACCGGCCAAUAUAAAAAUGUAUCCAGAUGUUGAUUUACGUGAAUCAACACAGCCAGCAAAGUCUGAAUCUGAGUAGCCAACUACCUCUAAAUUGCUUGUUCGUCUGUACAUAAACUUGUAAUAUUUGGUUCCUUGAAGAUAUGUCAUCACUUUCUUUGCAGCUUUCCAGUGGUCUAUACCUGGGUUACUCUGAUAUCGUCCUAACAUUCCAACAGCAAAUGCAAUGUCAGGCCUUGUGCAGACCUGAGCAUACAUCAAACUUCCGACUGCAGAAGCAUAUGGAAUGUUCUUCAUUUGUUCCCUCUCAAGAUCGUUUUUCGGGCAUUGGUUCAGAUUGAACCUAUCACCCUUCACUAUAGGAGAAACACUAGGUGAACAAUUCUUCAUCCGAAAUCUCUCUAAAACUUUAUUGAUAUAGGUUUCUUGAGACAAACCUAAGAUACCUUUAAAUCUGUCUCUAUCGAUCUUAAUGCCAAUGACAUAAGAUGCCUCACCCAUAUCCUUCAUGUCGAAAUUUUUAGAGAGGAAUUGUUUCACCUCAUGAAGUAAACCCUUAUCAUUGGUUGCAAGUAAGAUGUCAUCCACGUAUAAAACAAGAAAACAAACUUUACUCCCACUGACCUUAAGGUAUAUGCAUUGAUCCAUAACAUUUUCAACAAAACCAAAUGAAGAAAUUAUGUUAUGGAAUUUUAAAUACCAUUGGCGGGAUGCUUGUUUUAAACCGUAUAUGGAUUUCUUAAGCUUACAAACCAAUUGCUCACCAUCACUAGAGGGGAAUCCUUCAGGUGUUUCAUGUAANNNNNNNNNNNNNNNNNNNNNNNNNNNNNNNNNNNNNNNNNNNNNNNNNNNNNNNNNNNNNNNNNNNNNNNNNNNNNNNNNNNNNNNNNNNNNNNNNNNNGAAGACAACUUCAUUUGUUUGUUUGGAUAACAUGAUGAUGGGAAAGAAAUUAAAGACCCUUUAGUGAAGGUAUUUGCAUUGUCUUCCAUUGGUCCUUGAUAGGCUUUAUUGAAUGAUUAAGCUUUAGAUAAGGAAAGAAUAAAAAGAAGAAGGAGACAAGUAGUGGUUGUGGCAAUCAAGAUGAGACCCAAAAAUGAAUGGUCUACAUGUGAUGUUCCCGAAACUAGGGAAAAUGCAAGGAAGAGAAAAAGCAAAAGAAAAAAUAAAGAAAAAUAAAAAAUAGAUUAAGAGUUGAUAAAUUAUUUUAUUUGCUAAUUCAAACUCAUUUUACUUAUUUUGACUAAUCAAUAUAAAGAUUAAAUAAUUUUAAAAUGCAUAAGUUGUAAGCAAUUCAUAAUGCAUAUAAACAAUCUUAAUUUGUAACUUAUGCCAUACUUACCUCCAGCCAUUGUUGGGUUGCAAGUCUUUGGUUUCCAAAACUCUAUCUCUCCUUAUGGAUGGUGUAGUUUCUGAAGAUUUUCAGCAGCAUGAGAGAGGAGCUUGGGACCAAGACCGAUAUUUAAAAUACAAAGAAAACGUGGCUUCCCAUCAAAGCCACGUUUCUCUGAUUUGCCACACGAUGAGCAGUUGAAAGAAACGUGCUCCUUAACAGCAGCUACAUGAUGAAGGACGUGGCCAAAUGUUGGACCACUUCAGGGCAGCGGAACGUGGGUGAUUUGAUAACAUUCUCCCACUUGGUCCACACUUUUAACCUCAUGUCCUAUCUUAGAUCAUCAUUUUUCCGCAUUAAGUAACAAAUAUAUGAAUCAUGGCGAUAAGUCCUCUAUAUAACGAGUGUUAUCUUCCAUGUAUUACAAUGUAUUCAUUUCUUAACAUUUUACUUUAUGUGGCAAUAUUGCUUAAUGAAUAAACCCUAUGUUCAUUCUUGGUCCAAUGAAGUUGAAUUUUCUCAAAAUUAAAUAAAGGUGCACAUCAAUAUGAGAAAACAUCAUAAUAAGAGUUUGUACAAUAAAACUACAUAAGGGAACUNNNNNNNNNNNNNNNNNNNNNNNNNNNNNNNNNNNNNNNNNNNNNNNNNNNNNNNNNNNNNNNNNNNNNNNNNNNNNNNNNNNNNNNNNNNNNNNNNNNNNNNNNNNNNNNNNNNNNNNNNNNNNNNNNNNNNNNNNNNNNNNNNNNNNNNNNNNNNNNNNNNNNNNNNNNNNNNNNNNNNNNNNNNNNNNNNNNNNNNNNNNNNNNNNNNNNNNNNNNNNNNNNNNNNNNNNNNNNNNNNNNNNNNNNNNNNNNNNNNNNNNNNNNNNNNNNNNNNNNNNNNNNNNNNNNNNNNNNNNNNNNNNNNNNNNNNNNNNNNNNNNNNNNNNNNNNNNNNNNNNNNNNNNNNNNNNNNNNNNNNNNNNNNNNNNNNNNNNNNNNNNNNNNNNNNNNNNNNNNNNNNNNNNNNNNNNNNNNNNNNNNNNNNNNNNNNNNNNNNNNNNNNNNNNNNNNNNNNNNNNNNNNNNNNNNNNNNNNNNNNNNNNNNNNNNNNNNNNNNNNNNNNNNNNNNNNNNNNNNNNNNNNNNNNNNNNNNNNNNNNNNNNNNNNNNNNNNNNNNNNNNNNNNNNNNNNNNNNNNNNNNNNNNNNNNNNNNNNNNNNNNNNNNNNNNNNNNNNNNNNNNNNNNNNNGCAGAAGCAUAUGGAAUGUUCUUCAUUUGUUCCUUCCAGAUCGUUUUUCGGGCAUGGUUCAGAUUGAACCUAUCACCUUCACUAUAGGAGAAACACUAGGUGAACAAUUCUUCAUCCGAAAUCUCUCUAAAACUUUAUUGAUAUAGGUUCUUGAGACAAACUAAGAUACCUUUAAAUCUGUCUCUAUCGAUCUUAAUGCCAAUGACAUAAGAUGCCUCACCCAUAUCCUUCAUGUCGAAAUUUUUAGAGAGGAAUUGUUUCACCUCAUGAAGUAAACCCUUAUCAUUGGUUGCAAGUAAGAUGUCAUCCACGUAUAAAACAAGAAAACAAACUUUACUCCCACUGACCUUAAGGUAUAUGCAUUGAUCCAUAACAUUUUCAACAAAACCAAAUGAAGAAAUUAUGUUAUGGAAUUUUAAAUACCAUUGGCGGGAUGCUUGUUUUAAACCGUAUAUGGAUUUCUUAAGCUUACAAACCAAUUGCUCACCAUCACUAGAGGGGAAUCCUUCAGGUUGUUUCAUGUAAACCUCCUCCUCUAGCUCUCCAUUAAGAAAUGCAGUUUUCACAUCCAUUUGUUGCAAUUCUAAAUCAAAGUGGGCUACUAAUGCCAAUAUAAUGCGCAAGGAAUCUUUCUUAGAUACAGGAGAAAAGGUUUCCGUGUAAUCGAUUCCUUCUUUCUGAGUGAACCCCUUUGCAACAAGUCUGGCCUUGUAUCUCUCAAUGUUGCCUAAUGAGUCUUUCUUUGUCUUAAAAACCCAUUUACAACCAAUGUUUUUCACACCAUUAGGCAACUCAACAAGGUCCCAAACACCGUUGCACUUCAUGGAACUCAUCUCAUCCUUCAUGGCAUUGUACCACAAUUCAGAUUCUUUGCAACUCAUGGCUUGUGAAAAUGAUUCGGGAUCAUUUUCGGCUCCUAUAUUAUAGUCAGAUUCUUGUAGAUACACUACAUAAUCACUAGGAAUUGCUGACCUCUUAGUUCGAGCAGACCUUCUUAAGGUUGUACCAAUAUCUUCCGAGGAAGUAUGAGGUUCAACUUGUUGUUCAGAAGUGUUAGGCAACUCCUGAUCAACUUGGUCUACUGGAAUGUUGUCAACAACUUGUGGAACUUCAAUGACUGGUUGAACUUCAUCGAUUGUUCGUUCAACACCCGUUUGUACUUGAGGGGUGUUAUGAACAAUAAACAAUCUAUCGCUUGAAGUGGAAGGUUGAGACUCUGUAUGAUCAAUAUCAGAAACUAUGUUCCUAAAUUGAUCGCUCCCACUGACCAAGUCAUAUUCAAGAAAUUUAGCAUUUCUUGAUUCCACAAUCCUAAUGCUGUGAGAUGGACAGUAAAAUCUGUAUCCCUUAGACUUUUCAGCAUAUCCAAUGAAAUACCCACUAAUAGUCCUUGGGUCCAGUUUCUUCUCCUGUGGAUUAUAAAUUCUCACUUCAGACGAGCAUCCCCAAACGCGCAUAUGUCGCAAACUCGGUUUCCAACCUUUCAAUAACUCAAAUGGCGUCUUUGGGACAGCCUUGGUUGGAACUCGGUUUAAUAUAUACACAGCUGUCUUAAGUGCUUCAGUCCACAAGAAUUUAGGAAGUUUUGAGCUGCUAAGCAUACUCCUCACCAUGUCCAAUAAAGUUCGGUUUCUUCUUUCUGCUACACCAUUUUGGUCUGGAGAACCAGGCAUGGUGUAUUGGGCAACAAUCCCAUGCUCUUGAAGAAACUUCGCAAAUGGCCCAGGUGAUUGUCCAUCUUCCAAGUAUCUACCAUAAUAUUCUCUACCUCUAUCUGAUCUCACAAUCUUAAUUUGUUUACCAUAUUGUUUCUCUACUUCUGCCUUGAAGACUUUAAAGGCAUCUAAAGCUUCAUUUUUAUUAUGAAGUAUGUAGAGAUACANNNNNNNNNNNNNNNNNNNNNNNNNNNNNNNNNNNNNNNNNNNNNNNNNNNNNNNNNNNNNNNNNNNNNNNNNNNNNNNNNNNNNNNNNNNNNNNNNNNNUGAGAAACUUGGUACAUAAAAAGUCUUUUGCAAUUCUAAAACAAAACCACUAUUUAAAGUUAAAUAACAUAUCCCUAUUGCUUCCACAUGCGAGCCCAUCUUGUUUCCGGAUAAGAUGAAUUGCUCACUUGUCACUGGCUUCCUUAGGUUUUGCAUACCCUGCAAGGAAUUUGAAAUGUGGAUUGUAGAUCCAGAAUCAAUCCACCAUGUGUUGGUGUUUACAUUAACCAUAUUAGAUUCAUAGCAAACAAAUGAGGUAGGGUUACCUUUCUUCUCAAGCCAAUUCUGAAAUUUCAGACAUUUCUUCUUCAUGUGUCCUUUCUUUUUACAGAAAAAACACUUUUCGUCUUUCUUAAUGUCAGAUUUGGGAGGAAUUUGUUUCUUCCCUUUCUGACUAGCUUGAGAUUUUCCUUUCUUUCCUUUCCUUUGCGUCACCAGCAUGGCACUUUCUCCUUGUUCCAUCAAUAACCUUCCUUCCUCUUGAACACACAUGGUCAUCAAUUCAUUGAUAGACCACUUAUCCUUAUGUGUGUUGUAAGAGAUUUUGAAAGGUCCAUACUGAGGUGGAAGAGUGUUAAGAAUAAAGUGCACCAAGAAAGAUUCAGACAUUUCUACCUCGAGUUUCUUCAAUUGAGCCACAAUGUCCCUCAUCUCCAUGAUAUGUUCACGCACACCUCUUACACCGGUGAGCUUCAGGGAUGUGAACUUCAUAAUUAGGGUGCUUGCCAAGGCUUUAUCUGAAGUGACGAAUUGCUCGUCAAUAGCCUUUAGCAAUUCACGGACAUUCUCAUGUUGCUCGAUUGAACCACGUAUACCAGCACUGAUUUUUGUCUUAAUAUACAUCACGCUAAGGCGAUUAGAUUUCUCCCAGCGUUCGUACAAUAAAAUUUGUUCAGGUGUGCUGGUAUCUGUGAUCUUAUGCGGUUCAUCUUUCCUUAUAGCAUAAUCUAUGUCCAUGCACCCUAAUUGAAGAAGAAUUCUCUCCUUCCAUAUCUUAAAGUUAUCUCCUCUAAGUUCGGGAACCUCACAACGAAUAUCAGAUAUGCUAGGUAAAACUGCACAAAAGGAUUAGAAGCUUAUUAAAAAUUUGAGGCUUUAAUAUAAAUUCAUGCUUUACCAAUGUAGAACAUGCUUAAAAUUGAAUCUAAUUUUACUAAAAAUUGCCUGUGGGCUAAAUCUUUAAUUCAAUAAGAUUCAUUAUCUUUAUGAUAGACUUUAUCAAACUAUUUUAUUAAAUCAUGAAAUUUAUUCUAAAUAUAGUUUGAUAUUUUCUGUCUAUAAUCUUUAUGAUAAACUUAUUAAAUUAAUUCUUCCUAACUCCUGUGGGUAAAUUAGAAAAAAUUAAUUUUAAUAUUUUAUCCUAAUUAAUUAUAUAAACAUAAUGAAAACCCUGUGGGGUAAAACAUCAUAUUUAUAUAGUUAAUUACAAUUAAUGUCCAUAAUGCGAUCCUUAUUAAUAUAUAAUUUUUUAUAUAAUUAAGGAUGCUGUGGCUAUUCCUUAAUUAUUUAAAAAAUCAUAUGGAUUCACUAGACAUUAAAAUCAUAUGAUAUAAUUUUAAUAUAUCUAACUAAAUUUUAGGCAACAUUUGCAUGCAUACUAUAUGAUAUAAUCUUAAUAUAUCUAACUAAAUUUAGUCAACAAUGUCAACAAUUGCAUGCAUACUAUAUGAUAUAAUCUUAAUAUAUCUAACUAACUUUAGUCAACAAUGUCAACAAUUAGGCUAUAUUUUUACACAUACAAACAUAUAAAUUAAAAUAAAUAAUUUAAUUUGCAUGUAUAAAAAUCACACAUAAUUUAGAAUAAUUUAAAAGGAAUUCAUAUUAUGAAAGGGUGCCUAAAUCCAUAUAAAAACAAUUAAUUCAAAACCAAUAAAAUAAUUUAUCAGAUUUAACCCAUGGCCCAAUACACAAAGACCUUUAAUAAUUUUAUUGGUCACUAAUAAGCCUAAUGGGUCCAAAAGUAAAAACCCAAUAUCUCUCUAGUUUUUAUUUAUUUAUUAAUUUAUGUGUUCCAACAUUCAGCACGUUGGCAUCAUAACCACCCUAGUCUCCUGCAGCCGCAUCAUCCGCGGCACCAAAACAACACCUCAAAUGGCGCUUCUAGAACGCCCGAAAAUGGUGCCUGCAGCGGCGCUUGACUAGCUCCUGAAUGGCGCUUGCAGUGGUGCCUGAAUGGCACUCGGAACAGGCACCUGCAUUGGCGCUUGAACAGCGCCUGAAUGGCGCUCGUAACGGGGGCUUGCAGCGGCGAAGAUCAGCGCUUGAAUGGCACUGAAAUGAGUGCCUGAAUGAUGCUGGAAUGAGUGCCUGAAUGGCGCUCAGAAUUGGGGCUGAAUGAUGCUCAGAAUUGGCGCCUAAAUGGCGUUUGGAAAUGGCACUUGCAGCCCCUUUGACCAGCACCAGCAGCAGCGCUUUAAUGUCGCUUGAAUGUGGGGCCUGUAGUGGCUGAAACUGCAGCCCCAAAAGCACCGAAAAUGGCUCUUUUGGAACGCCUUAAAUGGUGCCUGCAGCGACGCUUUGAAUAGCACCUGCAGUGGUGCUUAAUGGUGCUCUAAAUGGGGCUCGAAAUGGCGCAUGCAGUGAAUAUAUAUAUAUAAUAUAUGUAUGUAGAUAGAGAAAGAAAUGGGUUUUUAUGGUGAAGAAAAAAUCUAGAUCAAAGACGUUGUAGUUGAAUGGGUGGCAUGGCUGUAGGUGGAAGUAAACCACAAAAGCUGAACCAUUUCACCCAAUUUCUUGUUCUAUUUGAUUUUAUUUCCAGAAAGGAAACAAUUAUCUAAGCAACUAACACCAAGGCAGAGGCAAGAUUGCAAGGCUCUGAUACCAAAUGUAAGCAAUUCAUAAUGCAUAUAAACAAUCUUAAUUUGUAACUUAUGCCAUACUUACCUCCAGCCAUUGUUGGGUUGCAAGUCUUUGGUUUCCAAAACUCUAUCUCUCCUUAUGGAUGGUGUAGUUUCUGAAGAUUUUCAGCAGCAUGAGAGAGGAGCUCGGGACCAAGACCGAUAUUUAAAAUACAAAGAAAACGUGGCUUCCCAUCAAAGCCACGUUUCUCUGAUUUGCCACACGAUGAGCAGUUGAGAGAAACGUGCUCCUUAACAGCAGCUACAUGAUGAAGGACGUGGCCAAGUGUUGGACCACUUCAGGGCAGCGGAACGUGGGUGAUUUGAUAAAUCUUUGAUGACAAAAUAAGGCGUAUGAUAUCUUUCUUCCUGUUCAGUUCCAAAGUUUUGUCCGUGAUUCUGUGUGUGGCAGAAACAAAGCAAAAUCAUCGUCAGAGGAUUAGUUUAGACCUGUAAAAGUUAGCCACUUAUCAUAAGUAUAUAUAGAAACACAAAGACAAGAAUCUCUUCAGAAUCCAUAAAGAACUAAAAAUUUAUUGUAUUCCAACACUCUUUAUGAAUAUUCACAGUUAAUAAAAUAAAAACUCUUAAUAAUGAAUAUGUAAACCUUAUAAGAUUUGACAACUCAAAAAUAAAAACUAAAAUAAUCACUCAAAAUCAAAAAGAAAAACCCUACCAAAACGAGAAAACCAACUGUAAAACUGCCUCCACAUUGCUUCAUACCAGAAAUUAUCAAAGACCUAUUUCUAGAAAAAAGCAAAAACAUACCUCCAAACUCUCAAAUUCAACAAACAGAGGGCACUGACUGCGAUCCCAAGAGACCCACUUCAGAAAAAUGGAAAAAGAACGCCCUCAAAGCUUCAGACAAGCAAGAACUCAACUACUGCAACAGAAAAGAUUAAAGUAGCAGGUUUUUUUUAUCUUUUUUGUUUGGUUUCAGAGAAAAAACUCAGAAAAGUGAGAAUGCGAGUGGGACAGAUGUUGAAGAUGGGUAGAAAAAAUUUCUCAGAAUUUUCCAUAAAUAAGAAAGGGAAUCGGAUUAUUAUGGAAGAGAUCCAUCUCAUAAAGUGCUCUUUAUUAAGCAUUCUAAGAGUUUGUUUCUUUAGCAAAUCUAUAAAAAAGAAUAAAUAAAUAAAUAAUAAAUAUAUUUUCAUGCCUUUUAAAAAAUAUUAUAAAUAAAUAAUUUUGAUCCAUGGGUUAAUUAUUCUUUAGAAGUAUUUUUUUCCUUAGAAAAUAAAAAAUAAAUAAAAAUAUUAAAUUUGUUUUUUAAGAAAGUAGUAUAAAUAAAUAAAUAAAAAGUUACUUAAUUGUUUGCAAUUUUCUUUUUUUUUUUUUAAUUAAAAUUGUUUUUUAAGAUAUUGUUUUAUAAAGUGAUAAGUAUUUUUAAAUAAAAUUUUUGUUUCUAAUUUAUGAUAGUAAUUUUUUUUAAUUUAAAAAAUUAAAUAAUAUCCAAACUUUUUGUAAGUUUUCAUGUUGUAGAGUGGAUUUUGAAAAAAAAUUAGAGAAUAUAAAGUAAAAGAGAAUUUAUGUACUUUUAAAAUAAAUAGUAUAAAUAUUGUGUAUCAAUUUAAAUAGGAAGGAAUUUAAGGAUUAAAAUAAAAUGAACAUUUUUAUGUUAAAUUCUUUAAAAAUUCUACUUUUCUUAUUGGAAGAGUGAGUUUUUGGGGUAUGGAAAUGGAUGGAAAAUUUUCAUUUUGAUGAAAAAAAAAAAGACACCUUUAAAUGACAUAUCUUGCAUCAACCCAAGUGACAUUUAGAAGGAUAAUAGGAAGAACUUUUUUCGGUACCUAUUCCAUUCCUCCCCUAAUAGGAAGAGUUUGGAAUAAAGAUAAAUCAGUUGGGGAGUGGUGUUUGGAAAGUUUUUAAAAACGCAAGACAUGUUUGGAUGAGUUUGAGUAUUAUUUUGUCUAGUUUUGUCUUGAAUAUAUGUAAUUUUAAAUAAAAAUUUAAAUGGAACGUGGUGAGGUUGGUAUGAGAGUUUUUCAUAUUUGUUCCACCCCAUCCCUUUUUAUUUAAUAUUUUUUUAUAUUUAAUGAAUUUCCGAUGGGGAAGAAAAAUGAGAUGCUUGAAAGAGGAAAAAAAUUAAGCGACAAAGGGAAGAAAAGAAUAAGGUAGAGGAAAAGAAAGUGACAAAAAAAAAAAAAAAACACUAAGGGAAUGACUUUUGGGUUAGUGUGAGAAAAAGAGAAAUAUUAGAGUUAUGUUUGGUUUUUAAAAAUGUUAAGAAAAGAAAAAUAUUGUUACAGAAAAUAUUUUCUCUUAUUUGAUCAUAUUUUGAAAAAUACCAAAAAAAUAAAAUAUAAUUAAAAUUAAUAACAAACUUAUGUAUUUUUAAAUAUUUCAUCUUUAUAUCCAAAAGUUAAAAUAAGUUUAAAGUAGCAUAUAAAAAAAAUUAUUGAUUUUAAAUUUAUUUUAUUUUUUAUUUACUUUUCCUUUUUUUUUUUCCCCUUUGUAUUUUUCCUUAAAUUUCUUAGGAGCCAAACAUAACCUAGAGAUUUAACAUAGUUUGAUGUGUUUAUAUUAUAUUAUUAAAAAAAUAUUUAAAAAAUAAUACAAAAUUAUAUAUUUGGAAGGGAAAAAGGUGAGGUUGAAAUAAACCCCCACCUAUUUGUCUUACUCAAUAUGUCUUUAUUUACUUUUCAAAGUCUUACUGUUUUUUUUUAUAUAAUUAUUAAGUAUAGUGCUUAUAUGCAAUAUUUCUUUUAAUUAUUGUUGUAAGAAUAAUAUAUAUAUUUUUAGUAGAUAAUAUUAAGCCCUAAUCACUAUUUUCAAAUCAUUUCUUUUAUCUUGCUUUUAGAUUAGUUGUUUCACUUUGAUUUAGUGUCAUAAAUCAAGUCGAUGCAAAGGUAAUGAAUGGAUUUCCAUAUUAUCUAUUUAAUCAACAUGAUGAAAUAGAUAAGAUAUAAAUGAUUGAUGUCAUAUAAUUUAUUCUAUUGAAUCUGACAUAAUUUGGGGUUAAUGAUAGACAUAAUUUGAGGUUAAUGAUAGAAAAGAUUUUUUUUUUCAAAUGAAAGACCUUAUAUUUUGUAUAUGGGGUUUGCCCUUGUGGUUUAAUAACGAUAUGAUUUAGGUUUUGGUAAAAAGAUUCUCUUGAAGCAAACUAACUCGUAUAUUUUACACAAGGCUUAUACUAUUGUUGGAAUGAACAUGAAUUUGGUUAGAGGAGAGUUAUGCCUCGGACAAACAAAAUUUAGAAAAUAAAAUUUGGAUACUUUGUAUAUGAGGUUUGCCCUUAUGGUUUAAAGAACGAUUUUUGAUAAAAAGAUUCUCUUGAAGCAAAUUAACUCAUAUAUUUUACAUGAGGUUUAUACUAUGGUUGGAAUGAACAUGAAUUUGGUUAGAGGAGAGUUAGAAAUGCCUCGAACAAACAAAACUUAGAAGAUAAAAUUUGGCAGAAGCAUGGUGUACUAAAAUUAUGUUGCAUCAUAUUAUAAAUGACUAAUAAUAUUUCAUUGUCUCCUACAAUUCAAUUCAAUUUUUAUUGGUGAAAGAAAACAAGAAAAUUCUUUCAAAUAACUUAUGAAUUUCAUUGAAUUGCAUGUACUAUAUAGAAGUCAUCAAACACUUUCUUUGGAUCUCUUGUUUAAGAAAGAAUUGCCAAAUUUUACUUAUGAUAAUGUUAUGUUUGGUUUUCAAACGUUUGAGGGGAGAAAAAUUUUUAGUUGUUCAUGAAAAAGUCGAAAAAAGCAACUUAUAUUUAUGAAAAUGCAUUUUUCCUAAUUUUAUUUUCAAAUUUGAUCAAUUAUCAUUUUAAUAUUAAAUGAAUUUUCAAAUACCAACUAUUAUAAAAUGUUACAUAUUAUAUCAUUCAUAUAUUAUAAUAUAUAAUAUGUGUAUUAUUAUUUCUUAUAUCAUUUUUAGGAAGUUUCCAAUAUUUUCAUAAAAUUUGAUUAGUUUUUAUUCUAUCGAUAUUUUGUGUUAAAAUAUCCACCAAUAUUUCCCAAUAUAUCCGUAAAAUUAAGUUAUCGAUAGAUUCCACCGAUAUUUUGUGUUAAAAUUAAGUAAAACACUUUUGGUAAUGGAUUAUGCAAAUUCUCCAUUUUUAGCCUUAGAAUUCUUUUGGUAAUGGAUUAUGCAAAUUCUACCUUCUUAGUUUUUUAAUAAUUCCUUUUAUAAGGAAGUCUAGACUAGAACUCUGGACUUCAAACCUUCUAAUAAUUACUUAAUAAUUUUAUAAGUUACAAUUUUAUUUUUGCACAGAAUCGUUAAACUUUAGCAAGAAUCUUGUUUAGCUUUUGUAGGGAAUCUUGUUAAAACUUUUUAGGGUUUUUUGUUCAACUUUUGUAAGGAAUCUUGUUAAAACUUUUCAGGGUUUAAUUUUGUUCAGCUUUUAUAGCGAAUAAAAUUUUACAAUGUAUUAAGCUUUUGCAAGGAAUCUUUUAGCUUUUGUAAGGAAUCUUUCAACUUUUGUAAGAAAUCUUAUUCAAUUUUUCAUUCAAAUUAUAGGCUUGUUAUUUGGUCCUCUACACAAUCUUCCUAGUAAUCCAAGUUAUCAAAAUCUUCAUUGUCUUAAUACAAAUGAGUGCAUCCUAUCCAUGGUUGAAUAAGUACUCUAUAGAUAUACCUUAUUAACCAAAAUUCAUUUUUUAUUUAAUCUAAAAACUAUAAAUUUUCAUAAGCUUCCUCUUGAUAGUUUUGCAUGUGAUAUGUAUGGGUUGAAAAUAACUGUUCAAUGGAUAGGGCUAUGCCUUGUUCUCCUCUAUGGCUAUGAUUGCAUAAGGGAAUAAGGAUAGGGGUCUUGCCCUAUAAUUCAUUAAGCCUCAAGAUGAGGAUGACCUCUCAAACAAUCCUAUGGCUUGUAAUAAUUUUCCUUCUAUGAUGGAAAAAACUACUUUAAGCAACCCUUUUUUUCUAUUGCUUUAUGCUAUUAUUGACCUUAAUUAAGAUUUCCAUGGGGAAGAAUAUUAUGAUGUACCAUGCUACUAUGUAUAUAAAUAGAUUUGCUUCUUUUUGUUGUGAAAAUGUGGAGUGUUUCCCAUGGAUGUUCUAGGUUUGGAUUAAGAGAAAUGCCCUUGUCCAAGAUGGUCGUGUAUACUCUAAAAAGUGUAUUUCUAAGGAUGAGAAUGAGAUAGGUUUUUUCAAGUACCCACCCCACCUCUAGUGAGAUGGGUUUGAAUUUAAAUAAAUGAAUUUAGGAUGAGAUUGAGAUUUUUUAAAAACCCAAGACAAGUUCAGGUAUUGUCUUGUCCCGCCUCAAUUAUAUAUAAAAUUUAAUUUCAAAAAUUAAAUUAAUUUCAUUUUUAUUUUCCUAUUUUUAAUAUAUAUAAUAAAAUACUUUUAAAAUAAGUCAUGGAAAAAUAUAAUAUUUUAAUUAUUCAUAAAUAUGUUUAUUUUAAUGUAAUUUAAAAAUUUUAAAAUAUUUAAUUUUUUUUAUAAAAAAAGGACAAACAAUUUAAACGAGGCGACUAUGAAAAUUUCUCAUACCCACCGCGCUUUGUUUAAUUUUUUAAAUGGGAUGGAGAUGAGAAAUAUUUUGAAUAAAUAGGACGGGUUGGGGAUAGGGGGAACCUGUCUAGAACUCGCACUAUUGUCAUCCCUAAGUAUUUUCUAUAAUAUGAUGGAACUUUGGAAUAGGAAAAUGGCUUCACUCCUACUAAAAUGUCUUGAAAGUACUUCAUUUGGUCUUAUCAUAAGAUAUCACCAAACCUGAUAUUCAAACUAUCCCAUGUACAUAUAGGGUUGAAUACCUGAAAAUGAGCACUCUACAUAUAGUCUAUCCCAAUUUCACAUUUCUCGAGUUAUUUCAGAUACUUCAAAGCAAAUGUGUUAUUCCAUAGAUUUACCAUGCAAUGAUCAACUUAGGAUGACAUGUUGACAUAUACAUUCUUAUAUUUCUUCUUUAUAUAAGAAUAAUCAUCUACCUCUUACAAAAAUAUUAUUGAGGAACAAGGAAGGCUGAAGGUUGAUUUCCUUUGGGAAUUAAUACUUGUUUCCUACAAGGUCAACCUAAUAUAUAAACAAAAGUUUACUCAUAAUACUCAUAAAAUAAAACUCAUAUUAAUCAUGGAUGGUCAACUAUAAAAGAAUAAGCAUAGAAAGACAAGCUAUUAAGGUGUCAUUUGGAUACACUAUCUUUUUUCUAUUUUUAAAAAAAUUUAAAGUAAUAAUAACUUAUAUAUAAAACAUAAUAUAUCUUAUGCAAAAUAUAUAAACUAAUGUUAUUUUCUUAAAAAUUAAUUUCAAAAUUCUUGAAAUUCGAGGUAGUAUUUUCUUUUAAAAAUCUAGUAUAUCCAAAUCAUGACUAAAUUAAAACAAAAGAGCUAGAAAUUAUUCAUAAGAUAGAUGGUACCAAUUCAUAAAUAUGCCCUUUCACAAUUUGUUAACAUUAAAAAGGGUUUUCUUAAUAAUUGAUUAUUUUUUCUCCUAAAACAAGAAUUCUAACUAUAGGCUAUGAUUUUCUAAUGACUAGGUCAUUUUUUUUUGUUCAAUUGCUUCCAAAGAACUUUUCAUGCAGACUUAUACAAAGAUAGAGAAAAUUAGAAGCUUUGCAACUUAUAUGAAGUAAAGGAGAUUUUUAUUAAUUUAAUGUAUUUUACAUUUAUUAACUCCAUAAAACCAGAGUAAUCAUUUUACCUCAAAACUUAAUCAAUCUUAUUGAUUCCCAAAACAAGUAUUUUUGAUAAAUAUAGAAUAUGAUAUUAUAAUCAAUAUUUGCUUUAAUAUCUUUUCAAUUUGGUUACUCAAUGCCCUUUUUCAAGAUUAUACUCGUACACUUUCGUUAAUUAUAUCAUGCUUUGAAUUUUUUUUUUUUGUGGAGAAAAUUUAUAUUUAGACAAUACGUUUAAUUCACUAAUUAUGAAGUAUCUAAUUAUCAAGUGCAUCAAUAGAAAUAUUUGUUUUUUUUUUUAUUUGAACCAAAAUUUAUUUUUUGGACCCUUGUCAUCAACAAGAAAUUCCAUUACUUUCUAAAUUAUCAUUUGGGUGUUCCUUAGGCCCAUCGAUAACACCACCUAAGAGGAUUGUUUGAUAUUUGAAUGAUCUCCUACAUUCCAAACUAAGGAAUAAAAUAUUGGAAAAAAAAUUCUAGAGAAACUUUUAAUGGAAUAAAAAUUGAUCAAAACGUGUAAAAAUAUUGAAAAAACUAAAAAUAAUGAUAUGUGCUUCAUAAUUUUUUUCAUAUUUUUAAGACAUAAAUCAUAAGAAAAGUAUCAAUUUUCUUGAAGAAAAACAUCAAAAGAAAUGAAGACAUACCCAUCAUUAUUUUUAAUUUGUAUUUUUAACACAAGAACCAUAACAAAAGUUACCAUUCUUCUCUGCCAUUUGUCCAUGAGUUGUUCAUCUUCCUUGCUACAUCUUUGGAAAAUCAACCAAAUAUGGUGGAGGAUUCCUCUCCAUAACCCAUAUUUGGUUGAAAAGAAAAAACAAAACAAGAAAAACGGAAAACUUUAUUGAAACUAAGAAUGACGAUGUUAUCUCCUAAAAUGCAUAUGAAUCCUCUCCCAAUGGUAAACAAAAGGUUAAUAAAUAACUUUCAUGCCUAACCCGAAUUGGAAAACACAAAAACAUCGCAAAAAAUGGCAAAGAAACCUUAAAAAAAAAAAUCAAGUGUCAUAAUAAAAUUGACAAAGUUAAUUUAACUUUAAUUUAAAAAAAUUAUAAAAAAAUGGUGUUUAAUUUAAUUUACCCUUUUGACUUAUGGGGUCCGAAAACAGUACUAUUGGUGGGGAAGGUUGAUGAAGAGUUGACUUUUGAAAAGACCCAUAAGAACAAAUUUUCAUAUGAUGAGAGCAUAGAUAUUAAUGAGGGUUAAAAUGGAUAUAUAAACAAUAAAAAGGAGGCAUACAACAAAUAAUAUGAACUACCUGUAUUAGGCUCCACCCACAGCUUGUCAACUUCCUAUAAGAGUAAGGCAUGAUUGAGAAGCGAAAAACAACCAUUGGGAUUUCAGUGGAGAAUGCCAGUGAUUUCGACACUAAUGAUCUCAAGGCAAAUCCAAUCCUAGGGAGAUCAAUGUGGUUACCGGCCCAUGUCAGUAUAUAUUUAGCUUGAAUAGUUAAAAUUUUGAAAAAUGUACAAACCUCAAUUUAUUAUUAUUAUUAUUAUUUUUUAAAUCUUUUGAGUUAUAAUUUUAAAUUUUUAUAAUUUGAAGAGUAAAAAAUUUCAAUUUUAAGCAUUAAAAUCUUAUCAGACCAAUCUAACUAGCUUUGAACCAUUGCAUGUGACUCAAUUUAAGUUCCUUUGAUUAGAAAAGCAUCAUGUUAUUUUGAAAGAAAACCUAAAAAUAUCUAGAUUUCAUGUUCGGAUCUUAUUACUAUAUAACCCAAACGAGUUAUAAUCAAGCUUCAAGCUCUAAAGUUAUGCUAAUACAUAAUUAAAUUUAUGUUAUAAUUAAAACUACAACUUGGACGGAUUAAUGACUAACCCAAAUCCAACCUGAAUUAAGAAACAAUUAAUCUGAACUCAACCCAACUUGAAAUCUAACCCGAGAUACUCAAUCUAAGCCCAACCUAACUUCAAUUUUUUGAGUUCGGGUUGUUCAAGUUAGACUUGGGGUUGAUCGGGUUAGAUUCAGGUUGAUCAAAUUGAAUAAUUUAAAACCCAUUUAAAAUAUUUUUAAAAAAACUUUUAUGUUAUUUUAUUUAAUUUAAAUGGAGAAUUGUGUAUAUUUUACAAUAUUAUUAACAAUUGAGAAAGGAUUAUUUAAUUGUAAGUGCCAAAAAAUUAUUCUUACGUCAAAGAAAACAUCUUCAAGGUUUAUAAACUUUAAACUUGACCUUAUUUGAUAAACAACUUUUAUCAAUAUUUGUUCAUUGAAGUCACAUCUAAAAUAUUUAAGAAAGUGAAGUUUACUUUUUAUUUGAAAAUUAUAUUAUCUUUUUUGACAAAUAUUUUUGAAAUAACUCAACUACUUGAUCAUUCAAUUCAUGAUAUUGAAGCUUAUAUUCUACCUUAUGUGAUUAAGGAGAUGCAAAAGGAGACUCUUGAGAGUAGAACUCCUAAAAAGGAAGUGUAUAAUUUGGCUAUUAAUUUUGCUACUCCCCAAAUUUUAGAAUAUAUAAAAAUUCUCAAAUUUCGGAGAAAUGAGAUUUUAGGAGUGCUAGAUGACACAAGACCAUUGUCGAAAUUGAAGAUAGUAUCAUAAGAGAAUUGGGACUCGCAAAAUGGAGCACACAAUAAGGAAUGGAUAAAUUAUUGCAAAAUAAAAGCUUUUUAAUCCUUCUAAGUAACGUUGAUUUUUGAUGAUUUAAAAGAUACUUUCUACAUAUACACUUCAUACAGGCUGUGACAAACGAUUGGAUUUGGAGAUUAGGUUGAAGGUUCCUCCCUUUGGGGUCUAAAAACAAUACAACUGGUUGGAAAGGUAGAUGAAGAGUUGACUUCUAAAAAGACCCAUAUGCCCCUUGAAAAAAUUCUCAUAUGAUGAGAGCAUAGAAAUUUAUGAGGGUUCAAAUGGAGAUAUAAACAACAAAACGGAGGUAUGCAAUAAAUAAUAUGAACUACCUAUAUUAGGCUAGGCUCCACACAAAGCUUCUUGUAGAGGUGAGGCAUGAAUAGCAUGAAUAGGAAGCGAAAAACGACUCUUGUUUCAGUGGAGGAUGCCAGCCACCGUAAAGCCGAAGUCAAUCCUGACCCGACCAUGUAAGCAUAUAUUUAGCUUGUAUGGUUAAAAUUUUGAAAAAUGUAUAAAUUUUUUUUUUUUUUUUUUUAAGUCUUUUGAGUUGUAAUUCUAAAUUCAUGUAAUUUUAAGGAUCGAUUUGUUCAAUUUUAAGUAUUAAAAUCUAAUUGAACCAAUCUAAUUGAUUUGUAACCAUUGCAUGUGACUAGGUUUAAGUUCCUCUAAUUAGAAAAUUGACUAUUUUAUGUUAUUUUGAAAUAUAACCUAAAAUAGCUAGAUUUUAUGUUAGAAUAAUUUAUACACAAACAUAAAAAGUAUUGUAUCUUGUUUGGCAUCUAAUACAAUGAGUUUGAGAAAAAUAUAAACAAGUUUGUAAAUCUUUUUAUCAAAGGAGGAUUUGAGUUUGAUUUUAUCUCGUCCUGAUUAUAUAAAUAAAAAAUUAUUUUAAUUUUUUUUCAUUUUAAUUUUUUAAAAAUAUAUUAAAUAUUACUUUUCAUAAAAAUAAAUUAUGAAUAUUUAUUAAUUUUAUUUUUUUUAAUAUAAUUUAAAAUGAAAAACAAAACUAAGAGUUUUGAAAAAAAAUAUAAAAAGCUAAAUGGGGCAAGAGAAUUCUCCCACCUUACAUGUUUAAAUUCAGUUUUUUGGAUAGAGAUGAGAAUGUAUAUAAAUAAAAAAAAGGUUGGGAUGGGGUGACCCGUCUUUCGCCUCUUAUCAUCCAUAAAAAAUUAUUUUUGAAAGGAAAUAAUAUAUACAAGACACUCGUGUCCAUAUUUCUAUAUGAAUAAUCAUCAGGUUGAUUUUAUUUUAUUUUAUUUUAUUUAGUUUUUAUAAUGGAAUACCACAAAUAUGAUAUUUUACACUUUAAAUUGAAGAGUUGUAUUUUACAAUAUUAUUAACAAGUUUAUGUCUUUGAGAAAGGAGUAUUUAAUUGAAAGUGACAAAAAAUUAUUCCUACAUUAAAAAAACAUCCCCUAGGUUUAUGAACUUUAGAUUUGACCUUAUUUGAUAAACAACUUUUGUCAAUUUUUGUUCAUUGAAGUCACAUCUAAAAUAUUUAGGAAAGUGAAAUUUACUUUUUAGUUUUUAUUUGAAAAUUAUAUUAUCUCUUCUAAGAAAUAAUUUUUAGAAAGCAUUUCCCAAGAGUAAUAUAUAUAUAUAUAUAUAUAUAUAUAUAUAUAUAUAUAUAUAUAUAUAUAUAUAUAUAUAUNNNNNNNNNNNNNNNNNNNNNNNNNNNNNNNNNNNNNNNNNNNNNNNNNNNNNNNNNNNNNNNNNNNNNNNNNNNNNNNNNNNNNNNNNNNNNNNNNNNNUAUAUAUAUAUAUAUAUAUAUAUAUAUAUAUAUAUAUAUAUAUAUAUAUAUAUAUAUAUAUAUAUAUAUAUAUAUAUAUAUAUAUAUAUAUAUAUAUAUAUAUCGCCACUACUAUCUAGUUGAUUAAUAUCAUCUUCAUUAUCUGAAUCAGUCCUUGAUUCAGAAUCUGAGGAGCUUAACAUUACCUUACAAAGCAUAUUUUUUAGGUCAUCUGAGACACUUAAGUUAUUAAUCUUUUGCUUAACUCUACAAUCUUUCUUAUAAUGGCCAACUUUGCCACAUUUAAAACAGAUCAUUGGCUUAACAUCUAAAGGAGUUUCUACCUUUUUCUGGGCAUCCUUGCUUAUUCUCCUUUGGACGUGUCUUGAAUGCUUGGUUUCAUUCAUCCUAUAAUUACCAUGAGUACCUCUUUUACUAUGGUAAAAUUUAUCUUUGCUAGGUUUCCUGUUGGUUUGUUGCUUAGAGGGAGGCUUAGUUUCCUUUUGGCUGAAACCAAACUGGCUACAGAAUGAUCCAAAUUCAUUCUUGUAGAUUUUCUGUUCAUUCUUCAUUUGUUGCUUGAGCUUGAAGUCAUUGCACAACUUAAUCCCUUCAGCUGUGACAAUGCUUAUAAUCUCACCAUAGGUUAGCUUAUCAUAAGGGAUUUGUCCAUUAUACUGUUCCCUUAUCUUGAUCCUAAUUCUCUCAGAGAUGAAUUUUUCUGAGAUGAAUUUUUCUUUCCAAAAAGACUGGUUACAGUCUGACCUUAGCAUGACUUUGGUUAGGAAGACUUCCUUAUACCACCUAAAAUCAUGAAGCUUGGGACACUUAAGGUUGGUUAAGAGAUCUGCAGUUUUAUCCUUAAUUUUUGCACGAUCUCCAAUGAAGUGCUUGGAUAUUGAGUAGAUAAGAGUAGCCACUGCAUCCUCUAUAUCUUGGCCAUCUUCGUCCUUAACAACUUCAUUAUUUUCAUUAAUCUUAUAGGCUUUUAGGAUACUAUUUCUAUCCUCAAAAGUGAGAUAAUUAUCCCACCAACCCUUAAGCUGACCCGUAAACCCAGCAACAAUGGUCUGAGCUACAGCAUGAUCUGGCAGUCUAUUGUUUAACUUAUAGGCUGUACUUACCAUGGUCAUUUCUUGAAGCUUAGUGAGUAUGUUAUACUCGGUCAUACCGUCUAUGUUCCAUUCAUAGAUAGUACCACUGGUGUAUGAGGCUUGAGUAUACUGAUUUCUUUCCUCAAACUGCAUGUUAGGAAAAGUAGGCCUAGGAUAGUAAUUCCUAGUCUUAAAGGCUUCCAAGUUGUUAAUAAUUUGAUUAUGGGGUUCCUCAAACAUCUUAAUUAGUUCAUCAGCUUCUUCUUCUGAACUAAUAUCACCUUUAACCAUAUUGAUUCUCUUAUCAGGUUGAACAGUCAAAAGGGCAACAAGAUUAUCCUUAAUCUUCUGAUUAAUCCUAUCAACAAAAGCCUGGUUGAUUUGGGGAUUUUCCUCGAAUUCCUUAGAAAAUUCAAAGGACUUAGUUUUAUCAGUGCUCUUAGUGUUGUUAAUACGCUUACAAGGAUAAUAUGGAUAUUCCUCUUGUUUGAAGAGUUCAAACCAAAUCCAAAACUUAAUAUUUUUCUUUUCUUGUCUUAAGUAAGCAUAGAAUUCUUCUUGGUAAAUGGUUCUAAUGACCUUAGGGACAGUGCUAAAGAACCAAUCAUUUCUUUGCUUAUUGAUUUCAGAAUAGAAGUCCUUUCUUAAGAGAUCCUUGUUGAUCUCAAAGUCCUCAUCGCUUAGGCUUAUUGUGUUAAUCAUCUGGGAAUAGGUAGGAGACAUAACAGGGGACUCAUCCUGUUGGGAUUCCUGAGUAGACUCAUUUUCUUCACUGUAAAAUGGUCUAGCCACGUUGAUGUGACUUCUAACACCUGUUAGCUUAAUGUUCUUAGGGUUUCCUGAGCUGGAUCCUUCUUCUUCCCUAGUGGUUCUAACUGGGAUGGAAGAGCUUGAAGCUCUAGAGGGUUCAUAAACAGAAACUCUAGGGCUGCUUGAGUGUCUGAAAGAUUUGGAGAAGACCAGUUCUCCUCCUCCAUCUGGAUAUUGAACUAUUUGUUCAAUACUUUCAGAACGCUGUGCUAUGGCUGGAACAACAUUAGCAAAAUGCCAAUUUUCAGGGAAAUCAACAUCUUUCCACAAGAUCUUCUUGGGGAUGAUGAAAUCUGACUUAUCUAGCAUAUCUGAGUGAAAAUAGGUGGUCUCACCUUUAGGACUGGUACAAAGAGCCCCAGAUCCAACGCUUGUGUUCAUGCUCUUAUAGGCAAACCUGGUUAUGAUAGAAACAGGAUUGUUUCCUAGUUUGAUCUUAAAGCCAUGAGUCUUAAUAUGCAGGACAACGGAAUCUAAGAUGUCUGCAUCUCUUAUUCUAACUGUGAAGUUAGGAUAGCACUGGAAAUAAACCGGGCCAUCAUUCAGUCCAGCUUCGACUGCGCCUAUAAUAGAAUCUCGAUAUUUCAGAUGCCUAUUAUCCCUUAAACACAUGGCAAUAGAGGUGUUUAAACCUAAUCUUGUCAAAGGCUUAGCUGCUACUUGAAUCAUACCAAAGUGUAUGAAAUUAUAGCCAUCUUUCUUAUGCUUAUCAAUGGAUCUGUUAUCUAGAAGUCUUAUGACUUGGUCAUCUUGUUCUAAGCUGACUGACAUUUCAGAGGUCUUAAUGGUAUAAUCUGUGAAGAACUUAAAGGUUCAUUUCUUAUAAAUUUCUUGAUUAGACACCUUGGGUAACUUCCAAUCAUCUAAAUCAUUUUGAAUCUUAGGAUAAUUGAUCUCUUCACUGUUUACAACAGUAUCUUGAGAAUCGCUGGAUCUCUUAGACAUGGUUCUGAAAAUUGAACUCAUUUUAGGGUUUUUGAAAUAGGGCCUAAUAGCAGAUUGACAGACCUUAUGAGACGUCACCCCAACCCUCUUACAGCCUAACAAACGCCUAUCCACGGCUAACAACGGCUCAACCGGCAGGGCUCGCGCUCCUAGGCACACUGCUACCUAUCCUAGGAUAGGCCAAGAACACCCAAAACAAGACCCAACUUCCCUCCCACAUGGCUCUGAUACCAUAGACACCCAGGACAAGGUCAUAUGCAAUGAAAACAGGAAUUAUGCCAUGAUUCAAAACAAAGAAGAGGGUUAGAAAAUACAAAAGAUAUCCAACAAUGAAAUUUAAAGAGAAGAAACCAAAAACUUGUUAGUUCAUAAUAAGCUUAAAACCGACCAUGUAGGCGGUAUAAAAUAAAAACAUAAACUUAAAAACAAAGCUUAAUUAAAACCGACCAUGUAGGCGGUACAAGAUGAAAACAUAAAAUUAAAAUAAAAGCUUAAUUAAAACCAUCCAUAUAGGAGGUAAUCAAAACAUACUUAUAUUAUACAUAAGGAGAAAUAUGUUACAAUGGACAAAGGUAGGAAAGCUUGAAGAAAGCUUGAAAACUUGAAGGGCUCACAUGAUGAGAGAGAAAGAAGAGAGAAGGGAGAGCAUAAGCUUGGGAGAGAAACAGAACUAAAAUUAAGCGUGCUUACAAAUGGGGACCGAGCCUCCUUAAAUAGGCAAAAAAGGAAUGUUGAAUAGUAACCAUGAAUAGUAGACCCGUGCUUGAAUAGUGAAUAGUGAAUAUUGAAUAGUAAGAUUCACUUUUAUACCGAAAUCCCCCGAAAAACCAUCUUUCGGCUGAAAAGACCUCUGGCAGGCUGCUUUAAACUGUGUAUACAUAUGCUUGCUGCUUUUUGGAAUAGAAACUGCAAAGCUUGAAAUAUUCUUGUUGACCGGCCAUCAUGAGUAAUCCUUACGAUGUUCUUCAAGAAGCUUGAUAUCUUCAGUAAUAGUCAUAGCUGGAAGAGGGUCUAACUUCUUGCCACAGAAAAUUUGAUGACAAGAAUCUGCAGCAAUGAGAUAUCCCAUAUUUCUUGGAAAAGCCUCAAAAUCUCUGCAAAUAAUUCUGGCUCUCCAGUGAUUGAUUUGCUUAAUAAUGGGUUCAGCACAAAUAUCAGAAAAUAGCAGAGGGUUAGACAGACGAGUAGGUCUCCUAUUCUGAUAGUGAAGAGAAACAAUGUGCUGAGCUGGAAUAAGCUUGCCACUAGAAACCCACUCAGGAGCUUUGCUGAUGAUGAUGGCGUUCGCGAAUUUCUUGUUUAUUUUAAAUCCUUGGGUUAGGCCAAGAGCAAUUUUUCUUCCAAACUGGGAAACUUAGUUGAGAUCAGAACAGAUGAUUUGAUGAACCAGACCAUGGUCCAAAAGCUUUUCUGGAGUUAAUAGUAAAUCUUCACCCUUGAAUUUGAUGCUGAUUGGCGAAUAGUAUUGCAAGUCCAAGCAAACACGACUGAUUGUGAAAUUUCUGUUGCAGUUGCAAAUCAUUUUCUUAAUGCCUUUUUGGUACUGGAAAUGAUCUUCAAUCAUUCUGCAAAUUUUUGAAUCAUCAACUUCCUUAUCAGUAACCAAGCUUAAACCUGGGACCUUAAGACCAAUAUUGGUAGAAAGAUAGAGAUGAAGAUCCUGAAAGUAUGAAGAGAUGAAGCUCUGUCUUUCUUCUGCUGAGGACUUAGCCUUUUCCAAAAUUAGGAGACGUAGAUCUGGCUUAAGAGAGUAUAGAUUCUCUGUCUUAUGAUGAUACAUUCUUAGCAUACGGUAACCCAACUCUUCCUCACUCAAUUUAUCAUUCACCAGUGGGGUAGAAUGCUUAUUCUCACCAUUUUCCAGUGGGGAAAAUGAGGCUUGAGCUUUUAACAUGAGCUUAUGAAAGUCAACUAAUUCAAGUUUUCUUUCAAGAGUCUCAUACCUUCCCUGCCAUUCAAAAAUGCAAUUGAUAUAAUCAGAUAAAGUGUUAGUAUUGUUAAAAGAUGGAUUUGUGGGGAAGGAAUCUUCCACAAAAGGUAGAGAUUCCGAGCUUGAAUCUAUAUCCCUGCUAGGGGAUGCUGAAGGAAUGUGAUGAUUGAAGUGGCUGGAAGAACCUGCUACUUCAAAAUGGUCAUAAUAAGAUGGCAUGAAUUUCUCAGAAAGAGCUGAAUGGGGAUUCUUAGAAUCUGUAGGUUUAAUGGACCUAAAAGGUUGUUUGUCUUUCUUGGGUGCCAUGUUCAUGUGAAUCCUGCAAAUUCCAUGAGUUGAGUGAUUAGGAAUGGAACUUUCUCCUUUAAUAAGCUUAAUUUGAAAAUUAGGGUUUAAAAUAAUCCAAUCAAUUAAAUUAUGCUUAAAAGCUAUAUACUUAAUUGUUUUCUCAGAUGUGAAAACAACUUUUAAAAUUCCUUGAUUCAAAAUAUCAGUUUGAUAUUUUGAAAUACAUAAAUGAAUGCUUAAAAUAUCAUUUAUAAUGAGCUUAUGAAUGCAUUGGGUACCUAACAUCUUAGGUGGAUCAUCAAUCUUAACAAGAUUAAUUUCUUGAUCACAAGGAGUGAUGCUUUCAACAGGAUUAACAAAUUCAAAAAGAAUUUCCUUAUCAAAAAGCUUAGUUCUUAUACCUUGGUUAUCUACCCACAAUGGAUAAAUAGAACUUAAGAAGGGUAUUCCUAGAAGGGCUUUUUCCUUAAGAUCCUUAACAAGGAUAAAGGUUUGCUUAAUACAGACGUCAUGGUUAUGGAUAUGAACAUCUGUUAAUUUAUACUUAAUGGCAAGUCUUUUGCCAUUGGCUCCAAAUAGAGACAUACUAGUCUCUUCGCAUAAAGGAAUAGGUACAAGACCUUCUUGAAGGCAAUUUUCAGUUGCGCCUGAAUCAAUCAGAGCAAUAAUAUCAAAGACAAAUUUAUCUUUGACUACUAUAGUAAGGGAGACUUCCCACCUCUGGAAGAUAACCCUACUCACAGUAUUCAAAAAAGUAUCUGUCUCAUUAUCAUUAACAUGAGAAGAUUCUGGAAUAUCCAUAUGGAUUUCUUGGUUGCCAAUUCUAUUGAUUUGAUCUUGGAGAUCGGAGAGACCUAGACUUAUGAAUUGUCUUAACUCCUUAAUCUCCUUUUUAUGCUGUUUAACUUUUUCAUGAAGUUCCUUAAUGCUGACUUCCUUGGGAGACUGUUGGUCAAACCUGUUUAAGAUAUCAUUAAGGUUGUAAGGAUUAACAGUCUUCUUGGCUUCUACUUUAACAACAGAUUUCUUAAAAACUUCAUAAAGAUUUUGCUUAGUCUUUUCAUCUUCAACUUUUCUUAAAGUAUCUAGGAUAAAUUCCUGAUCUUGGCUUAUGACAUUUAUAGUAUUAGGACGACAAUUACAAUUACCUUUAAUACAUUCUGCUUGGUCACUAGAAGAUUGGCUAGAAACUUCACCACUACUGUCUAGUUGAUUAAUGUCAUCUUCAUUAUCUGAAUCAGUCCUUGAUUCAGAAUCUGAGUUUAACAUUACCUUACAAAGCAUAUUUUUUAGGUCAUCUGAGACACUUAAGUUAUUAAUUUUUUGCUUAACUCUACAAUCUUUUUUAUAAUGGCCAACUUUGCCACAUUUAAAACAAAUAAUUGGCUUGACGUCUAAAGGAGUUUCUAUCUUUUUCUGGGUAUCUUUGUUGACCCUUCUUUGGACGUGCCUUGACUGCUUAGUAUCAUUCAUCCUAUAGUUGUCAUAGGUACCUCUCUUACUAUGGUAAAACUUAUCUUUGCUAGGCUUCCUGCUUGGUUUUUGCUUAGAGGGAGGCAUAGUUUCUUUUUGGCUGAAACCAAACUGGCUACAGAAUGAUCCAAAUUCAUUCUUGUAGAUUUUCUGUUCAUUCUUCAUUUGUUGCUUAAGCUUGAAGUCAUUGCACAACUUAAUCCCUUCAGCUGUGACAAUGCUUAUAAUCUCACCAUAGGUUAGCUUAUCAUAAGGAAUUUGACCAUUAUACUGUUCCCUUAUCUUGAUCCUAAUUCUCUCAGAGAAAAGCUUGGGUAAUCCUGAGAUGAACUUUUCUUUCCAAAAAGACUGGUUACAAUCUGAUCUUAACAUGACUUUGGUUAGGAAGACUUCCUUAUACCACCUAAAAUCAUGAAGCUUGGGACACUUAAGGUUGGUUAAGAGAUCUGCAGUUUUAUCCUUAAUUUUUGCACGAUCUCCAAUGAAGUGCUUGGAUAUUGAGUAGAUUAAAGUAGCCACUGCAUCCUCAAUAUCUUGGCCAUCUUCGUCCUUAACAACUUCAUUACUUUCAUUAAUCCUAUAGGCUUUAAGGAUACUAUUCCUAUCAUCAAAAGUGAGAUAAUUAUCCCACCAACCCUUAAGCUGACCUGUAAACCCAGCAACAAUGGUCUGAGCUACAGCAUGAUCUGGCAGUCUAUUGUUUAAUUUAUAGGCUAUACUUACCAUGGUCAUCUCUUGAAGCUUAGUGAGUAUGUUAUACUCGGUCAUACCAUCUAUGUUCCAUUCAUAGAUAGUACCACUGGUGUAUGAGGCUUGAGUAUACUGAUUUCUUUCCUCAAACUGCAUGUCAGGAAAAGUAGGUCUAGGAUAGUAAUUCCUAGUCUUAAAAGCUUCCAAGUUGUUAAUAAUUUGAUUAUGGGAUUCCUCAAACAUCUUAAUUAGUUCAUCAGCUUCUUCUUCUGAACUAAUAUCACCUUUAACCAUAUUGAUUCUCUUAUCAGGCUAAACAAUCAAAGGGUCAACAAGAUUAUCCUUAAUCUUAUGAUUAAUCCUAUCAACAAAAGCCUGGUUGAUUUGGGGAUUUUCCUGGAAUUCCUUAGAAAAUUCAAAGGUCUUAGUUUUAUCAGUGCUCUUAGUGUGGUUAAUACGCUUACAAGGAUAAUAUGGAUAUUCCUCUUGUUUGAAGAGUUCAAACCAAAUCCAAAACUUAAUAUUUUUCUUUUCUUGUCUUAAGUAAGCAUAGAAUUCUUCUUGGUAAAUGGAUCUAAUGACCUUAGGGAUAGUGCUAAAGAACCAAUCAUUUCUUUGCUUAUUGACUUUAGAAUAGAAGUCCUUUCUUAAGAGAUCCUUGUUGAUCUCAAAGUCCUCAUCACUUAGGCUUAUAGUGUCAAUCAUCUGGGAAUAGGUAGGAGACAUAACAGGGGACUCAUCCUGUUAGGAUUCCUGAGUAGACUCAUUUUCUUCACUGUAAAAUGGUCUAGCCACGUUGAUGUGACUUCCAACACCUGUUAGCUUAAUGUUCUUAGGGUUUCCUGAGCUGGAUCCUUCUUCUUCCCUAGUGGUUCUAACUGGGAUGGAAGAGCUUGAAGCUCUAGAGGGUUCAUAAACAGAAACUCUAGGGCUGCUGGAGUGUCUGAAAGAUUUGGAGAAGACCAGUUCUCCUCCUCCAUCUGGAUAUUGAACUAUUUGUUCAAUACUUUCAGAACGCUGUGCUAUGGCAGGAACAACAUUAGCAAAAUGCCAAUUUUCAGGGAAAUCAACAUCUUUCCACAAGAUCUUCUUGGGAAUGAUGAAAUCUAACUUAUCUAGCAUAUCUGAGUGAAAAUAGGUGGUCUCACCUUUAGGACUGGUACAAAGAGCCCCAGAUCCAACGCUUGUGUUCAUGGUCUUAUAGGCAAACCUGGUUAUGAUAGAAACAGGACUGUUUCCUGGUUUGAUCUUAAAGCCAUGAGUCUUAAUAUGCAGAACAACGGAAUCUAAGAUGUCUGCAUCUCUUAUUCUAACUGUGAAGUUAGGAUAGCACUGGAAAUAAACUGGGUCAUCAUUCAGUCCAGCUUGGACUGCGCCUAUAAUAGAAUCUCGAUAUUCGAGAUGCCUAUUAUCCCUUAAACACAUGACAAUAGAGGUGUUUAAACCUAAUCUUGUUAAAGGCUUAGCUGCUACUUGAAUCAUACCAAAGUGUAUGAAAUUAUAGCCAUCUUUCUUAUGCUUAUCAAUGGAUCUGUUAUCUAGAAGUCUUAUGACUUGGUCAUCUUGUUCUAAGCUGACUGACAUUUCAGAGGUCUUAAUGGUAUAAUCUGUGAAGAACUUAAAGGUUCCUUUCUUAUAAAUUUCUUGAUUAGACACCUUGGGUAACUUCCAAUCAUCUAAAUCAUUUUGAAUCUUAGGAUAAUUGAUCUCUUCACUGUUUACAACAGUAUCUUGAGAAUCGCUGGAUCUCCUAGACAUGGUUCUGAAAAUUGAACUCAUUUUAGGGUUUUUGAACUAGAGCCUAAUUGUAGAUUGACAGACCUUAUGAGACGUCACCCCAACCCUCUUACAGCCUAACAAACGCCUAUCCACAGCUAACAACGGCUCAACCGGCAGGGCUCACGCUCCCAGGCACACUGCUACCUAUCCUAGGAUAGGCCAAGAACACCCAAAACAAGACCCAACUUCCCUCCCACAUGGCUCUGAUACCAUAGACACCCAAUAAGAAAAUCUAAGUAAUCAUCAGCCUUUUGUCUUCCAUCAAGAAUAUUUUACAAGCUUUGCAGUUUCUACACCAAAAGCAGCAAGCAUGUGUCUACUCAGUAUAAAGCAUCAUGCAAGAAGUCUUCUCAGCCGAAAAAGGGUUUUUCGGGGGAUUUCGGUAUAAAAGUGAAUCUUACUAUUCACUAUUCACUAUUCAAGCACGGGUCUACUAUUCAUGGUUACUAUUCAAGAUUCCUUUUUUGCCUAUUUAAGGAGGCUCGGUCCUCAUUUGUAAGCACGCUUAAUUUUAGUUCUGUUUCUCUCCCAAGCUUAUGCUCUCCCUUCUCUCUUCUUUCUCUCUCAUCAUGUAAGCCCUUCAAGCUUUCAAGCUUUCUUCAAGCUUUCCUACCCCUGUCCAUUGUAAAGAUAUUUCUCCUUAUGUAUAAUACAAGUAUGUUUUGAUUACCUCCUAUAUGGAUGGUUUUUAUUUAAAUUUUGUUUUUCAUUUUAUUUUAUGUUCUUGUACCGCCUACAUGGUCGGUUUUAAUUAAGUUUUAUUUCUAAGUUUAUGUUUUUUAUUUUGUACCGCCUACAUGGUCGGUUUUAAGCUUAUUAUGAACUAACAAGUUUUUGGUUCCUUCUCUUUAAAUUUCAUUGUUGGAUAUCUUUUGUAUUUUCUAACCCUCUUCUUUGUUUUGAAUCAUGGCAUAAUUCUUGUUUUCAUUGCAUAUGACCUUGUCCUGGGUGUCUAUGGUAUCAGAGCCAUGUGGGAGGGAAGUUGGGUCUUGUUUUGGGUGUUCUUGGCCUAUCCUAGGAUAGGUAGCAGUGUGCCUAGGAGCGCAAGCCCUGCCGGUUGAGCCGUUGUUAGCCGUGGAUAGGCGUUUGUUAGGCUGUAAGAGGGUUGGGGUGACGUCUCAUAAGGUCUGUCAAUCUGCUAUUAGGCCCUAUUUCAAAAACCCUAAAAUGAGUUCAAUUUUCAGAACCAUGUCUAGGAGAUCCAGUGAUUCUCAAGAUACUGUUGUAAACAGUGAAGAGAUCAAUUAUCCUAAGAUUCAAAAUGAUUUAGAUGAUUGGAAGUUACCCAAGGUGUCUAAUCAAGAAAUUUAUAAGAAAAGAACCUUUAAGUUCUUCAUAGAUUAUACCAUUAAGACCUCUGAAAUGUCAGUCAGCUUAGAACAAGAUGACCAAGUCAUAAGACUUCUAGAUAACAGAUCCAUUGAUAAGCAUAAGAAAGAUGGCUAUAAUUUCAUACACUUUGGUAUGAUUUAAGUAGCAGCUAAGCCUUUGACAAGAUUAGGUUUAAACACCUCUAUUGUCAUGUGUUUAAGGGAUAAUAGGUACCUCGAAUAUCGAGAUUCUAUUAUAGGCGCAGUCCAAGCUGGACUGAAUGAUGGCCCAGUUUAUUUCCAGUGCUAUCCUAACUUCACAGUUAGAAUAAAGUCACCAUGAUGUAAUUUUAAGUUAGUUAUACUUUAAUUUAGAUGGUUUGUUUUUUAAUUGAAUAAAAAAAUCAAAAUAUUUGACUUUUUUUCUAUUCAGAUAAAAAUAAUCUAUUAAUAUUAAUUAAUAUAAUUAAAAGUGAACUUGUUAUUAAUAGAUUCAGUUUAGUUAUAUUAGUUGAUAUAAAUAAGUUAUUUUUAUCUGAAUAGAAAAAGCUCAUAUCCAAAUAACAAACACCACUUUAGUCUCUCAAUUUUUAUUUUUUUUUAAACAAUGUUACCUUGAAAUUAUGCCUAAAUAUUAAAUAUGUAAUUUUGUUAAAAAAAAAAAAAAACCAUAUGAGAAGCACAUAUAUAUUGUUAUUGGUUUUAUGUGGUAUGUUUGGAUAAACUUAAUCUAUCCAUAUGUUUGUUAGGUGUAUACACAAUUGAGUCUAAUUUUGAGUAUUAAAAUUACUAUUGAACCAUCUAAUUGAUUUUCAUCUAGUCAGAACUAAGCAAACUAGAAUUACGAAACCCGGUGGUCCAACAAUCAUAAUAACUUGUCUAAAUUGGUGUACUUCACUUUGAUUUGGUAUAAUUUGAUUUAAUAUUAAGAACUAUUUUUUUUUUAUUAAUUUGGGUGAAAACCCAAUAGCUUACAAUUCAAUAUCAUGGGUUAAAGAACUUAAAUAAUACUACUAUAAGAAGUUGUCUUAAGAACUAUUCAAAUCAUAUCAUUAGAUUCAUUACAACUCAUACUAGUAAUUUUUUUUUAAUAUCUCAAAAUUUUAAAUAAUUUGUAAAAUUAUUACUUUUUUCUAUAAGAGUUUUUAUGUCUUAUAUAAAAGUUAUUGCUAUUAUCUAAUUUUAAAAUUAAAAAACAAAAAACAUAUACAAAUUCAAUAAAAAUAUAUUUAUUGAGUUCUAUGUUUUAAAAAAAAAAAUUCUUUUACUUUUCCUUCUUCAAUUUUUAUCCUUAUUUUCUCUCCAUUGUACAUUCUCUUAAACAUAUUUAAAUUCGAACAAAGUUUUAAUCUUCCUCCAUCUUCAUCUCAUUUUAUGUUAAGUAGUGAUUUGUGGUUGGUGACAAAGCUACUUCAGAGAUCCCUCUUGAAACAUUUUUCAAAUACAAAAAUUCAGUAUCUUUUCCCGAAUUUGUGAAUUAGCCAAGAUUCUUUUAUACACGAUAAUAAGUAGCACAUAAAUUUUAUUAUAAAUGCGAAAUACUUAUCAAGUAAAAAUGCAAGGUCAUUUCUCUGCUUGGCUAGUGAAGCAUGGGCUAGUUCAUAGAUCUUUGGGCUUUGAUUAUCAGUAUAAAAAUGGUUUUACCUUAACACUUCUAUCGAUUGCAUUUCUAUUAGAUCAUAUACAUAAAAAAAAAUAGUUAGUGUUUAAAUGUAAAUAAAAAACUAUUUUCAAAGUGUCAUUGAUACUAAAAAAAACAAACUAAAAUAAAUAUAUGAAGUGCAAAUCUAAGAAUUGGGUGAUUCUUUAGGUUUUUACUAAUUUUAAUCAUAUUUGAUUUUAUUUACUAUUUUUCAUAGUAAGAUUAAAUAGAAGAAAAUUAUUUUCCUUCAUAAUACAUAUAUAUUUUUUUUACUUUUUUUUAGUACAUUUUAGGAACCAAAUAUAGCAUUAAUGGGGUAUUUGUAAUUUCAUCUUCUCAAAUAUUUUUUUACCACUUUUAGGAGGUUUUGGCAGCAAGCUUUAAGAUGGUGGGCUGGAGCAGUGAUCUUCUCUUAAAGCAAGCAGCAUGUGACGACAGGUGGCAUCGGAUACUUUUCUUGAAGCAACCCGCAUGUGACAGGUGGUAUGGGAUUCAGAGGCCGUUGGGAGUAAGCUUGGGCAGUAAGAAAUCUGAGCCGGAGGGUGAGAAAAACAGAGAGGAGCGGAUGCAUUGUUUUUUUUACAGAGAACAGGGUGAGAGGUAAGGAUUCUGGACAGAAAACCAUGGUAAGCUGAGCUUAGACCAUGGGUGAGCUGUAAGAGUGAGAGAGAACGGAGGAGAAGGGUUUUCUAGAGAGAGCUAAAACAGAGGAAGAAAAAUGAAGUGAGAGCAAGGAGGAGAGAGUGAGCUGGGGAAGACAUCUGAAACAAGAGGAGCUAUAGGGAGGUGAUUUUGAGCUGAGCAGGGGAGUGAGUUGGAUUUUGAGAGGGUUUGAGGCUGUGAAAAUGAGCUGAACAGUGAGAGGGGCAGAGGAGAGAAAGGGAGUGGGUUUGCUGCGGUUUUGAUGUAAGCUUAGGAGAAGAAGCAGAGCAGCUUGAAGCCCAGUUAGUUCCGCUGGAGGGGAGCAUUUCCAGGUACGUUUGCUAGACCACGUAUUGAUUGCAGUUGAUUUUCUUUGGGUUGCUGUGACUGUGUUAUAAUAAAUCCAUGCUUGGUUCUUUAUGUGAAAUUUGUUUAAGAGUGAUCUAGCUCAUUUUUAGCUUUCCUUUGAGCGUCCGAGUCAUAUUUUCGAUCUUAUUUUCUCCUGGUUUUUCCCACCCACACAUAAGCCCAUCGACUUCAAUAUGAGAAGGGGCUCGGUUUAAUGUCUUCUUUGGCUCAUUUGAUGCUCUGUUUUUCCCUGAAAAUUUACCAUGAGUGGGUUCUACAUUUCAUGUGCACCAAAAAGGUGCUUAUGUUUUUCUCUAGUUUCUGAGUUUCUGAGCGCCCAAACAGUAAAAAUGCAGAAUUAGUUCUAUCGUUUUUGGUGUUUUUUUCACUUUAUUCAUGAAAUUUCUGAUUGUAUAUUGAAAUUGUAUAUUAUUACAUUGUUUUUGGUUGGAUGCUUCCUUUAAAUGCUUGAAAUCUUCAUUUUUUUUAUUGCCCGGAAUGGAAUUUUUGGUCAUAUUUGAUGAUAUAUGAGUGCAUAACAAAUGUUUGCAUGUCCAAAUUUACAAUAUUUUAUAAAUUUACACCUGCAACUUAGGUUGUGCCUCAUUUUUCUUUGGUGCUCCUUGGGUGUUGUCCCUUGCAGUUUAGUCACUAGGAGUCUUCUGCACCUUGUGCCUUUCAUAUUUCAUUGCAAUCCUAUUUAGGGAAAAUAACACUAACUUGCCUUGAGGUUUGUUGUUAGAAUUAUAGUGACCUCCCCUCACAUUUGAAAAAAGAUGCUAUUCUCACUCAAGGUUUGAUAUAACUAAAGCAGUGAUAAACACAACAGACAUGUAAUGUGGUCCGGUUCCUUUUUUACAAUCGUAAUUCUCAGAGGAUUUCUUCACCAAUGAGGGGUUUUUCUUUGAUUAUGUAGGAGUUUAGCUUUAAGUAUUCCUACAGUGGAUGAGUCUUUUUAAUUGGUCUUGUGGCUGAGAUAUGCAUCUGUUAUUUCCUUAGAUUACUUUUUCCAUUCGGUUGAUUGGGAGGAACGUUUCCAAAUGUGUCCUAGUGCAUUUUUCUUAGACCACUUUCUGAUCAUUUCUUUUUACUGUGGUGGGGCUAGGAUUUGGAGAUGGAGAUGUUCUUUCAGGUUGGAGAACAUGAGGCUUCGAGUGCAUACAGUGCAUGAGUUUGGAGUUGUUAAAAAUUGGUAGUUUACCUAUCAGUUUACGGGUCUCUCCAGUUUUGUCCUUUGCUAGAAAGUUGAAGGCUCUGAAAGAUGAUCUGAAACAUGGACUAGAGAGGUAUUUGACACUGUUCCCUUUCAUAAAGUUUGUGUCUUGGAGUGAAUUAGCUUUUAGGAUUGUAAGGGUGGGUAUAAGCUUUAUUUGGAUGAUAACCACUUAGCAGUGUGGGAAGAGAGGUCUGAGUGAUGGAAGUCAAGAGGUGUUCUGUGCAUGCUAUUCAUUAACAUGCACAUUUGUCCCAACCACUAAAACAUAUUAAACUACAUGUUCAAUAUCCACUUCUACCCAAUGCUGAAACCUGUGUUCCAACACAAGUAGCCCUGUACUCUGUUCACAGUCCAUGGCUAUGCCUGAUCAAGGGACGUUGGUGUCUUUUUGUGCCAAAAUGUUUUGACAUCGUGAAAUUCAUAAUCAUUAUUUCAAAGUUAAAAAUAUAAUUAUAAAAAAUUAAUGAAGGAAACAAAAUAUUUUGUAGUUAUACUUGAUUGUACUUGAGAUGCAAACCAUCAAGACCAAAUGACUCUUAUAUUAAAAUAUGUGGACAUUUGAACAGCUCUUCUACACGUAGAUUAAUAUUUUUAGAAUUUUUAAAAGUUGAUGAUGCAUAUACUAAGUGGUUGUCAUAACCUCAAUCUGAUUUUUUUUUUUUUUUUGAUUAAGUAAUAAGAUUUAUAUAAUAAUAAUAUUAAAAGUAAAAGAAUAUUUUCAGAAUUUUUAAAAGUUGAUGCAUAUACCAAGGGAUUGUCAUAAACUCAAUCUGAAAAAUAAAUAAACAAAUUUUAGAUUAAAUUAUAUUUGCAUAAGUAAUAAGAGGUCUUAUUUAUAUCUUCAUUUAUUUAUUUAUUGCCUUAGGCCACAUUUCUUGUUGAGCCUCCCUUUGUGUCUUUUGUUUUGUUUUCUUCCCUCCCCUGCCCCCUUUUUUAAGCAUUUGAUCCCCAUUAUCGUUCAUCUAAGUUAUUGUUUUGAAUUUGAAUUCUUUUUUUUUUCAAUUGAUAUUCUGACUUCAAUGUUGUUGGUACCAGAAGGAUGGCCUUAGAAGCAGCAGCAGUGGAAGCAGCAGUGACUGAUGUAUAUAGAGAUGGGCGAAGCUUAUUAAGUUGGUAUGGUCGUAAAUUUGGUUAUUGGAAGAAUCUAAAAAGAAACAAUGAAGAUUUAAUGCAGAAAGCUAGAGAGCUUUGGGAACUGAGAAAUGGCAUAAGGGAAGGAAUAAGCCAAAAUAGAAUCAGGCCAGACACAACAGCAUGGCUGAGAUGAAUGAAAGUGAAGCGAUAGAACUAGACACCAAAUACAAUGAUAGAAAAAACCACCCAUGGAAAUUGUUUCGUUUUUGGAAGGGUGCUAGUCUUAGCAAAGACAUGGCUGAGAAGUGCAAGCAAGUUCUUAGUCUUUGGGAAGAGGGAAAACGUAAAAGAGGAGUGUUGGAUGCGGAGCUGCCAAAGCGUGUCG
RNAcentral lists this long non-coding RNA (123585 nucleotides) under Vitis vinifera (wine grape). RNAcentral describes it as "long non-coding RNA (VVIN_LNC003960)". Lineage: Eukaryota; Viridiplantae; Streptophyta; Magnoliopsida; Vitales; Vitaceae. The record is from RNAcentral.